UAACCAUGACCUACGAGUUGACAUUAUUAUUAUAUAAAUCUAACAAGACAAUGGGUUUAUCUAAUUUUUUUGAGAUAAUCAUAUAGGUCAGAAUAAAGUGAAGAUAACAGAGACGGUGGAGGCAAUGCCAGUGCUGCAGAGAUCACAAAACAUUAGCCCGAUGUGAGUGCACAUUGCAACUCGGCUUAAGUAAACAAAUUUCUUUAUCAAAUAAGCCAAUUACAUCAGAACUUAUCGACUUGAAGACAUGAACCGGACUCUGUAACAGCCUAACAGGGCCCAUCAAUUGGCAUAAACACAUCGAAAGACAACCAAAGGAACUAGAUGACAACUCUUGCUACAAAGCCUGGAAGACAACUAGGUAGAGGAACUCCUCGCCAUCCCCACCAAUCAGCGCCUCCAGAUUUUCCCUUUCUUUACUUUCCAGGCUUCCAGCACACCCUGCUAGGUGUUCUUGACUUGUAAUCCGAUUACUUCUGGUUGCCUCCUCAACUCUCAGCAACGUGAAGCCCGUUUAAUUCGGUUGUACGUGCUCCCACAUUGACAGAAAAACAAGAGAAAGCAAGUUACUCAUGUGGCCUAAAAUAAACUCUGCAAUAAACACAAAGAGAGGAGGAAAAUCGAACCUUCUUCAAGUGAUUUGGGCCAGCAGGAUUGGAAGACCGGAUUUGAUUGAUACGUCUAGAUGACUGUCCAGUAAACCAGCUCCUCGACAGUAGGCUCCUUUUCACUCCCUUGGCGCUCCAGGAUUUCUUCCGAGACAACUUCCGGAGCUGUCUCCUGGUCACGGAUGCUCUGCACCUCAGUCACGACGAGGCAAUAAUGCUCUUGAAAUAAUCUAUCCUUAUGGUGCAAGCAGCAAACGGCUGUGCAAUGUAAGUUAUUGCACCACCCGCAACCCACUUUAUACUUUGGUUAAGAAAACAAUUCAGAAAAAUAGAACUUGGAAGUUGCAUGUGAUAGUUUAUAAAUCUACAUAGUAAGAAGAUAUUAUACUAUGCAGCCACUGCUCAAUAUGGAAAGACACUUGUACAGUUCACAUAUAAGGUCACCUAAACAUUUAGGGCAGAUCUAUAGAUACAUUUAUCUUUUUCAUGCGACGAGGAAUUUUGUAGCCAUUGGUGGGUAGUUGCACCAUGACUCUUAUGUUGCAUCAAAGAACAUAUCAAGAAAUGAACUAGAAUAACUAUAAGAAGCUAAAGGCCAAUAAGAGGACAAAAUGAAGAGAAAAUAGGAAAGAAAUCAGGGAUCAUAGAAAUAUGAAGCUCGUAACUCGGAACUCAUAUAUGAAUAUAAUAGCGCAAAUCAUGACUUAAGACAUGUUCAAGAAGGAAAGUGUUGGACAACUUAUAAAGGAUAUUCUGAACUCUGAAACCUUUCUAAGAAUUUGGGGAGAUUUAGCCCAACUUUGUAAGUGAAAAUUAGGUAUCAUAAAUCAAAAAAAGGUAUGCUAAGAUCAACCCAUUCCACGGUUUUUCCAAUCUCAACUUAUGACUUUUGCAUACACCUAUAUGUAUUGCCAUUAUUAGUUCAUAAAUUUAACCGUGCAUAAGCUUUAAAGUGCCAAAAAGAACUUUACCUACUACAAUUCCAACAGAAAAAUGAACCAUUUGCUUAGUCAAGAUGGAUAGACUAGAACAGUUACAUUUACUUAGCAGGAACUAAUAGGACACCUUGCAGAUCACAUACACAUGAGAAAAUAGAUAACUGUCCUUGUCAAUACACAGCAUCAUAUAAAACAAAUGGCUACAUACAACCUAGUGCUUGGAUAAGUUUCAAUUAAACCAUACAGCACAAAUUGAAUAAACACCAAAUAAUCACAGUUUACAAUAGAGUAGAUCGACCUUAAUGGCACCUCACGCAUCACUCAGUUGAAAAUUGAUCACAAUAUUAAAUGAGCAUUACCUAGUCCAUAAAUCCCACCAAGCCUGUCACUAGAGGAAUUUUAAUCGCAACAAUCAGAAAAUGGCAGAUCUCAAAUAACUAAUGCUUAGAAAAUUCAAAAUCUGCAAAUACAAAAAGUAAACAUUAGAUAGCCAUGACCUACCAGUUGACAUUAUUAUUAUAAAUCUAAUAAGGCAAUGGGUUUAACAAAAAGAUUGAGACAAUCAUAUAGGCCAAAAUAAAGUGAGAUAAGAUAACAUAGACGGUGGAGGCAAUGCGGGUGCUGCAGAGGUCACAAAACGGUAGCCCAAUGUGAGAGCACAUCGCAACUCAGCUUAAGUAGAUCAAUUUAUUUAUCAAAGAAGCCGAUUACAACCUAACUUAUCCACUUGAACACAUGAAUAGGACUCUGUAACAGGGCCCAUCUAUUGGCAUACACACAUUGACUAGAUGACAACUAGGUAGAAGAACUCCUCGCCAUCGCCACCAAUCAACGCCUCCUCUUCCCUGCCUUUGCCUUCAAGGUUCAAGCACAUCCUGCUACAUGUUUUUGACUUGUAAUCCGAUUACUUGCCUCCUCAACUCUCAGCAACGUGAAGGACAUCAGUGAGUUUAAUUCGGUUGUACGUGCUCCCACAUUGACCAAAAAAAAAACAAGAGAAAGCAAGUUACUCAUGUGGCCUGAAAUAAACUCUGCAAUAAACACAAAGAGAGGGGGAAAAUCGAACCUUCUUCAAGCGAUUUGGGCCAGCAGGACUGGAAGACCAGGAGGAUUUGAUUGAUGCGGCUAGAUGACUGUCCAGUACACCAGCUCCUCGACAGAUGGCUCCUUUUCACUCCCUUGGCGCUCGAGGAUUUCUUCCGCAACAACUUCCGGAGCUUUCUCCUGGUCACGGCCGUUCUGCGCCUCGGUCACGACGAGGCAGCCGCGGUGGCCGGAAGAGGGAGCAGCUGGACCUCGCCGACGGCGCAGGGCAAGGCUGCGGUCCAGGAUCGCCGACGACCAACCUGCAGCCUCGGAGUCGUCGGCGAGAAGGAGAUCCCCACAGCGGCCUCUCUUCUUCUCGCCGGGGUCGCGCAUCUGCGCCGGCUGGACGGGAUCCACGAACGUGAAAGAGCCGAGCAUGGCGUUCGCUCCCUGAAGUGGGAUCUCGACGGACGACAUAGCGGCGGCUGUCGAAAUCGAAACCCUAGAUCUGGCUUGGAGCAACGAAACCGCGGGAGGAAGGAAAGAAUUGAGCGGAAGCAGAGAUGAGAAAUUAUCGAUCUGGACGAGGUUGAAUACGACUUUAUAGAAAACAAGUCAAAUACGUAUUUUAUACUUAAAAAUCGAUACGUGUUUUACACAAUAGGAAAUUAGGAAGUGCUCGGAUUUAUUUAUUUUUGAGCAAAAGGUAAGUGCUGAUUGGCUAUUUUUAAAUUAAUCUUCUUUUGAUUGUUAUCAACACUUUGACAAUCACUAGUUAUUUUUUCUUUUAGCGAAAUCACCUUUUAGCAGAGCUCUGUAAAUUUUCUGUUUGUCACUCUUUGCGUUAAACUGACGGUGUUUUUUUUUUUUUUAACAAAAAACUGAAGGUGUUUUGCCAAGUGACGAGCAGCUACGCGAUGGGCGACCCAGUUUCAUCAAACUAGCCGGUCUUGAAAACCAUUUAGGAGGUUCCUUAAACCGAAUUUUCUGGCCUUUUUCUUUCUUCUUUUUUCUUUUGUUUCUGUUUCUUUUUUUUCUUUUUCUUUUUUGCUUUCUGUUUCUUCCUUUUCCCUUUUUUCGAAGUUCUUUUAUCUACUUUAAAACUAAGAUCAGGUAUAAAAAUUGUUCUCAAAAAUUGAAAAAAAAUGUUUUUAAAAAUAUUCUAAAUUUUAAAUAAUUUUCAUUUUAAAACAAUAUUCAUAACUUUAAAUAUGUUCGGGAUUUCCCAAAAAUAUGUUCAAGAUUUAUAAUUUUGGAUCAUUUCUACAUAAAAUGUUACUAUUAUCAAAUUUUGUUCAUAAAUUGAAAAUUUUGUUCAUAAAUUGAAAAUUUUGUUCGGUUUGUUUCAAAAAAUGUUCACAUUAUUAAAUUUUGUUUACAAAACAAAAACCAUUUGUUUUCAAUAAAUUUCCCAUGUUUAAAAAUUUAUUUGGAAAUUCAAAAAAGUUCACAUGUUUAAAUUUUGUUCAUAAAUUAUAGUAUGUAUGGGAAUUUUAAAAAAUGUUCCUAUUUUGCAAAUUUGUUUACAAAUAUAAAAAUGUUCUGGAACUUCAAAAAUUAUUCCCUUUUAUACAAAUUUGUUCAAAUAUUCAAAACAUAUAUUCAAUUUCAAAAUUUGUUCACAUAUUUAAAAAAUGUUCAUGUUAUUCACAAAUUCAGAAAAUGUUCACAUGUUUAAUUUUGGUUCACAAAUUCUAAAAUAUUUUUUAAUUUCCAAAUAUGCUCAUGUUUUCCAAAUUUGUUCACAUAUUCUGAAAAUUCUACAGUUUUCAAAUUUUGUCCACAAAUUUAAAAAAUGAUCCAUGUUCUCGAAAUUAGUUUGCCAAUUAAAAAAUAGAUUUUUUUUGUAAAAAUAGUUUAAUUUCGAAAAAUGUUCACCAUUUCAAUUUGUUUAUUUAAAGAAAAAUCGUGUUUACAAGAAGUAGUCAUAAUUUAGAAAUUAUUCCCCUAUUCAAUUUUUUGUUCUUAUUUGUUUUAAAAAUAUAUAGUAUUUGAGUUUUGUAAACUUUUUCCCUUAAAAAAUUAUCCUUCAAAUUUUAAAACAAGUUUUAAUCUGGCGUGGAUUAUUGUAUAAAUAUAUUUUUUGUUGCUCUACACUAAACCUGUAUUACGAGAGUGGCUAUGGACUACUCCCUCCUUUCUGGUUUAUUGGGCUUAAAUCUGAAAUAUCAUCAACCAAGGUGAAUUAUGAGUGGAUGUCACUAGUUUUAAGUAGCCAAUGAAAUAUUUCUCACGUAUUCAAUUUUUGAGGCAAUAAAUGUUGCAUCCUCCUUCUCAUUUGACUUGCAUGAUGGAUGUAAAAAAGAUGCAUGCAUAACCAUUAAUUUCCUUUCUCUAAUCUUUAUGAAUUAAAUAUGGCAUAGAGCUCAAAGCACUUUUAACUCAAUUAGACUCAAAAUGAGCCUAAUAUAAUGGAAAUCUAAAUUUUUUAAGAUAAGCCCUAUAAACCUGAAAUGAGGGAGUAGCUUCCAUGGCGUGAGGACAAAGUUCACUCACUCACCCACAAAUUUUAUUUUGUCAAAUUUGGUGAACUUUGUUUUAUUGUUCGCGGCUUCUUAUUGUUCUUUAAUACUCUCGCUGUGAUUGUUUUAGAGUAAGGUGCCUAUCAUAGUGGCUCGCGCAUCGCGGACAUCUAUAGCAGGUCGCAGGUUCGAUUCCUAGGUAGCGCGUCUUUAUAUUUUUUGAUUCUUCAUUUCGCCAAGGACAUCGAAUGAGACGGCCCAUGUGACUGUCUCCUGUGCGAAGCUGCGCCUCUUAGAGCCAUAGUAAGCGUCACAUAGGAGGUCCCAGAGUUUUGACCAUCCAUGGCAAGUUAAAAUUCGGCUAAUGGGCCACGUUACAUUGUCCAUUUCCAAAUUUGAUUUGAUUAUGUAUUAGUGCAAAGAAAAAAUUAGCGUGCUAAUGGAGCCACAGUCUGGUCGGACGAUCACCCUUGGUCUCUCAAGGACGACGAUGUGCCUUAAGAGUGGUUGUGCGGGACACUUCCGCUCCGAGUGCUAGGCCCCACCCCGAUGCCCCAUGACCCUUGCUUACUUGGGGUACGGUGUGGAAGGGAAGGGUUCUACUACGUUGUCGUCAUGUUGGACGAUGAGUCCGCCCAUCGAGAUUACUUUCAAUCUCAUAUGGGAGGAGUGUGUGCCUACAUCGGUGACUACACGGACAACGACUUCUCUUGCGAGCUCAUGGAGACAACCCAGUGGUCUUCUCAGUGUUGUUUCCAUCGGUCGAGAUGCUCCGUGUUUGCACCCGCGACAACAUCAAGUGUUUGAUCAAUAAGUUCCUGGGCUCCAUUCAGGAGGCUAGGGUGGAGCCUGACCCGGUCGUCCCUCUCGCUCAUGUGUGGAUCAUUGUCUAUGGGCUCCCGAGGGGGGCCAAGGUCGAGCGUAUUAUCAAGGCGGUAUCAGAGCCGACAUGCAAGCUCUUGAGAGUUGACCUUCAGUCCUUGGAGGGUCAUGUCCUCACUCUCAUCAAGGUGCUCUGCACGACGCCUGCUGACAUGGACGAGUUGUCGUUGAUAUUCUACUCUUGCAAGAAAGGAGAGCGACUCACAUAUGAGGUGGACCUAGAAGACCUUGAGAGUAGGGUGUGCCCCGUACCCGCCCCCUCCGUCGGCUUCCUUUAUUGGUCGAGAGGAUGAGGACGUGGACUCCUUUGAGAAGAGUUCCACUAAUGACAAGGGCGGGUCUCCCUCUCAGUUUGCUCACGAGCGCGGGGCUUGUGUCUCGGCAAGGCCAGGCUUGGGGCCCUUUGGGGUGUCCGCCCUCGCGUUGAUCAGUGGGCAAGCGUCUUCAGUUACUCCAACAACUGCUCGGCCUGCCUCCCCACUCUGGUCAUGUGUGAUGGGUCCCCUCGGCUCUUCCCUCGGAAGGAGGAUGAUACGUUAAUUGUGGGAUAGGACAUGUGUCCUUCGUCAUCCACCACCUCCCCUGCACUAGUGUGCUACUCCCUCUCGCCAGGGACCCCUAUCACGCCCAAGAUGCGACCCUAUCCUCAAUUUGGCACGAAGGCCUCGUCAGGGAUAGAAGCGCAUCUCGUCUUGUCGCAAGAAUGGAUAUCAUUACAAGUACAUGUACUGAAAAGAAGAUAUAUAUAUAUAUAUAUNNNNNNNNNNNNNNNNNNNNNNNNNNNNNNNNNNNNNNNNNNNNNNNNNNNNNNNNNNNNNNNNNNNNNNNNNNNNNNNNNNNNNNNNNNNNNNNNNNNNNNNNNNNNNNNNNNNNNNNNNNNNNNNNNNNNNNNNNNNNNNNNNNNNNNNNNNNNNNNNNNNNNNNNNNNNNNNNNNNNNNNNNNNNNNNNNNNNNNNNNNNNNNNNNNNNNNNNNNNNNNNNNNNNNNNNNNNNNNNNNNNNNNNNNNNNNNNNNNNNNNNNNNNNNNNNNNNNNNNNNNNNNNNNNNNNNNNNNNNNNNNNNNNNNNNNNNNNNNNNNNNNNNNNNNNNNNNNNNNNNNUAUAUAUAUAUAUAUAUAGAACCGGCUUACACUCGCCACAAGCUACAUCAGAGUCACAGCAGUACAAUACAUAAACAUCAUGAUGAAGAGCAGGGUCCGACUAUGGACGAAAACAAACGAAAAAAUAAGAACGACGUCCAUCCUUGCUAUCCCAGGUUGUCGGCUUGGAACCCAUCCUAGAUCGAUGAAGAAGAGGAAGAAGAAGCAACUCCAAAUGAACAAUCAACGUGUUCGCGUCAAGUAACAUUUACCUGUACCUGCAACUGGUGUUGUAGUAAUAUGUGAGCCACAAGGGACUCAGCAAUCUCAUUUCCAAAGGUAUCAAGACUAGCAAAGCUUAAUGGGUGAGGUAAGGUUAAGUGAUGAGGUUGCAGCAGCGGCUAAGCAUAUAUAUAUGGUGGCUAACUUACGAGUACAAGAAAAUAAGAGGGGGAAGAUCUACGCAUAGCGGACGUGAACUAUUGAUGAUCAAAGGAAUGAUCCUGAACACCUACCUACGUCAGACAUAACCCCACCGUGUCCUCGAUCGGAGAAGGAACUCACGAAAGAGACAGUCACGGUUACGCACACGGUUGGCAUAUUUUAAUUAAGUUAACUUCAAGUUAUCUAGAACCAGUGUUAAACAAAGUUUCCACGUUGCCACAUAACCGCGGGCACGACUUUCCAAAAAGAUUUAACCCUACAGGGGUGCUCCUACUAGUCCAUCACAAAUUACCACACAUCGGAUUCCUUAGUGGAAAACCUCUACUCUGAGAUUACCCAAAGCAUCAUCGGAAUCCCGAUGCACAAGAUAUUUCAUCAAAGGUAAAACUAAUCCAGCAAGGCCGCCCGACGUGUCGACGAUCCCGAUAGGAGCCGCGUAUCUCGUUCUCAGGACACGACAGAUGGAAAAGCCUACAGGUACCAAACCUCGAGUUGCCCCGUGGUGGCCCCGCAGUUUGCCCAAUUUGGACCAACACUCAUGAGGAGCAUUGGCCCGGGGGUUGAUUAAUUAUCCUUGGGGUCCGGAAAGUCCCUAUGCAAUUUUAUUAGGUUAUUAGGCAAAUGCAGUACCAAAGUUGGGCCUUGCCAGACCAACUUUAAUCUAAAACGAAUUAUCAAGGGGGUCCCCAUAACAACCCCGAUCGUGUUAGGAGCGCUCAAUUAUGGAACAUAACACCGGUAGCCGAAACUAAGGGGCCAAAGGUGGAACAAAACACCAGGCUAGAAAGGCCGAGCCUUCCACCUUUUACCAAGUAUACAGGUCCAUUAAAUUAAAUAGCAUUUAAUAGGGUGAUAUAACAAGGAACCCAUGUUUUCGCAUGGAAGCAACUGCACCUACAACUAGCAACGCUAACACAGGGUUAAGCAAGCGGUAACAUAGCCAAUCAGUGGUUUGCUAGGUUGAACAGGUUGAAGUUUUCAUGGCAUUGUUGAGAGGCUGAUAUUUAACAUGUGGUAGGCAACGAGACAUAAUCGAUAGAAGCGAUAAAACUAGCAUGGCAACAAUAGUAAUGGUAUCUGGGGAAAUGGUCAUCUUGCCUGAGAUCCCGCUUGGAAGAAGAAUGCCUCCGUGAAGCAGACGAAUCGACGUAGUCGAACGGGUCCUCACAAUCCGGCACGCUGCGGAACUCUAUCGAGACGAAGCAAACCGGAAACACAAAUCAACACACGGAAUUCACCACACGAUACACAACACAAAUGAUGCAUGAGCAGCUGAAUACAUGCAAGUCACGGCAUGGCAAAUCACACAAACAAACACUACACAUUAAGCGAAGUUCAAUAUGCAACGAGUUGCAUAUUGACGAAACUCCACGUUUAUUUAUUUAGUUCUAUCCCGAAUAGGUACACGACAAUAUUAAAUGUGAUUAAACAUGGCAAGAGGUGAAGCGAAAUUUAAUCUACCUAUCUAGGCAUUUUAAAUGAGGUCGGAAAUGACAUAUAGCAUCUCCGAGAUGACCUCACAUGUUAAUUUACAAUUCUGUCCAGAUCUGAACUAACACAUUUAAUUAGUUGUUAAACAGAAAAACAAAUAGGAUCACGUGAUUCUACGCGUCGUUACAAGCAAUUUACACAUAGAGAACAUCUCCAACGGAGCUACGGAUCAAAAGAUACGGACACCGCAAGAUAUGAUGGCAUGAAUGCAAUAUGUGUGCAACGGCGGUCACGAGCACUUCAAAACAUACAACCAGCAAGAGAAAAAUGAAACUACACGAGAUUCUAAGCAAUUUUCAUGUAGGACACGAUCAAAUCGGAGCUACGGAUCAAAAGAUACGAGCAAAACAAGAAAUCACUACAAUUUGCCAAAAUCAGCCACAUAGAAUUUUCUACACCCGACAACUACGAGCUACAACAUCCCAAUAGGCUCAAGUAAGGCAUGAGACGAAAGAGGGCAAGAAGCACUACAACAAAAAACUAACAACAACUAGCAUGACAUCAUGGAUCACUAGGAAAAGAAGUCACAAAGUGGCUUCUCACACACUAUUUCAGACUUAGUGAAAAUAGCAGUUUAUGAAGUUGCAGUUUUUGAUCUGAAGGCAUAUUGACAGCAACAAAACCAUAAGCUACAGGACUCCAAAUGGCAUGAAAAUUCACAGCAUGCUAGAGAAACAUAAAGUCUACAACUAACUCCAUUGGACCAACCUCAAAAGAGCUACAGGUCACAAGAUAGAAGCAAGACAAGACAAGAACAAAAUAUAACAGAUUCCAGACUUAGAAAUAUUUCAACACCUCGAAAUCAGCACUAUUUCUAGCAACUUGAGAGCAAUCAAACCACACCUAAACAUGCAUUUCUAUUGCAACCAAAAAUACCAGGGGCUAGAGUAAACACCAAAGAACAACUCCCUAGUUGACAACUCCUUCAAACGAAGCGCGGAAUAAAUCCUACGUAAUAGACAAGAGGGCAACAUGGCAAAGUAUCGCGUGAACUAACUUGCUCAAAAGCUAAAACUAAUUGCACAGAAAAAUCCUAUGGAUUUUUCGACCCCGAAAACACAUAAAACAUGUGGGGUUGCAACACGAAAAUAUUGCCACACGUAAAUGCGAGAUAACGUCCUAUACACGGAAAAUAAACUAGCGACAAAUCCCUACACGCAAAAAUACCAAUGACUACUCUAAAAUACAUGGAAAAGGGGUCCUAGAACAUGAACAUUUCUACCACGGCAUUCGAGCGAUCUGGACACGCGCGAAAAAAUAACUACGGGCAAAAACAUUAUAGACAUCACACGUUUCUAGGCAUAUGGCACGCUAAACGACGUCAAACAAUUAUGCAAGUUGCAAAAUCGUAUUCUAUGCGCAAAACUACACGAAAUCCAUAUGCUACACGCCUCGUUCCGACACACGGUUAAAAAGUUACGGGAAAAAGAAUAAUCGUCUAUUCCCUGGAAUUUAACUAAACCGAAAAAACCUACUUUAACUAACGGCCCUAACAGAGAGGGCGCGACCACUAUGUGACGCCUAGUGCGCGAAAUAGGCAGGCAAAGGGGGGAUUCACCUGAGGGCCACACGGGCCAGGUCGCGAGGUGCUUGGGCCGAGGGGCGCUGCAAUGGAGGCGCUUGGAGGAAUCCGAACAGGGGGGGGCUCCUCACUGGGCCGGCUUGGGGCCCAGCCGAGGAGGGGAUCCGGCCUGCUCGGGCAGGAGGUCAACGCCAGCGAGGAACGAGGGUUCCUCGUCCUCCCGAUGCCUGACGAGGCGAGGACAUGGCGGCGGGAGCACAGCUUGGCGGUAGGCAACUCCGGCCAGGGACUGCGAGCUCCGACCGGCGGGACUGCGAGCUCCGGCCGGCGGGACUGCGGGAACGAGCAGCUCCGGCCUGCCUGCUCCGGAUCCAUGUGACGGCGGCGCGAAACGGGCGCGGGGCGGUGAUACGUCUCAAGCGUAUCUAUAAUUUUCGAUGGUUUCAUGUUGUUAUCUUGUCAUCUUUGGAUGUUUUAUGUACCUUUUAUAUCUUUUUUGGGACUAACUUAUUAAUUCAGUGCCAAGUGCCAGUUCCCGUUUUUUCUGUGUUUUUGGCUCUUUUCAGAUCUGAUUUUGGAACGGAGUCCAAACGGAAUAAAGUCUCCGAAAUGAUUUUUUCCCGAACGGAAGAAGAUCAGGGGGGCUAUGGGCCAAGCCAAGAGGGCUCCAGGGAGCCCACACGCCCCCACUCCGCCACCAGGGGGGAGGCGGCGGUGGCAGGGCUUGUGGCCUCCCAGGCCACCCCCUGACCUAGAACUUCGGCCUAUAUAUUCCCUAAAAUACAGCAAAAAAUCACGGGAGCCUCGAAAUUACUUUUCCGCCGCUGCAAGCUUCCGUUUUCGCGAGAUCUCAUCUGGAGACCCUUCCCGGCGCCCUGCCGGAGGGGACUUUGGAGUUGGAGGGCUUCUUCAUCAUCAUCAUUGCCCCUCCAAUGACUCGUGAGUAGUUCACUUCAGACCUACGGGUCCGUAGUUAGUAGCUAGAUGGCUUCUUCUCUCUCUUGGAUCUUCAAUACAAAGUUCUCCAUGAUCUUCAUGGAGAUCUAUCCGAUGUAAUCUUCUUUGGUGGUGUGUUUGUCGAGAUCCGAUGAAUUGUGGAUUUGUGAUCAGAUUAUCUAUGAUAUAUAUUUGAGUCUUUACUGAUUUCUUAUAUGCAUGAUUUGAUAUCCUUGUAAGUCUCUCCGAGUCUUGGGUUUUGUUUGGCCAACUAGAUCUAUGAUUCCUGCAAUGGGAGAAGUGCUNAGUAAUUUGUUCACCCACUGUCUACUUGUUUUCAUGAGAGAAGCCACUAGUAAACACUACGGCCCCCGGGUCUAUUCACAUCUAUCGUUUCCACUUUUGCUUUUACUUUGCUUUGUUACUUUGUUGCUUUCAGUUCUCGCUUGGCGAACAAUCUAUAAGGGAUUGACAACCCCUUCAUAGCGUUGGGAGCUAGCUUUUUGUGUUUGUGCAGGAUCUUGUGAUACUCCUCCAGUGGAUUGAUACCUUGGUUCUCAAACUGAGGGAAAUACUUACCACCGCUGUGCUACAUCACCCUUUCCGCUUUGAGGGAACACCAACGCAAGGCUCCAAGUCCACGGGGGAAAUCCUUUGCAUAUUUGCUUAGGAAGUCCCUUAAGGCGUAGCCGCAGCAGAAGAAUUCCUGGUGUCGUCGACACGACUAUUCCUGGCGCCGCUGCCAGGGAAGCACAGCUGACAUCAUAAGUAUUUAUGGCACCGUUGCCGGGGAGGAGAGAUCAAGAUCUAUCCAAGUAGGUCUCACAAACUCAUCUCUUGCAUUUACUUUUGUUGCCAGUUGCCUCUCGCUUUCCUCUCCCCCACUUCACAUUUGCCGUUUUCAUUUGCCUUUCUCCUUCGCCGUUUUCUUUUACCUUUGUCGUUGCCGGUUUUCUUGCUUGCUUGUGUGCUUGUUUGUUUGUUGAAGCCAUCAUGGCUGAAAACAGCAAACUUUGCGACUUCUCGAGCACUAAUAAUAAUGAUUUUAUUAGUACUCCAAUUGCUCCCGCCACUAGUGCGGAAUCGUAUGAAAUCAACGCAGCUUUGCUGAAUCUUGUUAUGAAAGAGCAAUUCUCUGGCCUUCCUAGCGAAGAUGCCACAUCCCAUCUCAAUACCUUCAUUGAACUUUGUGAUAUGCAAAAGAAAAGAGAUGUGGAUAAUGAUGUGAUUAAGUUGAAACUUUUUCCUUUCUCGUUGCGAGAUCGUGCAAAAACUUGGUUUUCUUCUUUGCCUAAAAAUAGUAUCAAUUCUUGGGAUAAGUGCAAAGAUGCUUACAUAUCCAAGUAUUUUCCGCCGGCUAAGAUCAUCUCCUGACGUAACGAUAUCAUGAAUUUCAAGCAACUUGAUCAUGAACACGUUGCGCAAUCUUGGGAGAGGAUGAAGCUUAUGAUUAGAAAUUGUCCCACUCAUGGCUUGAGUUUGUGGAUGAUUAUACAAAUCUUUUACGCUGGCUUGAAUUUCGCUUCUCGCAGUAUCUUGGACUCCGCCUCAGGUGGAACAUUCUUGGAAAUCACGUUAGGAGACGCUACAAAGCUCCUAGACAAUAUCAUGACCAACUACUCUCAGUGGCACACUGAAAGGUCGCCCACUAGCAAAAAGGUGCACGCCAUAGAAGAAAUUAACUCGCUUAGUGCUAAGAUGGACGAGUUGAUGAAUUUGGUUGCUAGUAGAAACGCUACCGUAGAUCCUAAUGACAUGCCACUAUCUUCUUUGAUUGAGAGUAGCAACGCUAGUUUGGACGUGAAUUUUGUUGGUAGGAACAAUUUUGGCAACAACAACGCUUUUAUAGGAAACUAUGUUCCUAGGCCUUUUCUAGUAACUCCUCUAACAAUUAUGGGAAUUCCUACAACAACACUUAUGGAAAUCACAACAAAUUACCCUCUGAUUUAGAGAGUAAUAUCAAAGAGUUCAUUAACUCUCAAAAGAUUUUCAAUGCGUCCAUAGAGGAAAAACUACUCAAAAUAGACGAUUUGGCUAAGAGCGUUGAUAGGAUGUCUUGUGAUAUUGAUGCUUUGAAAGUUAGAUGCGCUCCUCCCAAGGUCAACUUGGAUGUAUCUUUGAAAGCUAUGCGUGUCUCCAUGAAUGAGAGCAAAGAAAGAAACGCCCAAAUUCGCGCUAGGCAUGAAUGGUUUAAAAGGGUGUGUUCUAGUGAUGCAAAUCACGAGGAUCUUAAAGUGCUUGGUGUGUCUCCUCUUAAAUCUUUGUUUUCGUGUGUCAAACCUAUUUAUGGAGGGGCUGGAUAUGAAUCCACUUUGGUUGAAAAACGCCCCAAUGAUUCGGAGUCCACCCAUCUUGAUGAUAAAGGUGUGGAGAGUUGAGUAGAAGAAGUCAAAAUUUUGGGUAGUAAUGAAACUCCCACUUUGGAUUUCAAGGAAUUCAAUUAUGAUAAUUGCUCCUUGUUUGAAUGCAUUUCUUUGAUGCAAUCCAUUGCAAACUCUCCACGUGCUUAUAGCCAAAGCAAAGCCUUUACCGCGCAUAUCGUAGAUGCUAUGAUGAAAUCUCUUGAAGAGAAGCUCGAAUUAGAAGUCUCUAUACCUAGAAAACUUCAUGAUGAGUGGGAACCUACUAUCAAAAUCAAGAUCAAAAACUAUGAGUGCAAUGCUUUGUGUGAUUUGGGUGCUAGUGUUUCCGCGAUUCCAAAGUCUUUAUGUGAUAUUCUUGGUUUUCAUGAGAUUGAAGAGUGUUCUCUUAAUUUGCAUCUUGCGGAUUCUAUUGUCAAGAAACCCAUGGGAAGGAUCGAUGAUGUUCUUAUUGUUGCAAAUAAGAACUAUGUACCCGUGGAUUUCAUUGUACUUGACAUAGAUUGCAAUCCUUCAUGUCCCGUUAUUCUUGGUAGACCUUUCCUAAGGACUAUUGGUGCUAUCAUCGAUAUGAAGGAAGGGAAUAUUAGAUUUCAAUUUCCUUUGAAGAAGGGCAUGGAGCACUUUCCUAGAAAGAAAAUAAGAUUGCCUUAUGAAUCUAUGAUGAGGGCUACUGAUGUUUUGAGCACCAAAGAUGACUAUACGUGAUUUCAUCACCUUUCGCCUAGCUAAGGGCGUUAAACAAAAGCGCUUGUUGGGAGGCAACCCAACGAAUCUAUCCUUUUUCUUUCUGUUUUGUGUUUUCCACACUUUCAUAAUUCUGUUAUGAUUGUGUUUUUUGUGUUUUUUUUGCGUUUGUGCCAAGCAAAACCGUUAUGAUUAGUCUUGGGGAUGAUCGUUUGGUCAUGCUGGAAAAGACAGAAACUUUCUGCUCACGAAAAGAAUUUUCAUUUUUUGUCUGUAAGAGCUUUUGAGUUGAUUCUUUUUGCUUCUGAUUUGUAAGCAAAUUAUUCAGGCUGUAGUAAUGUUUCAGAAUUUUUGAAGUACCAUAGGUAUACGAAAUAUACAGAUUGCUACAGACUGGUCUGCUGUUAACAGAUUCUGUUUUUGUUGUGUUGGUUGCUUAUUUUGAUGAAACUAUGGAUAGUACCGGGGGGUAUUAGCCAUGGAAGAUUGAAAAUACAGUAACCCAACAUCAGCACAAGUAGAAUUUAAGUUUGCUACAGUACCUAAGGAAGUGGUGGUUUGCUUUCUCAUACUAAUGUUAUCAUGAGUUUCUGUUUAAGUUUCGUGUUGUGAAGUUUUCAAGUUUUGGGUGAAGUUCUUAUGGACAAAGAGAUAAAGAGUGGCAAGAGAUCAAGCUUGGGGAUGCCCAAGGCACCCCAAGAUAUUCAAGGAUGCCGUAAAAGCCUAAGCUUGGGGAUGCCCCAGGAAGGCAUCCCCUCUCUCGUCUUCAAUCCAUCGACAACGUUACUUGGGGCUAUAUUUUUAUUCACCACAUGUUAUGUGUUUUUGCUUGGAGCAUCUUGUAUCGUAGGAGUCUUUUAUUUUUGUUGUGUCACAAUCAUCCUUGCUGCACACCUAGAGAGAGAGAGACAUGCACUCACCGUGAUUUUGUCGAGCUUCACUUAUAUCUUUUGGUAGACAAUUCAUCUCACAUGUGCUUCACUUAUAUCUUUUGAGCUAGAUACUUUUGCUCUAUGUGCUUCACUUAUAUCUUUUGGUAGACAAUUCAUCUCACAUGUGCUUCACUUAUAUCUUUUGAGCUAGAUACUUUUGCUCUCUGUGCUUCACUUAUAUCUUUUAUAGCGCAGCGGUGCGUGGCUUGGUAGUUGAUCUAUGCUUUGAAAGUAGUCUCAAAAGGGGUAGUUAUGCAAAGGGAUACGAAAACUUCCACCUUCAUGUGAACUGAAUUGUUAGAGAAGUUUGAUUCAUCUCAAUUAGUUUUGAGUUGUGGUUAUGGUAAUAUUGAAGUCAUGAUAGUAAGGUGUUGUGGAUCUAGAAAUACUUUUGUUGAAGUUAGUGAUUCCCGUAGCAUGCACGUAUGGUGAACCGCUAUGUGAUGAAAUCUGAGCAUGAUUAGUCUAUUGAUUGUCAUCCUUUGCGUGGCGGUCGGGAUCACGCGAUGGUUUAUACCUACCAACCCUUCCCCUAGGAGUAUGCGUUGAAUGCUUUGUUUCGAUUACUAAUAAAACUUUUGCAACAAGUAUAUGAGUUCUUCAUGACUAAUGUUGAGUCCUUGGUUUAGAUGCACUUUCACCUUCCACCAUCACUAUCUUCUUAGUGCCGUGCAACUUCCGCCGGUGCACAAAACCCACCAUUAGCCUCCCUGAAAACAGCCACCAUACCUACCUACUAUGGCCUUUUCAAAGUCAUUCCGAGAUAUAUUGCCAUGCAACUACCACCAUGACAUGUGCCACCACGUCUACAUUGCCAUUGCAUGAUCGUAAGAUAGCUAGCAUGAUGUUUCCAUUAAUGUCUAUGCCAUGCUGGAUCAUUGUCACGGUACACUACCGAAGGCAUUCCAUAUAGAGUCAUCGUUGCUCUAAGUUUUGAGUUGAAAGUGUGAUGAUCAUCAUUAAUGGAGCAUUGUCCCAUGUGAGGAAAUAAAAGAUCCCAAAUAAGCCCACCAAAAUAAAAAAAGAGGCCAAAGAGCCCACCAAAAAUUUAAAAAAAAUGAGAGAAAAAGAGAGAAGGGACAAUGCUACCACUUUUUCCACACUUGUGCUUCAUAUUAAGCACCAUGAUCUUCAUGAUUGAGAGUCUCUCGUUUUGUCACCACCAUAUAGCUAGUGGGAAAUUUUCAUUAUAUAACUUGGCCUGUAUAUUUCAAUGAUAGGCUUCCUCAAAAUUGCCUUAGGUCUUAGUGAGCAAGCAAGUUGGAUGCACACCCACUAGUUUUCUUUAAGAGCUUUCACUUACUCGUAGCUCUAGUGCAUCAUUUGUAUGGCAAUCCCUACUCAUUCACAUUGAUAUCUAUUGGUGAGCAUCUCCACAGCUCAUUGAUAUGCCUAGUUAAUGUGACUAUCUUCUCCUUUUUUCUUGCAACCUCCACCACACUCCACACCAUCUAUAGUGCUAUAACCAUGGCUAACGCUCAUGUAUUACGUGAGAGUUGAAAAGGUUUGAGAAAGUAAAGGUGUGAAACAAUUACUUGGACAAUACCGGGGUUGUGCAUGAUUUAAAUUCGUUGUGCAAUGAUGAUAGAGCAUAGCCAGACUAUAUGCUUUUGUAGGGAUAACUUUCUUUUCGCCUUGUUAUUUUGAAAGUUCAUGAUUACCUUGCUAGUUUGCUUAAAUUAUUAUUGUUUCCACGUCAAUAGCAAACUAUUGUUUUGAAUCUAAUGAAUCUGAACAUUCACGUCACAUAAGAGGAGUUACAAAGGACAUCUAUGCUAGGUAGCAUGAAAACAUCAAAAAUUCAUUCUUUAUCACUUCCGUACUCGAGGACGAGCAGGAGUUAAGCUUGGGGAUGCUUGAUACGUCUCAAACGUAUCUAUAAUUUUCGANNNNNNNNNNNNNNNNNNNNNNNNNNNNNNNNNNNNNNNNNNNNNNNNNNNNNNNNNNNNNNNNNNNNNNNNNNNNNNNNNNNNNNNNNNNNNNNNNNNNNNNNNNNNNNNNNNNNNNNNNNNNNNNNNNNNNNNNNNNNNNNNNNNNNNNNNNNNNNNNNNNNNNNNNNNNNNNNNNNNNNNNNNNNNNNNNNNNNNNNNNNNNNNNNNNNNNNNNNNNNNNNNNNNNNNNNNNNNNNNNNNNNNNNNNNNNNNNNNNNNNNNNNNNNNNNNNNNNNNNNNNNNNNNNNNNNNNNNNNNNNNNNNNNNNNNNNNNNNNNNNNNNNNNNNNNNNNNNNNNNNNNNNNNNNNNNNNNNNNNNNNNNNNNNNNNNNNNNNNNNNNNNNNNNNNNNNNNNNNNNNNNNNNNNNNNNNNNNNNNNNNNNNNNNNNNNNNNNNNNNNNNNNNNNNNNNNNNNNNNNNNNNNNNNNNCUUGUGGCCUCCCAGGCCGCCCCCUGACCUAGAUCUUCGGCCUAUAUAUUCCCUAAAAUACAACAAAAAAUCACGGGAGCCUCAAAAAUACUUUUCCGCCGCUGCAAGCUUCCGUUUCCGCAAGAUCUCAUCUGGAGACCCUUCCCGACGCCCUGCCGGAGGGGACUUUGGAGUUGGAGGGCUUCUUCAUCAUCAUCAUCGCCCCUCCAAUGACUCGUGAGUAGUUCACUUCAGACCUAUGGGUCCGUAGUUAGUAGCUAGAUGGCUUCUUCUCUCUCUUGGAUCUUCAAUACAAAGUUCUCCAUGAUCUUCAUGGAGAUCUAUCCGAUGUAAUCUUAUUUGGCGGUGUGUUUGUCGAGAUCAGAUGAAUUGUGGAUUUGUGAUCAGAGUAUCUAUGGUAUAUAUUUGAGUCUUUGCUGAUUUCUUAUAUGCAUGAUUUGAUAUCCUUGUAAGUCUCUCCGAGUCUUGGGUUUUGUGUGGCCAAGUAGAUCUAUGAUUCUUGCAAUGGGAGAAGUGCUNAGUAAUUUGUUCACCCACCGUCUACUUGCUUUCAUGAGAGAAGCCACUAGUAAACACUACGACCCCCGGGUCUAUUCACAUUUAUCGUUUACACUUUCGCUUUUACUUUGCUUUGUUACUUUGUUGCUUUCAGUUCUCACUUGUUGAACAAUCUAUAAGGGAUUGACAACCCCUUCAUAGGUUUACUUGGGUCUACUUGGGAGCAAGCUUUUUGUGUUUGUGCAGGAUCUUGUGAUACUCCUCCAAUGGAUUGAUACCUUGGUUCUCAAACUGAGGGAAAUACUUACCACCGCUGUGCUACAUCACCCUUUCCGCUUCGAGGGAACACCAACGCAAGGCUCCAAGGCCACGGGGGAAAUCCUUUGCAUAUUUGCCUAGGAAGUCCCUUAAAGCGUAGCCGCAGUAGAAGGAUUCCUGGUGCCGUCGACGCGACUAUUCCUGGCGCCGUUGCCAGGGAAGCACAACUGACAUCACGUGGCGCGCGGCUUCGCCAGAUCUGGCAGCAGCGGCUACUGCAGCAGGAGGCGCCAUGGACGGCGGGCUGCUGCUGGCUGCAUGGCUUGGCCUGGCCAGAGGGCGGCGCGGGGUAGAUAGGGCGGCGGGAGCUGCUCGGGGCACCUCGGCAAGGGGCUGGUGGGGUUGCCCCGGCGCGGCAGCUCCACGAGGAGCUCGGCCAUGGGAGGAGAAUGAGGGCGGCGGCCGGAUGGGCUUCAGGCGGGCCGCGCGUGGGCUCGGGCGGGCCCGGUGGCUGGGGGAGGAGAGAGAGGUGGGGGAGUCAGUGUGUGGGGGGCACGGAAAUCGAGGCAGGGUCUAGGGUUUGCCUAAAAAAUAGGAGGGGGUCUAUAUAUAGAGAAAAGGGGGGCUAGGUUAACCGGAAAUUCGUUCCGGAUCCAACCGUGGGGUCGGAUUCGAACGAUUCCGCACGCGGGAACGGGUACGUGGCUGUGGAGAGUGGUUUACUGGAGACGAGAGGGCAAACGGGCGGCGCGGCAACAAGUUUUAAAACACCGACAAACGUGUGACGGUAGACCGAAUACGGUGCCACUACGGUCGACCGUUCGGGUACCAGACAGAAUCCGAUCGCGACGAAACUUGACAGGAGGCCUACCUAUAUUAAAAUAACACCGCACGUGAAAUCUCAACCCAAUCAGAGAGAGUUUUACGCGCACUUUUAAAACAAGGUUUCGAUGAUGCCGCGGGCGCGUGCGUGUGUGAACGGGCUCAGAACGAACAAUGACGAGAACCGGCAACUAACAACAGAUGCAACUUUUGAAAACUGGCGGCAACGGGGUGCCGAUGUAAUGCUGACGAUGCGCAUGAUGCGAUGAUGAUCGACAAAAGAAAAAUAGGCACACGACGAAAACGGAAUAGAAGGGGAAUCUUCUGGAACGUCAGCAUUGGGCUGUCACCCCCCCCUUUUCUAGUCGGGUCCCUGAUGAUGGUGCUUGCAACCCUCAUUCGCAUGUCUUGGGGUUGACUACGACCUGCUCCAACUCUCAUGUCGUUUGCCCCAAGGCCCGCCUAGUGUCGCCCCCUCUAUGGCCUCUAGACACAGUGCAUGUCUCUGCAAUGCCCAGUCCAUGUUUGGCGGCCGUGUGUUGACUAUGUUGGGGAAUGUAGUAGAAAACAAAGAAAAUGCCCUACGAUCAACUCGGAACACUAUGAAGAUACAAUAAUGGUUGAGAUCAAGAUAGUUGUCGUCACUGAGUUGCAGAGGAAGACGAGCGUGAUGAUGUUGAUCGCACUUGGAGUCCCUUGAACCAUAAAUGAAUGAUCCCGCCAACCGCCCAUGGACAAUCCCUUGAAUUGAAGACCGAAAGCAAGACCUCUUGCCUUGGUUGCAAGCGUCCAGUCUUCACGAUCAGGUAGCGCUUCGCCGUCCAGAGCUAAUCUUUUUGGGGAAUUAUAGGGAGGAUAUUAGAGACACACGGUGCUUCUAAUUAUGAGGAUUAGAGGAACAAGAUCUAGCUCUAAUUAGUCAACUAGGAUCAACUAGAGCUAGAACUAAAAGAACUAGAGGAGGCUCGAAAACUUGUGUGUUUCAAUAGGGUCAAUACCUCAAGUAUAUAUAGGUUAGAGGGGAGGGAGCGACAGCCACCAAGGAGGGAAAACCUCCUUGGGGCACCGACCAAAGGGGAGGAGUCCAACUCCCCCCCCACACACACAAGGAAAGGGGGCACGUCCACCACUUGGGCCCUUGUGGUCCAAGUUGGCUUCCACCUCAUGGCCUUUUUAGGCCCGUUGAUAUUUUAUUAAAUAUAAAAUUGUUCUAAAUACUUUUAGACCAUUUAAUAUAUAAUUUAACAUCCCAGUAAACAUUUUCCACUUAUAUAUAUGUCGGGGGGAUAACCCCGGGGUAGGCUCAUCGAGCCUGCUCCUUCAUCUCCUGCCCAAAAGGAAUGACCAAGCAUAAUUCUCCAAGGCCCAAGUACUCUGGCCGGCUAGGCUGCGCCUACCGGCUCGAGGACGAGACAACCAACUCUCUGGCCAGCUAGGCAACCCCUGUCGGCUAGAGGUGAGAUGGCUACCUCUUCCUGACCGCCUUGGCCAAGCGAGCUGGCUAGGAAUGAAGCGGUCGUGCCCCAGCCGGCUAGCCAAGCGGGCUAGCCGGCCGGGGAUCUCAAGUCACAUCAGAUCGUAGGUCAUGACGAGACCCUAUGAUUAAAGGUGGCUACGCGUCAGCAAAGGUACUGGAUCAGAGUGCCUGGCAGGUACGAGCGUCGGCGGCCAUGCCGCUGACCUACCCGGCUCUGAUCCAUCACCCAUCAUAGUGUCGGACCGUCAAACUCCCACUCUAUUACUGCACUCGGCGUGGGAACAGUGGAGACGGCCGUACUAUCUGCCCAUGAUGAACCUCGCUAGACGACGUCAGACGUACCGCGCGUGCUCGGCGUCAACCUUACGCGAGAGCUUCAUUGGCUAGCCGGCGGGUCCCACAGCUAGACGGGACCUCGCAGCCGGUGGGCCCCUCAAGUGACAAGACAAGACCCUCAUGGGGCCCCUGGCCGGCCGGCGAGCCUGGCAGCCAGGUCCCACUCUUGUACCCUUUAUUCAUAUUGUAGGCCGGUGGGUUUGUCUAUAAAAAACCCCCGGUCGCCCUCCAUGCAGAGGGUCGGUCGAACAACAGAUCACACUCACCAACCACAUAGAGAGAGGCAGAGACGAGUCGGCUGCUCCCCUCUUCCUCCUCCUCAACACAGCUCCAGGAGCAACCUUGUAAUCCAUCCAUAUACAUCAUACACUCCGGCAGGAUUAGGGGUCUUAUCUAUAUGGAGAGCCCCGAACAUGGGUACAUCGUGCGUUCCAUGCUUGUACCAACCUCGUUCCCAGCGCCCUCCGUUGCCCCUUCGGUUCUCACCGACUUUAGCCUACCUAUGGCAUAUGUUGUGAGUAUUCACCGGCAUUUGGCGCCCACCAUGGGGCCGAUCGCGGCAUCGGCUGGCUUGACGCGCUGGGCGGGGCCCCGCACCUACACCACCGGAUGCAUCGCGUCCGGAUCGAUCUGCAUGCCCGUGGAGCCCACUUUCGAUGAGGCAACACCGAUGAUGAUCGACGUCCCCGUCCGCCAUGUGGAUCCGGACAAAGAUUCCGAUGACGAGGUGCCUCCUACCGUCGUCGUCGCUGCUAUGGAGAACCUCAGCGUUCUCUUUAGCUACCUGUGUCUCAACGAUGGUCCUCGCUACUUCGGUGAGGACUUCGAUGUUGAGGCGCUGUGCGCCAGCUUCAGUAGGCUCUUGAUACGUCUCAAACGUAUCUAUAAUUUUUAAUGGUUUCACGCUGUUAUCUGGUCAACUUUGGAUGUUUUGUUUACCUUUUAUAUCUUUUUUGGGACUAACUUAUUAACUCAGUGCCAAGUGCGAGUUCCUGUUUUUUCUGUGUUUUUGACCUUUUUCAGAUCUGAUUUUGGAAUGGAGUCCAAACGGAAUAAAAUCCCCAAAAUGAUUUUUUCUAGAACGGAAGAAGAUCGGGAGGCUUGAGGGCCAAGGAAGUGGGCCCACAGGGGGCCCAGAAGCCCUGUUGCCGCGGCCAAGGGGGGAGGCCGCAGCAACCAAGCUUGUGCCCCCCCUCGCGCACCCCUGCCCUAGGUCUUUGGCCUAUAAAUUCCCUAAAAAUCCAGAAAAAAUCAGGGCAUCCACGAAAACACUUUUCCACCGCCGCAAGCUUCUGUUUCCGUGAGAUCUCAUCUGGAGACCCUCCCCGGUGCCCUGCCGGAGGGGACUUUGGAGUUGGAGGGCUUCUACAUCAACAUCAUCGCCCCUCCAAUGACUCGUGAGUAGUUCACUUCAUACCUACGGGUCCGUAGUUAGUAGUUAGAUGGCUUCUUCUCCCUCUUGGAUCUUCAAUACAAAGUUCUCCAUGAUCUUCAUGGAGAUCUAUCCGAUGUAAUCCUCUUCGGCGGUGUGUUUGUCGAGAUCCGAUGAAUUGUGGAUUUGUGAUCAGAUUAUCUAUGAUUUAUAUUUGAGUCUUUGCUGAUUUCUUAUAUGCAUGAUUUGAUAUCCUUGUAAGUCUCUCCGAGUCUUGGGUUUUGUUUGUCCAACUAGAUCUACGAUUCUUGCAAUGGGACAAGUGCUUGGUUUUGGGUUCUUACCGUGUGGUGACCUUUCCUAGUGACAGAAGGGGCAACAAGGCACAAAUCGUGUUGUUGCCAUCAAGGGUAACAAGAUGGGCUUUGUCGUAGAUAUGAGAUUAUCCAUCUACAUCAUGUCAUCUUGCUUAAGGCGUUACUCUGUUCUCAUGAACUUAAUACACUAGAUGCAUGCUGGAUAGCGGUCGACGUGUGGAGUAAUAGUAGUAGAUGCAGAAAGUAUCGGUCUACUUGUUUUGGAAGUGAUGCCUAUAGAUAUAAUCAUUGCCAUAGAUAACGUCACGAUUUUGCGCGGUUCUAUCAAUUGCUCAACAGUAAUUCGUUCACCCACCGUCUACUUGCUUUCAUGAGAGAAGGCACUAGUGAACACUACGGCCCCCGGGUCUAUUCACACCUAUCGUUUCCACUUUCGCUUUUACUUUGCUUUGUUACUUUGUUGCUUUCAGUUCUCACUUGGCAAACAAUCUCUAAGGGAUUGACAACACCUUCAUAGCGUUGGGAGCAAGCUCUUUGUGUUUGUGCAGGUACUUGUGAUACUCCUUCACUGGAUCGAUACCUUGGUUCUCAAAACUGAGGGAAAUACUUACCACCGCUGUGCUACAUCACCCUUUCCGCUUCGAGGGAACACCAAUGCAAGGCUCCAAGGCCACGGGGGAAUCCUUUGCAUAUUUGCCUAGGAAGUCCCUAAAGGCGUAGCUGUAGCAGAAGGAUUCCUGGUGUCGUUGCUGAUGAGAAUCAAGACAAGAAUAGACUCCCGUCAGCACGCUUGUUUCUAGCGCCGUUGGAAGGUCUUUUGUUGCAGUGGCAGCUCUCUAUCACUGAGAUGCCUGCACAUGACGUGUACCCCAACAACGUACUCGUCUUCGACGGGCCUCCGCUGUCGGUGGGGUUCUUCACCCCGUACCAUGUCGCCGCCGUCUCCAACGUCGUGGAGGUGAUGGUCAUCAGCGCUGGCACCAGCACGACUCAUGGCAAGGCGUCAACAGACGCUGGUGAGCCUGCUGCUGUCACCGCUGACACUCUUUAGGACGCACUCGCCGGCCUGAAGACGCCCAUCGCCGCUUCCACAAACCCUAACGACGUCUGUGCCUCGCUGGAGGAGGCUCGCAAGCAGAUCUUGGAGGAGGGCAUUGUCGUCGCCUCGGAAAAGCAUUAGAUGGAGGCCACGCAGCGCGAGUAUAACUCCGCAUACGACCUCACUCCGACUUCCGAGGCCCCUAGCCGGCUUGGAUCGGUCCGCGACUGCGGCCGGUUCAUUGCCGAGAUCCUAGGCGGCAACCAGCCCGUCUACGAGACCCCUGCAGCCAACUUGUGGGCGACGUAGGCGGCCAUGGAAGAAAUGCCCAGCUUGGAAGGCGAGGAGCGCGCCUUCCAAGAGAAGCGGGUCAAGGAUCUCCUUGAUGCUGCCAACGAGCAGCAGAUGCGGCUUGACCCCGGUCAGGCCCAGUCAGAGUCUCCGGGACCCAACCCCGGAGCACCCUGCAACCCUAGCGGUCAUCACCACGCGGAGGGAUCUUCCUCGCAUCGCACCUCCGCCCGGAGGGGCGAGGGAAGUCAAGAUAGGCGCUCCCAGCGCCAGAGCGAGCAUACUUCGAGCAGGCGCCGCGAAGGCGACGGGAGUGACUCGAUGUAUGAGGUUCCUCAUCCGGGGAGGACCCAUGCCACCGGUUCACAAGGUGCCAUUCCGAUCGCGGCUCGGAUAGGCGCUCGCGUUCCUCAGGGCGACUAGGACGCCCGGAGGCGUCUCAACGCCCUGGCCCAGUCAGCCCUCCUGGAGGAGGACAGUCCCAUCGGUCCGGCUUGCUUCGGCCCCCGGAUCCGAGGGGAGCCGUUUCCCCGAGGCUUCACCUUGCCUCGGGAUACUCCCAAGUACAAUGGCACCGCCAAGCCAGAGGACUGGCUGAUCGAUUACACCACCACCGUUGGCAUGGCGAGGGGAAACAAGCGCGUAGCAGUCCGCUACGUGCCACUCAUGUUGGCCGGAUCGGCUCAGACUUGGCUCAACAGCCUUCCAGCCGGCAGCGUCAACUCAUGGGUGGACUUCGAGGAGGCAUUCGUCCGCAACUUCACCGGUACCUACAAGCGCCCUGGCCGGCCUCGCGAGCUGUCCAUGUGCGUCCAGAGGCCCGACGAACCCCUUCGUGACUACGUCACUCGCUGGACGGAGCUUCACAAGUCCUGCGAGGGGGUGCAUGAGGUACAUGCCAUCCAGUACAUCAUUGACGGUUGCCGAGACGGCACCCUCCUCAAGCAGAAGCUCAUGCGCUCCAAGCCCACCUCUCUGGCGGUGCUCAUGGCCAAGGCGGACAACUACGCCACGGCCGACUUGGCGAUGCGGGUCAAGGUGACCGCCUUGGACAAGACUGUCCCCAGCCGGCUACUCCCAAGCCGGCUAGAGACGGUCGACGCGGCCAGAACAACAAUAAGCGCAAGGCGGAUCAGCUAGAUUCGCGCUCCAACAACAAGUUGGUAGCCAGCGUGGAGGGUGAGACGUCGGCUCCUCAAGCGGGCUCUCAACGGAAGCGACCCAACAAGGGCAACACGAACUGGUUGCCCAAGCAGACCUUCGAGCAGCUGCUUGAUGCCCCGUGCAAGAUACAUUCUGGGGCACAUCCUUCUACCCAUACCCUUCGACAGUGCCGCUUUGGACGACGGCUGUCGCAAGGGGAGGGCCUGCCGGCUGCCCGAGGUGCACAGGCUGCGCCUCAAGCCCCGACUCCUGGUCCUGCCCCGGCUCCACCGCCGCCGUCUCGCGACGACGGCCGCCUCCACGACGACUACCCCCAUCAAGACGGAGCAUUCGUCGUCUUCACCAGUGAAGGCGACGAUAAGCAUAGCCUGCGCCAGAGACAGCGUGAGGCGAAUGCCACGGUUCCCCCGGUUCCCCAAUACAUGCAUUGGUCUGACAGACCAAUCACAUGGAGCCGGGUGGACCAUCUUGCGGUGAUGCCCAACUCGGGCUCAUAUGCGCUCGUCCUCGACCCCACCUUCGCCUCCAAGAGGCUCACCUACCGAUUCUCCCGGGUGCAGGUCGAUGGCGGCAGCAGCAUCAACAUCUUCUACCUCGACACUCUCCGCAAGCUCGGGCUCAAGGAGACGGACGUCCUGCCGACCAACAGUGUCUUCCACGACAUCGUGCCUGGGCAGUCCUGCUCGCCAAUCGGCAAAAUCCAACUGGACGUCCUCUUCGACGACAAGGCUCACUUCCGCCGAGAGUCCAUAUGGUUCGAGGUAGUGGACCUCAGUAGCCCGUAUCACACGCUGCUGGGCAGACCGGCUCUGGCCAAGUUCAUGGCUAUCCCGCACUACGCCUACCUAAAGAUGAAGAUGUCGGGUCCGAAGGGAAUCAUCACCAUUGGUGGCGACUACAGGAAGUCGCUCGAGUGCGCCCAAGACAGCAGCCGCCUGGCCGACGCCCUGGUGAUUGCUGAGGAGAGAGACAGAUCGACCGGCUUGUGGCCUAGGCUACCGAGCAGUCGGCGAUCCCUUCUCCUCUGUCCCAAUCGGCCGGCGAAGGCUCCUUCAAGCCGGUCAAAGAGUCCAAGCAGGUGCCACUCGACCCUGCAAACCCCAAGCAGUGCGUCACCAUUGGGGCUCGCCUCAGCCCCAAAUAGGAAGGCAAUCUCAUCGACUUCCUCCGUGAGAAUCGAUACAUCUUCGCAUGGUCCCCCAAAGACAUGCCGGGUGUUCCGAGGAAGUACGCCGAGCACAAACUUCAAGUGCGACAGGAUGAAAAGCGGGUAAAACAACCUUGGCGCCGCUUUGCCGAGGGGAAGCGGCGCACAAUUGGAGAAGAGAUUUCCCGACUCCUUGCAGCCGGCUUCAUCAUGGAGGUUUUCCACCCGGACUAGUUGGCCAAUCCAGUCCUGGUGCUGAAAAAGAACAACACAUGGCGAAUGUGUAUCGACUACACUAGCUUAAAUAAGGCCUCUACGAAAGACCCUUUUGCGUUGCCUAGGAUAGAUCAAGUGAUCGACUCCACUGCAGGCUGCGAAAUGCUGUCAUUUCUGGAUGCUUAUUCAGGCUACCAUCAAAUCAAGCUGGAUCCAGCUGAUCGCCUGAAGACCUCCUUCAUCACGCCCUUCGGGGCCUACUGCUACACCACCAUGACGUUCGGUCUGAAGAACGCUGGUGCGACGUUCCAACGCUGCAUGCAGCAGUGCCUACUGCCACAGAUCAGCAGAAACAUCCACAUCUAUGUGGAUGACAUCGUUGUAAAGACGAAGCAGCACUUCAGCCUCCUCGACGACUUGCGGGAGACGUUUGCCAACCUGCGCGAAUACAAGAUCCGGCUCAACACGGAGAAGUGUGUCUUUAGGGUUCCAGGCGGCAAAAUCUUGGGGUUCUUCGUGUCCGCUCAUGGCAUCGAGGCGAACCCUGAGAAGAUCGGCACCAUCGAGCGGAUGGUGCGGUCGACUCGGAUCCUAGACGUCCAGAAGUUCGCCGGCUGCCUGGCGUCCCUUAGCCGGUUUGUCAGCCGGCUUGGCGAGAAGGCCCUUCCACUCUACCAGCUCAUGAAGAAGAAGACGAAGUUCGAGUGGAACGACCAGGCGGACGAAGCCUUCUGCGACCUCAAGCGGGUCAUCUCGAGCCUGCCAAUCUUGGCAGCGCCGGCUGAAAGGGAACCCAUACUCAUAUACAUUGCAGCGACCACUCACGUGGUUAGUGUAGUGCUGGUAGUUCAACGCAAGGAGGAGGGCAAGAAAUCAUGGGCAACCGUGAUGUAACGGGCAGGAUCGCUAGGUGGUUCAUCGCCAUGGCGGACCACGAUAUCCGCUACGAGCCUCGCACCACCAUCAAAUCUCAGGUGGUGGCCGACUUCUUAGUCGACUAGGCCGAAACCCAGUUCGAGCCACCACCUCCAGACUCUACGCAUUGGCGGAUGCACUUCGACGGCUCAAAGAUGCGGACUGGUCUGGGAGCCGGCAUCGGCUUGACGUCUCCGAAAGGAGACCAGCUCAAGUAUGCUCUCUAGAUCCACUUUGCCACCUCCAACAACGUCGCCGAGUACGAAGCACUCGCUCAUGGCCUCCGGCUCGCCAAGGAGAUUGGCAUCCGACGGCUCAUAUGCUUCGGCGACUCAGACCUGGUGGUGCAGGAAGUUUCUGGCGAAUGGGACGCCAGGGACGCCAACAUGGUAAGCUACCGCUUCCUCAUCCAGCAGCUCAGCGGCCCCUUCGAGGGUUGCGAGUUCCACCAUGUUCCCAGAGUAGACAAUGAGGUGGCGGAUACACUGGCCAAGAUCGGCUCCAUGAGACAGGCUAUCCCAGCCGGUGUCUCCCUCGAGCAGCUCCACAAGCCGUCUAUCAGGCCGUCUCCAGAGUCGGCAUUAAUCUUCGUGCCGGCUGAUUCUUCGGUGCAAGCGCCGUCGGCUCCACCAGCUACGCCGGGUACAUCUCAUGUGCCGGCUACGCUGGCUCUGCCGACUCCAAUUGCGGUACCGGCUGAAUCUUCGGUGAAAGCGUCGUCGGUUCCACCAGCCAUGCCGGCUACAGCUUGUGUGCCGGCUACGCUCGCUCUGCCGACUCCAAUUGUGGCACCGGCUACAACAACAACUCCCGCUCCGCCCUGCCUCGAAUCCUGUCGUCUCGACACCCAGUGGGUGGAUUUUUAGCAGAUCCCUGGCAAUGGCUAGAAAAAUGCUAAUCUCGAUUGCUCAACAAUUAGAAAUUGUCUUGCAAUGACCCACCAGCGCGUGGGAUCGAGGCAGUUUUCGAGGGUAGAGUAUUCAACCCAAAUUUGUUGGUUCGACGGACAGGAAGUGAGAGGAUACUCUCAAGUAUUAGCAGCUGAAUGUGUCAGAUUCAACCACACUUGAAAGAUUAGUAUCUGCAAGCAAAGUAUCAACAGCAAAGUAGUAUGAUAACAACGGUGUUAGAAACGAUCUGUUGACGACAGACUAUUCCUAACGAUUGUAUCAAUGGCGCCAGAAGUUGCCCGUGGACGGGAAAUAUUCUUUCCCGUCAACGUCGUGCGAACCAGUAUUGUAGUAGGUAGCAGCAGUGUAACGAGUAGCAGCAGUGGCAAGGAACAACAGUAGUGAGAGCACUAGCAAGUAGCAACAGUAGUAACAGCAGUAGAGCAAAGCAAGUAACAGCAGCAGCAACAGUAGUAGCAACAGCAGAGCAAAACAAGUAACAACAGUAGUGGGACAAACUCGUAGGCAAUGGGUUGGUGAUUUGUUUGGAUGUUAUUCAUCAUGCAACAGUUAUAACACGAAGAGAUAUGUGGCUAGCUCCCAUUCGUCAAUGUGAUGUAGGCAUGCGUUCCGUGUGUCAUCAUAGAUGCUUACGGAAAAGAACUUGCAUGACAUCUAUUGUCCAUCCCUCCCGUGGCAGCAGGGUCCAAAAGGAAACUACGGNGCCACGUGGGCCCCACAAGCUUGCUAGCCGCCACCAGGGGGGUGGCGGCUACAGGGCUUGUGGCCCACUGGCCCAUCCCCUCCGGUGGAUCUUUGCGCGGGUAUUUUUCAUAUUUUCCAGAAAUAUUCUCCGUAAAUUUUCAGGACGUUUCGAGAACUUUCAUUUCUGCACAAAAACAACACCAAGGCAAUUCUGCUGAAAACAGCGUCAGUCCAGGUUAGUUCCAUUCAAAUCAUGCAAAUUAGAGUCCAAAACAAGGGCAAAAGAGUUUGGAAAAGUAGAUACGAUGGAGACAUAUCAGUGGACGUCAUGGAUGUGGCCGACAAGCCAACCGCCACGACGGCAUCAGAGACACCUUGUCUUGAACCCACGACUAUUGCUUCAUCAAGCGCGAGGGCUGCAGAAGCCCCUAACAGUCAGGUCGAGGCGGAGCCAGCCCUUGUGUCGGCUCCGUCAUGGGCUCAACGCAUCCUGGCCUUCAUCUUUCGCGGCGAGCUUCCUCAAGAUGAGGCGGAGGCGAGGCAGAUCGAGCGCAGGUUUGCAGCCUACGCCAUCAUCAAUCACGAGCUGGUUCGGUGUAGCGUGACCGGCAUGUUCCAGUGCUGUGUCGAAUCAGAAAAGGGGCAAGAGAUCCUCAGAGACAUUCACAAGGGGGAGUGCGGGCUUCAUGCCGCAUCUAGAACCUUGGUGGCCAAGGCGUUCCACCACAGAUUCUACUGGCCCACGACCCUCGAGGAGGCCGUGGAUCUGGUCGACAAAUGCGAGGGCUGCCUAUUCUUUAGCUCAUAGAGCCACAUGCCGCCUUCGGCCCUCAAAACCAUCCCCUUGUCAUGGCCUUUCGCCAUCUGGGGGCUGGACAUGGUGGGGCCUUUCAAGACGGCUCGUGGUGGCAUGACUCACCUGUUGGUAGUGGUCGACAAAUUCACCAAGUGGAUCGAGGCCAGACCCAUCAAGAAGCUUGAUGGCCCCACGGCUGUCAAGUUCAUCACAGACAUCUUUGUUCGAUAUGGCGUCCCCCACAACAUCAUCACCGACAACGACACUAACUUCGCCAAAGGCGCUCUGGCGCUCUACUGCUCCAAGGUAGGCAUCCGGCUCGACUUGGCGUCACUGGCACAUCCCCAUUCCAAUGGCCAAGCGGAGAGGGCAAACGGCCUAAUCCUGGCCGACAUCAAGCCAAGACUGGUGGCACCACUUGUCAGGUCAGCCGACAGCUGGAUCGAAGAACUACCGGCUGUACUAUGGAGCCUCCGCACCACGCCCAAUCGGUCGACCGGCUUCACUCCGUUCUUCCUUGUAUACGGGUCCGAGGCCAUUAUCCCUAUGGAUAUCGAGUUCGACUCGCCUCGGGUCACCCUGUACACGGAAACGGAGGCAAAGGAGGCAAGAGAAGACGGUGUGGAUCUCCUCAAGGAAGCAAGGGACUUGGCCUUGAGCUGGACGGCCAUCUACCAACAUAAGCUGAGAUACUACCACAUCAAGAAGAUCAAGCCUCUCUCUUUCAGAGAGGGAGACUUGGUGCUCAGAAGAAUCCAGCGCACCGCCGGCCAGCACAAGCUCUCAUCCCCAUGGGAGGGACCCUUCAUCAUCAGUAGGGAAUUGCACAACAACGCACACUACCUAAUUGAUGCCCAGAAGCCAAGGAAGCGCAAGAGGGACGACUCCGGCCAGGAGACGGAACGUCCAUGGAACGCGGCGUUGCUUCGCCCAUUCUACUGCUAGAAGGCAAGUAUCAAACAUGGAAAAAGCAUUCACAAAUGUAUCUUUCUCCCUCUUCAGGGAUUUCCAAUGAAUUCAAUGAAAAGAGCAUGCCUUAUGCUUCUUUUUAAGUUCAUAUCUAGAGUGCUCACUCUGCGAAGUCCCUUGCUGGCUCUUGUAAGCCCGGGGGCUCGCUAGCCACCCAGAUGCCUUCCUUAUGUUGUAGAAAAACACAUAGUGUACGCCGGACUGAUCCCUGGUCACCUCGUAACAGCUACAGACCGACUCCCGGCUGUCCGGCUAGCAAGGCGACGCCAGGUAAGGCCGGAUGCAUGCAAAGUUAGACUACAAAAAGGUUGCCGGCUCGGGUUGGCUUGAUCUAUUUUACGAUCUCAUUCUAGCCGACCUCUGCUGGUUAAUGUCUGAAUCUUUAAGUCUUUAUGGCUUCGAAAAAUCUAAGACUUUUAUUCUCAAGGCCAGAAACCUCGACCCAGUCACAGACCAGCUCCCCGCUGUCGGACUGGCGGGGUGGAAACUUGGGGAUACAGGAAUUGGAGAAAAAGGAGUCAAACAAGAAUCAAAGGAUAAAGAUAUAAAACAACACACAUGGAAAUACGAAUAUAAUGCUGAAUCCAUACAUUCAAAAUGCAUUGGCCCACGGCCGAAGUUCAUUACACCCCCAAUGGGUGGAACUGUUGGACUGACAAUACAAUUUCAGACAACAAAAUGAAAAAACAGGACCAACUAAGGGGCCGCGGCCUCAUCGGUCGCCCCGGCUGCUGCUCUUGAAGUGAUGGAUUCACCAUCGCUGGCUGCUCCCGAGGGAGUGGUGCCGUCUCCCCCGCGAGGGCUUCCGGCUCCAUCCGCGCCGGAGUUGGCGUAAGCCGCGCCGCUGGAGGCGGCAGCACUCUCCAUCUCAUGGGCCGCCUCGUCGGAGCUUCCAUCGGCAUCAUAGGGCUGUAGGCCAUGCAGAUCUUCGGGGAUCACAUUGCUGCCUUCGCCCCGCUCCAAGUUGAGCUCAUCCUAGGCGGCGUACGAGGCGAUAUCGCUGGCCCUCACGCACAGCGCCUCCUCCACGGCCUGCAGCUCCGCCUCCGAGCCGUCGCGUUGAGCGACGAGCUUGCCCAAGUCCAGGUUUCGGUACCAGGACUUGGCCAAGCGCAGGGCCAUGUAGGCUCCGGUGCGUGCAGCCGAAGCGCGCCAGGCGUCAAGACGGUCCUCGCCAGCCACAAUCCAACGGGAGAGCCGGCUCAUCGACGACGGCUCCACGCCAUCAGGCCAGAGGGCCGCCACCAUCGAUGAGCCUGCGACCUGGAGCUGAGCCACGGGCUCGCCCAGGAUGCGCGGGCGGGCCCUAAGGCCCACUCUGAUCUCCUCCAUGCUCCAGUCGGAGGUAGCAUCUACCUCCUGCCCGGCCGCGAGGCGCUCCUCGCGGCUCACCUCGACGGCCGUGUCGGCUGCGUCCUGUGUCUCAGGGAAGAGGCCUGAGACAGGGAAAGGGGCGCGAAGACGAGUAAGAGGAGGAGACGACAAAGGAAGUUCAAGGCGAAACAAAAGAAGACUCACGAUUGAAGUCGCCAUCAGUCUCAUGGGAGCUCUCCAGGACCUCGAGCUCCCGCACCUUGCUUGCUUGAGUAAGGCGGGCGACUUCCUCCUGGAGGGUCGCUGCCGAGUCCAGGGCCUUGGCCAGCCGCGUCUGCUUCUGGGCCAGGGCAUCCUCCUUCUCCUUCAAGCCGGCAUCCUUAAGCUUCAUCUCCUUGAGAUGAAGCGACCCAAGACGUUCCACGUCGGCAGUGUGGGAGGCAUCCUUCUCCUACAGAGAGGCGCACAACUGCUCCAGCUCGGCUCGGCUGGCCGCCUCGAGCUCCUUCUUCUCCGUCUGGAGAAGAGUCAGGUGCUCCUGGAGCCGGUCGCCCGCGUCAUGUAGGGCGUCCUGCUCCACGACAACCUCGCCCAACCGGGCUUGAAGCUCGGCAACCUGGCCUUCAGAUGCCUGGUUUUGAGCCCGCAGCGUGUUGAAGGCCUGCACCUGGGCAUCAUAAAGAUCCUACAAGGCAAGGAUAAAGCAGAAGUAAGAUUCGGCCUGGUUAAGUCAUAACCAGCCCGAUUCUCGGGGGCUACAACCAGUCGGUGCACUAGCGCGCCCCCACUAAAGAAGCAAAGCAAGAGAAGAAGCUCAAAAGAGAUUCGGCCCGGCCGAUGCACGGCCGACCCGACUCUCGGGGGCUACACCUAGUGGGUGCGCUGGCACACCCCCACUGAUUCAAGAAGAAGAAAAGAAAAAAUCGAAGAUAAAGAUGAGUCACUUACCCUGAUGCGUUCCUCCAAGCGCUCCAGAUCAUCGCCCACCAUGCGGGCUGUCUGGUCCACCUUGAACCGGCUGCUGGCAAACAUCGACACCAACUCCGGGACGCCUUGGAGCACGGUGCCUACGGGCAGAUUCGAGCGUGCCAGGUUGGCCGCUCGCCAAGUCUUCAUCGACCGGCUCCCGACCGUGGCACAGGCUCCUGGAGCAGCCGAACCGUGGUGGGGGACGGCGAUGGCGCCAUCUCCAGGUGCCGGCAUGGCGGCUGGCUCCACUAGCAUUCCGACCGGCGUCGCCUCCUCGGCAGGAGGGGGAUGGGCCGCAUCCGUCGCAUCCAUGUUGACUCCUUGCGCAUCCGGGGGCGCGUCUGGCGCGUCCAGGACCAGUUCUGGCGCAUUGGGCGCCGCCUCGGCCCUAGGUGAAUCAGGGAUCACCUCAAGAUCCAUCGGCGCAGAGGCAUCCGACCCGGAGGGCUCGGCCUCCUCAGUCCUCGGGGCGCGCCUCGGGGCCACCUCGCUAGCUGGCUCCUCCACACGAGCGUGCGUGGAGGGGUCAUGUCUAGCCUUCGUACGCUUCUCCAUCGGCUUCUCGGCCCGGCUCGGGCGAGACUGGCCCUCGGUCAUCUUCCCCACGGCCGCGUCCCACCGGCGGUUGGACUCCGCCUCGAGCUCCCUCUGGGCAGCGUCAACCGCUGCCCAGCCAGCCCGUUGGGCUGCAGAGGCGGUGUCCUCCUCCACGUCUUCCGCUUCCCUGCCGGGCGAUGUUUUUGAGGAAUGAAGCUUCACACAAGACAAAAUAAAAGAAGGGAGAGGCACCCUUACCCUACGACGAUGGGCACUUGCCUCCUACUGCCACCGACACGAUGCUUCUUAGCGCUGCCUGCCCGUGCUCCGGCAGGACGACCCGUCCCCGGGCGCUUAGGAGCCGGCCUGGAAGCUGUGGCACCCUUGCCCUUCUUCCUGGUCGCUUCGUCAGCUCCGGUCGCCUCGUCAGCUCCGGUCGCCUCGGCCCUAUGACGCCAUCCGUGCGUCAGAGGCGGGCUGGUGACCUCCUCCACCCCGUCGGAGUCUUCCUCGAAGGCUGCAUUAGAUAGGGAGGAAGGAGUCUCGUCAUCGUCUGUCCAAUCUACGAUGGAGGGCCGCAAAUGCUCACCAGACGGCUCCGCCCUUCCGACUCCAGCGCAUUCUCCGAGCCUUCGGAGGAGGUAGAGCGGGACUCGAUCAUGCCCUUGUCCUCAAUCUCCGAGACGUCGGACGUCGCCACGUCAGGGGCAGGCGGGUUGAGUGUCGCCUGCAGCUUCUUGAACAGCUGUGCAAAGGAGUUGACGGCCAUCUCAGCGAGGCGGCCGGCUGCAAGACAAAUAGCAAAAACAAAACAACAAAGAGUGCUUACCACCGGAGGCGGAUGAUACGUCCAUUUUGCAUCAUGUUUUCAUGUUGAUAUUUAUCGCUUCUUUGGCUGUUAUUUCACUUCACGGUACAAUUCUUAUGCCUUUUCUCUCUUAUUUUGCAAGGUUUACAUGAAGAGGGAGAAUGCCGGCAACUGGAAUUCUGGCCUGAAAGUGGAGCAAAGUUGAGAUACCUAUUCUGCGAAACUCCAAACGCCGUAAAAAUCAACGAGGAAUUUUUUCCCGAUUUAUCAAAAAUACUGGGCCGAAGAAGUGCCAAAGGGGCACGAGGGGGUGCCCACAAGCCUGCACGGCGCGGCCAACCCCCAGGCCACGCCAUGAGGGCUUGUGGGCAGCCCACUGGCCCACUUGCUCCCCUCUUUUGCUACAUGGAGGGUUUCGUCCAUGAAAAAAAUCAAGGAGGAGCUUUUUCGUGGUUUCGCCGCCGCCAUGAGGCGAAACUUGAGCAGAACCAAUCUAGAGCUCCGNNNNNNNNNNNNNNNNNNNNNNNNNNNNNNNNNNNNNNNNNNNNNNNNNNNNNNNNNNNNNNNNNNNNNNNNNNNNNNNNNNNNNNNNNNNNNNNNNNNNNNNNNNNNNNNNNNNNNNNNNNNNNNNNNNNNNNNNNNNNNNNNNNNNNNNNNNNNNNNNNNNNNNNNNNNNNNNNNNNNNNNNNNNNNNNNNNNNNNNNNNNNNNNNNNNNNNNNNNNNNNNNNNNNNNNNNNNNNNNNNNNNNNNNNNNNNNNNNNNNNNNNNNNNNNNNNNNNNNNNNNNNNNNNNNNNNNNNNNNNNNNNNNNNNNNNNNNNNNNNNNNNNNNNUCGCCAUCGUCAUCACCAACACUCCUCUCAUCGGAGGGGACUCGUAACCAUCAACAUCUUCAUCAGCACCAUCUCAUCUCCAAACCGUAGUUCAUCACUUGUAACCAAUCUCCAUCUCGCGACUCCGAUUGGUACUUGUAAGGUUGCUAGUAGUGUUGAUUACUCUUUGUAGUUGAUGCUAGUUGGAUUACUUGGUGGAAGAGUUUAUGUUCAGAUCCUUGAUGCUACUCAUUACCUCUCUGGUCAUGAAUAUGAUUAUGCUUUGUGAGUAGUUACUUUUGUUCCUGAGGACAUGGGAUAAGUCAAGCUAAUAGUAGUCAUGUGAAUUUGAUAUUCGUUCGGUAAUUUGAUGUGUUGUAUGUUGUUUUUCCUCUAGUGGUGUUAUGUGAAAGUUGACUACAUAACACUUCACCAUUAUUUGGGCCUAGAGGAAGGCAUUGGGAAUUAGUAAGUAGAUGAUGGGUUGCUAGAGUGACAGAAGCUUAAACCCUAGUUUAUGCGUUGCUUCGUAAGGGGCUGAUUUGGAUCCACUAGUUUAAUGCUAUGGUUAGGCUUUGUCUUAAUUCUUCUUUCGUAGUUGCGGAUGCUUGCGAGAGGGGUUAAUCAUAAGUGGGACACUUGUCCAAGUAAGGGCAGUACCCAAGCGCUGGUCCACCCACAUAUCAAACUAUCAAAGUAACGAACGUGAAUCAUAUGAACAUGAUGAAACUAGCAUGACAGAAAUUCCUGUGUGUCCUCGGGAGUGUUUUUCCUCCUAUAAGACUUUGUCCAGGCUUGUCCCUUGCUACAAAAGGGAUUGGGCCACUUUGCUGCACCGUUGCUACUUUUGUUACUUGUUGCUUGCUACGAAUCAUCUCAACACACAAUCACUUGUUACCGGCAAUUUCAGUGCCUGCAGAUUUUACCUUGUUGAAAACCACUUGUCAGAUCCUUCUGCUCCUCGUUGGGUUCGACACUCUUACUUAUUGAAAGAAGUACGAUUGAUCCCCUAUACUUGUGGGUCAUCAAGACUCUUUUCUGGCGCCGUUGCCGGGGAGUCAAGCGCCUUUGGUAAGUGGAACUUGGUAAGGAAACAUUCAUAUAGUGUGCUGAAAUUUAUUGUCACUUGUCACUAUGGAUACUAAUCCUUUGAGGGGCUUGUUCGGGGUGUCUUCACCUCGAACGGAAGCACAAAUAGUUGCUCCUCAACCUGCUGCACCUACUGAAAAUAUUUUCUUUGAAUUUCCUUCGGGUAUGCUUGAGAAAUUGCUGGCUAAUCCUUUUACAGGAGAUGGAACAUCACAUCCAGACUUGCAUCUGAUCUAUGUAGAUGAAGUUUGUGGUUUAUUUAAGGUUGCAGGUGUGCCCGAGGAUGAGGUCAAUAAGAAGGUCUUUCCUUUAUCUUUGAAGGAUAAGGCGUUGACAUGGUAUAGGCUAUGUGAUGAUACUGGAUCAUGAGACUACAAUCGGUUGAAAUUGGAAUUUCAUCAAAAGUUUUAUCCUAUGCAUUUAGUACAUCGAGAUCGAAAUUAUAUUUACAAUUUUUGGCCUCGUGACAGAGAAAGCAUCGCUCAAGCAUGGGAGAGGCUUAAAUCAAUGCUAUAUUCAUGCCCCAAUCAUGAGCUCUCGAGAGAAAUUAUCAUUCAGAACUUCUAUGCUCGGCUUUCUCAUGAUGAUCGCACCAUGCUUGACACUUCUUGUAUCGGUUCUUUUAUGAAGAGCGAUAUUGACUUCAACUGGAAUUUAUUGGAGAGAAUUAAACGCAACUCUGAAGAUUGGGAGCUCGAAGAAGGUAAGGAGUCAGGUAUGAAUUUCACUUUUGAUUGCGUUAAAUCCUAUGUUGAGACAAAUACCUUUAGUGAUUUUAGCGCUAAGUAUGGACUUGACUCUGAGAUAGUAGCUUCAUUGUGUGAAUCUUUUGCUGCUCAUAGUGAUCUCCCCAAAGAGAAGUGGUUUAAAUAUCAUCCUCCUUUAGAAGUCAAUGUAGUUAAACCCACUCCAGUUGAAGAGAAAGUCAUUGCCUAUAAUGAUCCUGUUGUUUCGAGUGUUUACAUUGAGAAAUCACCUUUCCCUGUUAGGAUAAAGGAUCAUUCUAAAGCUUCAACUGUGAUACAUAGAGGCUAUAUUAGAACACCUACACCCCCUGAGGAAAUUAGAGUUGAACCUAGCAUUGCUAUUAUCAAAGAUCUUCUGUCCGACGAUGUUGAGGGACAUAAUAUUCACUUCUGUGAAGAUGCUGCUAGAAUUGCUAAACCUCACGUUAGAGACAAACAUAGGCCUGUUGUUGGCAUGCCUGUUAUUUCUGUUAAGAUAGGAGAUCAUGGUUAUCAUGGCUUAUGUGACGUGGGUGCUAGUGUUAGUGCAAUACCUCAAUCCUUAUAUGAUGAAAUCGAAGAUGAGAUUGCACCCGUUGAGAUAGAGCACAUUGAUGUCACUAUUCAGCUUGUUAAUAGAGAUACUAUCUGCCCUGUGGGAAUUGUUAGGGUUGUUGAAGUCUUGUGUGGUAAAAAGAAGUAUCCUGCUAAUUUCCUCGUUCUUGCUACUGCACAAGAUAGCUUUUGUCCCAUCAUAUUUGGCAGACCCUUCCUCAAUACUGUCAAUACUCAUAUUGAUUGUGAGAAGCAAACUGUCGCUGUUCGCUUUGAAGGUGUGUCACACGAGUUCAAUUUCUCUAAGUUUGGUAGACAACCUCAUGAAAAAGAGUUGCCUAGUAAGGACAAAACUACUGCCUUAGCUUCUAUUGCUGUGCCUCCUACUGAUCCCUUAGAGCAAUACUUGCUUGAGCAUGAAAAUGAUAUGCAUAUGGAUGAACGGGAUGAGAUAGAUAGAGUUGUCUUAGAACAAUAUCCUAUCCUUAAGAACAACUUGCCUGUUGAAUUGCUUGGGGAUCCACCCCCACCAAAAGGUGAUCCUGUGUUCAAGCUUAAACAGUUGCCUGAUACUCUUAAAUAUGCUUAUCUUGAUGAAAAAGAGAUAUAUCCUGUUAUUAUUAGUGCUAGCCUCUCGGAGCAUGAAGAAAAGAAGUUACUAAAAACUCUAAGAAAGCACCAUGCUGCUAUUAAGUACCUCAUGGAGAAGAAGGACGCUAAACCUAGACUUAUCAGAUGGGUUCUCUUGCUACAAGAAUUUGAUUUGCACGUUGUUGACAGAAAGGGUGUUGAUAACCCAUUAGCAGAUAACAUGUCUAGGUUGGAGAACGUUCUUGAUGACCCACAACCUAUCGAUGAUAGCUUUCCCGAUGAGCAAUUGAAUGUCAUCAAUGCUUCAUGUAAUGCACCGUGGUAUGCUGAAUACAUACCACCUAGUUUCACGUACCAACAAAAGAAGAAAUUAUUCUUUGACUUGAGACACUAAUUUUGGGAUGAUCCUCACCUUUAUAAGGAAGGAGUAGAUGGUGUUAUUAGACGUUGUGUACCUGAACAUGAACAGGGACAUAUCCUGUUUAGCAGAUCCCUAGCAAUGGCUAGACAAAUACUAUUCUCGAUUGCUCAACAAUUAGAAAUUGUCUUGCAAUGACCCACCAACGCGUGGGAUCGAGGCAGUUUUCGAGGGUAGAGUAUUCAACCCAAAUUUGUUGGUUCGCCAGACAAGAAGUGAGAGGAUACUCUCAAGUAUUAGCAGCUGAAUGUGUCAGAUUCAACACACCUGAAAGAUUAGUAUAUGCAAGCAAAGUAUCAACAACAAAGUAGUAUGAUAACAACGGUGUCAGAAACGAUCUGUUGACGGCAGACUAUUCCUAACGAUUGUAUCAAUGGCGCCAGAAGUUGCUCGUGGACGGGAAAUAUUCUUUCCCGUCAACGUCGUGCAAACCAGUAUUGUAGAAGGUAGCAGAAGUGUAACGAGUAGCAGCAGUGGCAAGGAACAACAGUAGUGACAACAGUAGCAAGUAGCAACAGUAGCAAGUAACAACAGAGCAAGCAAGUAACAGCAACAGCAAUAGUAGUAAUAGCAGCAGCAACAAUAGUAACAGCAGCAGAGCAAAACAAGUAACAACAGUAGUGGGACAAACUCGUAGGCAAUGGGUUGGUGAUUUGUUUGGAUGAUAUUCAUCACGCAAUAGUUAUAACACGGAGAGAUAUGUGGCUAUCUCCCGUUCGUCAAUGUGAUGUAGGCAUGCAUUACGUGUGUCGUCAUACGUGCUUAGGGAAAAGAACUUGUAUGACAUCUAUUGUCCAUCCCUCCCAUGGCAGCGGGGUCCAAAAGGAAACUACGGGAUAUUAAGGUUCUCCUUUUAAUAAAGAACCGGACCAACGCAUUAGCAUGGUGGAGAUCUCAAGAUCUGGUAUCUUCCGUUUAUUGGUCACGAUAUCUUUCAUGUACUUGGCAUAUGGAUACAUUUUGAGCAUAUCAAUUAACCGCAUCUGCAGAAAGACGGGUCUUAUCAUCUCAACGAAGCGCUUAGAAUCCUCACCAUCCUUUUUCUUGGAUGGCUUAGGAGGAAAGGGCAUAGGUAUCUGAACCCAUGGCUCCCUUUCUUUACCAUGCUUCCUAGCAGUGAAGUCAUUCUUAUCAUCUCUUAAGUUGUGGGUUACCAGGAUUAACCGUAGGUUCAAUCUCCACAUCCUCACCAUUGCUAAGUUGAGCAUUAUUUUGAACAUCGCUGUCCAUAUUAUCACCAGGUUCAUGUUCAUCACCAAAUUGUGUUUCUGCGUCAGACGCAGAAAUAUCAUUAGGUUCUUCAGGUGUGACACUAUUUGGUGAACUGGCAUGUGGGUUUCUAUCAUCCUUCUUCUUCUCCUUAGGAUGACUGGGUGUAUCAGCAUUAAUUCCUUGAGAAUCUUGAUCAAUUCUCUUAGGAUGGCCUUCAGGAUACAAAGGUUCCUGAGUCAUUUUGCCUCCUCUAGUAAUGAGUCUCGCAGAGUUGUCAUUUAAUUCAUUGAGCGAGUCAUUCUGAGCUUUAAGUACUUGUUCUACCUGAGUAGUAAUCAUAGAGGCAUGUUUACUUAGAAGCUUCAGAUCAUUGACAUUUCUGUCUACACAAGCACUUAAAUGGCUAAGCAUACGAGUACUUUGUUCCAAAUGUCUGCUAACAUAAUCAUUGAAACUCUGUUGUUUGGCGACAAAGUUGUCAAAUUCAUCAAAGCAUACGCUAGUAGGUUUGUCAAAAGGAAUAUCACUCUCAUCAAACCUACGCAGAGAAUUCACUUCUACUACUUUUAUCGGGCUAUCGAGACCAUGGAUCUCUUUGAUAGGUGGUAGAGUUUUGACAUCUUCAGAUCUAAUGCCUUUCUCUUGCAUAGAUUUCUUGGCUUCUUGCAUAUCUUCGGGACUGAGGAAUAGAAUACCUCUUUUCUUAGGAGUUGGCUUAGGAGGUGGUUCGGGAAUAGUCCAAGCAUUAUCCUUGAUCAAGAUGUUAUUCAGAAGGAUCUCAGCUUGUUCGAUAGUUCGUUCCCUAAAAACACAACCGACACAACUAUCUAGGUGGUCUCUAGAGGCAUCGGUAAGUCCGUUAUAGAAGAUAUCAAGUAUCUCGUUCUUCUUAAGAGGGUGAUCAGGCAAAGCAUUCUGUAGCUGGAUGAGCCUCCCCCAAGCUUGUGGGAGACUCUCUUCUUUGAGUUGAGCAAAGUUGUAUAUUUCCUGCAAGGCAACUUGCUUCUUAUGGGCAGGGAAAUAUUUCUCACAGAAGUAAUAGACCAUAUCCUGUGGACUACUCACACAUCCAGGGGAAAGAGAAGUGAACCAGGCUUUAACGUCAUCCUUUAGAGAGAAAGGAAACAUCUUAAGGAUGUAGUUGUGGCGGAUCUUCUCCUCACUAGUGAAAAGGGUGGCUAUAUCGUUUAGUUUGGUAAGAUGGUCUACGACCGUCUCAGACUCAUAAUCGUGGAAAGGAUCAGAUUCAACUAGAGAGAUUAUCUCAGGGUCGACAGAGAAUUCAUAAUCCUUAUCGGUGAUAAAGAUAGGUGGAGUGGCAAACUUCGGGUCGUAUUUCAUCCUAGCUUCCAGAGAUUUUUCCUUCCACUUGAGAAGUAAUUUCUCAGUGUCAUAGGCAUCCUUACAUGCCAAAAAAUCCUCAGCUAUCUCUCUCUCCAUAACGUAACCCUCAGGUAUAUCAGGCAAUUCAUAUCUAGGAGAGCUAGAUCUAGCAGGAGCAAAAGCAGGUUCUAUCUCAAUAGUAUCGGCUGUUUUAGAAGCAUCACGAGCAUUGGCAGUAACUCUAGCAAUAUGAGCAUCAAGGAACACCCCUAGUGGCACAUCAGGCAAAGUAGUAUCUCUAGCAGUAUCAAGAAUAGCAUCAUCAGGCAAGGUAGUAUCUGGCAUAACAUCUCUAGCAGUAUCAGGCAAAGCAUCUCAAGCAGUAUCACGCAAAGCAGUAUCAGGCAUAGCAUCUCUAGCAUCAUCAGGUAUAGCAUCUCUAGCAGUAUCAGGCAUAGCAGCAUCAUAAGCAUCAUCAAGCACAGGCGACAUAUCAAGAUUUCUAACAGGAGGUGAUGUCGCAAACUUACUCAUAACUGAAGGUGAAUCAAGUGCAGAGCUAGAUGGCAAUUCCUUACCUCCCCUCGUAGUUGAGGGCAGAACUCUGGGUUUUGGAUCUUGCAGAUUCUUCAUAGUGAUCAGCAGAUAUAAAUCCCAGGUGACUCACAUAAUAUAGGAAUCGCUUCCCCGGCAACGACGCUAGAAAAAUGCUGUUUAGCAGAUCCCUCGCAAUGGCUAGACAAAUGUUAUUCUCGAUUGCUCAACAAUUAGAAAUUGUCUUGCAAUGAUCCACGAGCGCGUGGGAUCGAGGCAAUUUUCGAGGGUAGAGUAUUCAACCCAAAUUUGUUGGUUCGUCGGACAGGAAGUGAGAGGAUACUCUCAAGUAUUAGCAGCUGAAUGUGUCAGAUUCAACCACACCUGAAAGAUUAGUAUCUGCAAGAAAAGUAUGAACAACAAAGUAGUAUGAUAACAACGGUGUCAGAAGCGAUCUGUUGACGGCAGACUAUUCCUAACGAUUGUGUCAAUGGCGCCAGAAGUUGCCCGUGGACGGGAAAUAUUCUUUCCCGUCAACGUCGUGCGAACCAGUAUUGUAGCAGGUAGCAGCAGUGUAACGAGUAGCAGCAGUGGCAAGGGACAGGUUAGUGACAAUAGUAGCAAGUAGCAACAGUAGCAAGUAACAACAGAGCAAGCAAGUAACAGCAGCAACAACAGUAGUAACAGCAGCAGCAACAGUAGUAACAGCAGCAGAGCAAAACAAGUAACAACAGCAGUGGGACAAACUCGUAGGCAAUGGGUUGGUGAUUUGUUUGGAUGAUAUUCAUCACGCGUUCCCGUUCGUCAAUGUGAUGUAGGCAUGCAUUCCGUGUGUCGUCAUACGUGCUUAGGGAAAGGAACUUGUAUGACAUCUAUUGUCCAUCCCUCCCGUGGCAGCGGAUUCCAAAAGGAAACUACGGGAUAUUAAGGUUCUCCUUUUAAUAAAGAACCGGACCAACGCAUUAGCACUUGGUGAACACAUGAACUCCUCAAACUAUGGUCAUCACCGGGAGUGGUUCCGGUUAUUGUCACUCCGGGGUUGCCGGGUCACAACACAUAGUAGGUAACUACAACUUGCAAGAUCGGAUCUAAAACACACAUAUAUUGGUGACAACAUAAUAAUUUCAGAUCUGAAACCAUGGCACUCGGGCCCCAGUGACAAGCAUUAAGCAUGGCAAAGUAGUAGCAACAUCAAUCUCAGAACAUAGUGGAUACUAGGGAUCAAUCCCCGUCAAAACUAACUUGAUUACAUGAUAGAUCUCAUCCUACUCAUCACCGCCUAGCGAGCCUACGAAUAGAUUACUCACGAACGAUGAAGAGAUUCAUGGAAUUGGAGAGGGAAGAAGGUUGAUGAUGACGAUGUCGAUGAUUUCCCCUCUCCGGAGCCCAAAAUGGACUCCAGAUCUGCCCUCCAGAUGAAGAACAGGAUGUGGCGGCGCCUCCGUAUCGCAAACGCGACUAAAUCUUCUCUCUUGAUUUUUUCUGGGACGAAAGUGAAUUUAUAGAACUAAGUUUGGGGGCAGCAAAGCCACGUGGGCCCCACAAGCUUGCUAGCCGCCACCAGGGGGGUGGCGGCUACAGGGCUUGUGGCCCACUGGCCCAUCCCCUCCGUUGGAUCUUUGCGCAGGUAUUUUUCAUAUUUUCCAGAAAUAUUCUCCGUAAAUUUCUAGGACGUUCCGAGAACUUUCAUUUCUGCACAAAAACAACAACAAGGCAAUUCUGCUGAAAACAGCGUGAGUCCAGGUUAGUUCCAUUCAAAUCAUGCAAAUUAGAGUCCAAAACAAGGGCAAAAGAGUUUGGAAAAGUAGAUACGAUGGAGACGUAUCAGAUCCUACAGAAGUGUCACUCCGAGGCCUACGGAGGACACCAUGCGGGAGAUAGAACUGCACACAAGGUAUUGCAAUCAGGUUUCUAUUGGCCCACUCUCUUCAAGGAUGCCCGUAAGUUUGUCUUGUCUUGUGACGAAUGUCAAAGAAUAGGUAAUAUUAGCAAACGUCAGGAAAUGCCUAUGAACUAUUCACUUGUCAAUGAACCAUUUGAUGUUUGGGGCUUUGAUUAUAUGGGACCUUUUCCAAAAUCCAACGGGUAUACGCAUAUCUUAGUUGCUGUUGAUUACGUCACUAAUUGGGUAGAAGCUAUCCCCACUAGUAGUGCUGAUCACAACACCUCUAUCAAGAUGCUGAAAGAAGUUAUCUUCCCUAGAUUUGGAGUCACUAGAUACCUAAUGACUGACGGUGGUUCACACUUCAUUCAUGGUGCUUUCCAUAAAACGCUCGCUAAGUACGAUGUCAACCAUAGAAUUGCGUCUCCCGAUCAUCCUCAGUCGAGUGGUCAAGUAGAGAUAAGUAAUACAGAGAUUGAACUAAUUCUGCAAAAGACUGUCAACAGGUCUAGAAAGAAUUGGUCUAAGAAGCUCAAUGAUGUACUGUGGGCUUAUAGGACUGCCUAUAAGAAUCCCAUGGGCAUGUCUCCGUACAAAAUGGUGUAUGGGAAAGCAUGUCACUUACCUCUUGAGCUAGAGCAUAAAGCUUAUUGGGAAAUCAAAGAGCUCAACUUUGAUUUCAAACUUGCCGGUGAGAAGAGGUUAUUUGAAAUUACCUCGCUUGAUGAGUGGAGAACUCAGGCAUACGAGAAUGCCAAGCUGUUCAAAGAGAAGGUUAAGAGGUGGCAUGAUAAGAGGAUACAAAAGCGUGAGUUCAACGUAGGUGAUUAUGUCUUGCUAUAUAACUCUCAUUUAAGAUUCUUUGCAGGCAAGCUUCUCUCUAAAUGGGAAGAUCACUAUGUUGUUGAGGAAGUAUAUCGUUCCGGUGCUAUCAAAAUCAACAACACGGAAGGUAAUUGUCCGAGAGUGGUAAAUGGGCAAAGAAUCAAGCAUUAUAUCUCAGGUACUCCCAUAAAUGUUGAAAGCAAUAUUAUCAAUACCAUAACUCCGAAAGAAUACCUAAGGGAGAUUUAUCAGCCUGUUUCAGACUCCGAAAACGAAGAGGUAUGUGAUUCGGUAAGAAAACAGAGUCCAAAACUUUUCUAGUAGGAAAUUUUCUCCGUUUUGGAAUAUUUGAAAAAAAUACAAAAAUUGGAAGUAGUGCGGAAAGUGCGCGAGCAGGCGACAAGCCUGCAUGGCGCGAGCCCACCCCCUGGCCGCGCCGUGAGGGCUUGUGGCCACCUCGUGCGCCUCCCGGACUCGAUUUUUGUGCCGGGUACUCCUUCUGGUCUGGAAAAAAAUCAUUAUAUAUACCCCCAUUUGGUCUGACCCCUGCAUCACGCAGAUUUCCUCUGUUUCUCAUUUUGAGCCUGUUUUCUGCCGCAGAUUUAGAGCAAGAUGUCGUCCCAGGAAUCUAUGGGGGAGAACAAUCUCCGUCAAAUCUAUGGAGAAGUUCAUGCUGAUCUGAAAAGGAUGGAGGUCAUGGAGGCUCAGGAAAGGCCACCUAAAUAAACCAAGGGCAUGGCUAAGGAGAAGGAUCAGGCAUGGGACAAAGUGGAAUCUGUGCUCAACAAGGAAGAAGUUGAAGAAGUGGAUUUCCUCCAACCUUACCUCCACCUACUGUCCCCGUCUUUGUUUGAACUCUUGAGGUUUUGUGGAACAACUCGUGCUCGUAAUACUUGUCUCACUCAUGAAGUUGUUUUUCUCGAGAAACAUAUCACAAAUCUCCAAGGUAUAAAUCAAAGACUGAUGACCCUUUUGGAGUCAAAGAUUGCAACAACUUCAUCACCACCAAAGGAAGACAACUGUGCAUUGGUAUGGGCAAUCCCCUUGGCUUUUGCCAAGCUUGGGGGAGUUGCCCCGGUAUCUCAUCACCAUCACAUCUUUUGCCUUUACCUUUGUUUUAAGUUUUCCUUUUCAGUUUUCUUUUUCUCUAGUGUUUUAGUCUCGAGUUUUGCUUUGUGUCACCCCCGAUGUAUUCUUGCUCGUGAGCCAUAUAAUAAAGAGUGUAUUAGUUGAAGGGCUUUGCCUCUUGCCAUGAUCAAAAGAGUGAGAAUAGAACAAAAGCAUAAAAGAUCAUGUAAUGAUCUUAUGGGAAGUGAUGGCUUCAUAUAUAAAAAGAAUGAGGAUUGAAACUUGUUGAUGGUAGGCAAACGUAGACCUUGGUCGUUGUUGCAAUUAAUAGGAAGUGAUAAAUAAGGAUAGGUUCACAUAUAAAUAUAUCAUCUCCGACACCAUCUAUGAUUGUGAACACUCACUAAACUAUUGCAUGCCUAGAAGUAGAUGUUGGACAAGGAAGACAACAUAAUGAAUUGUGUUUGUUUGGCUCUGAGCAAUGUUAUAUGAUUAGAGAUCCCUUAGCAUGUGACGAUUGCUUCCACCUCACAUUAGCCAAAACUCCCGCACCAAGUAGAGAUACUACUUGUGCAUCCAUAAACCUUCAAACCAGUUUUGCCAUGUGAGUCCACCAUACCUACCUAUGGAUUGAAUAAGAUCCCUCAAGUAAGUUGUGAUCGGUGCAAGCAAUAAAAAUUGCUCUCUAAUAUGUAUGAUCUAUUAGUGUGUGGAAAAUAAGCUCCGUACGAACCUGUGAUGAAGAAGACAUAAAAGCGACAGACUGCAUAAUAAAGUUCUUUAUCACAGGAGGCAAUAUAAAGUGACGUUCCUCCGCACUAAGAGGGCACACAUCCAAACCUCAAAAGCGCAUGACAACCUCUGCUUCCCUCUGCGAAGGGCCUAUCUUGUACCUUUACUUUUUUCCCUUGAAAGAGUCAUGGUGAUCUUCACCAAUUCGCUAUAUCGCCUUUAUCUUGUCUAACGUCAUAUGCUUGGGAAAGAUCUAUAUUUAUAUGUCAACUUGGAGGUAAGCAUUCAUGAACUAUUAUUGUUGACAUUACCCUGGAGUGAAGCAGUUGGGAGGCAAAACUAUGAGCCCCUAUCUUUCUCUGUGUCUAGCUGAAACUUUGAUCUCAUGAGUACCACGUGAGUUGUAGCAAUUGUAGAGAAUGAAAGAAUGAUUGAGUAUGUGGAUUUGCUUUACAAGCUCUUAUUUGACUCUUUCUGAUGUUGUGAUAAAUUGCAAUUGCUUCAAUGACUAAAGGUUAUCGGUUGUUACUUCUCAGUAAGGUUCUUGAUCCAUGUUUUACUUUCUGAAGGAAUUAUCACUUUAGCAUGAGAGAUUAUAUGUUGGUAUUGCUGUUCUCAUCUUGAUCAUGAUGCAUGCAUGUUCGUAUCUUGUUUUGUCGACACCUCUCUCCCUAAACUUGUGGACAUAUUUAUUGAGCUCGGCUUUCGCUUGAGGACAAGCGGGGUAUAAGCUUGGGGGAGUUGAUACGUCCAUUUUGCAUCAUGUUUUCAUGUUGAUAUUUAUCGCUUAUUUGGCUGUUAUUUCACUUCACGGUUCAAUUCUUAUGCCUUUUCUCUCUAAUUUUGCAAGGUUUACAUGAAGAGGGAGAAUGCCGGCAACUGGAAUUCUGGCCUAAAAGUGGCGCAAAGUUGAGAUACCUAUUCUGCGCAACUCCAAACGCCGUGAAAAUCAACGAGGAAUUUUUUCCCGAUUUAUCAAAAAUACUGGGCCUAAGAAGUGCCAGAGGGGCACCAGGGGGUGCCCACAAGCCUGCACGGCGCGACCACCCCCUAGGCCGCGCCAUGAGGGCUUGUGGGCAGCCCACUAGCCCACUUGCUCCCCUCGCUAUAUGGAGGGUUUCGUCCAGGAAAAAAAUCAAGGAGGAGCUUUUUGUGGUUCCGCCGCCGCCACGAGGUGGAACUUGAGCAGAACCAAUCUAGAGCUCCGGCAGGACGAUCCUGCCGGGGAAACUUCCCUCCCGGAGGGGGAAAUCAUCGCCAUCGUCAUCACCAACACUCCUCUCAUCGGAGGGGACUCUUCACCAUCAACAUUUUCAUUAGCACCAUCUCAUCUCAAAACACUAGUUCAUCACUUGUAACCAAUCUCCGUAUCGCGACUCCGAUUGGUACUUGUAAGGUUGCUAGUAGUGUUGAUUACUCUUCGUAGUUGAUGCUAGUUGGAUUACUGGGUGGAAGAUUUUAUGUUCAGAUCUUUGAUGCUACUCAUUACCUCUCUGGUCAUGAAUAUGAUUAUGCUUUGUGAGUAGUUACUUUUGUUCCUGAGGACAUGGGAUAAGUCAUGCUAAUAAUAGUCAUUCGAAUUUGGUAUUCGUUCGAUAAUUUGAUGUGUUGUAUGUUGUUUUUCCUCUAGUGGUGUUAUGUGAACGUCGACUACAUAACACUUCACCAUUAUUUGGGCCUAGAGGAAGGCAUUGGGAAGUAGUAAGUAGAUGAUGGGUUGCUAGAGUGACGGAAGCUUAAACCCUAGUUUAUGCGUUGCUUCGUAAGGGGCUGAUUUGGAUCCACUAGUUUAAUGCUAUGGUUAGACUUUGUCUUAAUUCUUCUUUUGUAGUUGCGGAUGCUUGCAAGAGGGGUUAAUCAUAAGUGGGAUGCUUGUCCAAGUAAGGGCAGUACCCAAGCGCUGGUCCACCCACAUAUCAAACUAUCAAAGUAACAAACACGAAUAAUAUGAACAUGAUGAAACUAGCAUGACAGAAAUUCCCGUGUGUCCUCGAGAGCGUUUUCCUCCUAUAAAACUUGGUCCAGGCUUGUCCCUUGCUACAAAAGGGAUUGGGGCACUUUGCUGCACAGUUGCUACUUUUGUUACUUGUUGCUUGCUACCAAUCAUCUCACCACACAAUCACUUGUUACCGACAAUUUCAGUGCGUGGAGAUUUUACCUUGCUGAAAACCACUUGUCAGAUCCUUCUGUUCCUCGUUGGGUUCGACACUCUUACUUAUCGAAAGGACUACGAUUGAUCCCCUAUACUUGUGGGUCAUCAGUGGACGGGCCCUGCAGUAAGGGGUCAUCCCCCACGACCAGUUCCCACUGUCGUCCAUGUGGGCGGUGGAAAUCUGGUUCACCCCUUGCGCCACCCCGCUGGGGGUAUAUCUCUUGGUGGAUGUUCGGCAGGGGUCGUGUCAGCCGCUUAUCUGGCAGACCAGAUGAGGCCGCCUGUGCAACGGCAGAAUCCUGCGAGUAACCAUGGUGGUCAGCAGGUCACGACCAAGGAGGCCGCUUUUCUCCAAAAUGUCGAGGUGGGCGCGGAUCUGCACCACCUCGGGAAUCAGCUUCGGGAACUUCGCCCCUGAGUUCAACUUCGUCGGAGGAUUAAUGUCAAACGGGGCAUGUUGAGGGCGUCGCGGGCAGGCUCGGCAUUCUUCACGUAGAAGAAGCACUUCUGCCACUGCUUGAUGGACACGUGCAGCGGCAGCUGGGGGAAGCCGGACUUCGAACGAUGAUGCACCAGUGCGGCUCCGCACGGUGUCAUCGGGCGUGGCCCGACGUGCUUCUCCCGCGCGGCCUUGUCCAUCACAAUGGACUGCUGCUUGAAGAAAAACAAGCUUCCCAAAGAUCGAGGCGGGGCUCGAUCCCCAGGAAGCCCUCGCACAAGACCACGAAGGUCGACAACUGCAAGAUGGCGUUCGGCGCCAGGUGGUGCGGCUGUAGGCCGAAGAAGUGGAGCCACUCGGAGAAGAAGGGGCUCGUCAGGAGCCCAAAGCCCCUGUAGAAGUGCUCCUCGAAAACGACGAUCUCCCCAUCUGCUGGUGUUGGGGCAGUCUCGACGUCAGGGAUCCGCACCAGCACCUGGGAGGCCGGGGGCAAUAGCUGGUGAUGGCGGAGCGCCGCGAUAUGGCCUUCGCAGAUCUCACUGCCAAGCCAAGCUCCCAGCGACGAGGUCUUCUUCGAGGAGGAGCCGCCGGCCAUGACUGCGAGUGACAUAAGCUCGGGAAGACCGGUGGCUCAACGGCGACAAAAAAUAAGAAGACGAAGAGGACGGGCUCUUUCUCUCUGGGCUCAGGGAGGAAGAGGGCGUCCAUGCGGGGCGAGAAGGGGGCGAGUGGCCUUCUCGGAGCCCCCGCAUCCCAUUUAAACCACACGAAGAGUCGUGGGGAGGGGAUCUGGUGCGCACGGAACCCCACUAACCUCGUGUAUUACGGGCGGUAACGCUCCCCGAAGCCCAACCGUCGCGGAAUAAAUCCGCACAGGAUCUUCCGCGCGGAGGCCGAGGGGGCGUCGUGGCGGGACCCAAGGCCCAGGCCCGGUCCCGUCACUAGUAAUAACAAUCAUUACGUCAGGCUGGGCCAGGCACAUGGCGCAAUCUGCGCAGCCUAUGACGAAGCAGAGGCGUCGCUUCGAAGCCAACCGGCUUCGGAUCCGGCGUUCCCUGCCGCGGAUGGCAGCAGGAAUGCCAAGACAAAAAAUCAAGCCGGUGAGGCCGCCCGUCCGCAGACGGCGGGCCUCUCCAGCUUCGGGGACUACUGUCGGGGGGAUAACCCCGGGGUAGGCUCAUCGAGCCUGCUCUUUCAUCUCCUUCCCAAAAGGAAUGACCAAGCAUAAUUCUCCAAGGCCCAAGUACUCUGGCCGGCUAGGCUGCGCCUACCAGCAGGAGGACGAGACGACCAACUCUCUGGCCGGCCAGGCAACCCCUAUCGGCUAGAGCCAAGACGGCUACCUCUUCCUGACCGCCUUGGCCAAGCCAGCCGGCUAGAAACGAGGCGGCCAUGCCCCACCCGACUUUCCAAGCGGGCUAGCCGGCCGGGGAUCUCAGGUCACAUCAGAUCGUAGGUCAUGACGAGACCCUAUGAUUAAAGGUGGCUGCGCGUCAGCAAAGGUACUGGAUCGGAGUGCCUGGCAGGAACGAGCGUCGGCGGCCAUGCCGCUGACCUACCCCAACUCUGAUCCAUCACCCAGCAUAGUGUCGGACCGUCAAACUCCCACUCCAUUACUGCACUCGGCGUGGGAACAGUGGAUACGACCGUACUAUCUGCCCAUGACGAAUCUUGCUGGACGACGCCGGACGUACCGCGCAUGCUCGGCGUCAACCUUACGCGAGAGCUUCAUUGGCUAGCCGGCGGGUCCCACAGCCAGAUGGGACCUCGCAGCCGGCGGGCCCCUCAAGCGACAAGACAAGACCCUCGUCGGCCCCCUGGCCGGCCGGCGAGGCUACUAGCCGGGUCCCACUCUUGUACCCUUUAUCCAUAUUGUAGGCCGGUGGGUUCGUCUAUAAAACCCCCCCUCCAUGCAGAGGGUCGGUCGAACAACAUAUCACACUCACCAACCACAUCGAGAGAGGUAGAGACGAGCCGGCUGCUCCCCUAUUCCUCCUCCUCAACACAGCUCCAGGAGCAACCUUGUAAUCCAUCCAUAUACAUCAUACACUCCGGCAGGACUAGGGGUCUUAUCUCUACGGAGAGCCCCGAACCUGGGUACAUCGUGCGUUCCAUGCUUGUACCAACCUCAUUCCCAGCACACUCCGUUGCCCCUUCGGUUCUCACCGACUUUAGCCUACCUAUGGCAUAUGUUGUGAAUAUUCACCGACAAUAUAAUUAUCGGUAAUAGCGGGUAAACCCGAUACUCGCCGAAACCCUUCCGAUGACCCCGAAACGCUUCUGAGUCGUCUCAAAACUAAUUAGUAUAUUUAUGAAACAAUUUCACAAAUAUGUUCUCAUCACUCCCGUCCUACUAACACCCAGCAGGUCGUGAUUACCUUAAGAUUGUGACCCCAUAGGUUCGGAAACUCAUAGACAUGAACGAAACUCCUUCGUUCAAUGACCGAUAGAGGAACCGUGGAUGUCCAUAUCGAUCCCUAUGAUGACAUUGAUGAUAUUCGAGUCAACCUUUGGGUACCAUUUGACAUUCACUUUACUUCGUGAUACUUUACAAAAUCUGAGAUGCAAUGAUUUCCUCCUGAGUCAUCACAUGCUCACUAUAUCGUUAUCCACAUUAUCGGUUUUGUUUUUCUUUCUCGUUUUUGUGUUUCGGCAUCCCUAUGACUAGGACACCAACAAUAUCUCUAUAUCGCUGGAGGAGCAAAUCACACUCUUGAGCUAUCUAGUCCCUUGUCAAACUUUCCGAUUGAAAGGAUCGAUAUGGUUGACUAGAGGGGGGUGAAUAGGCAACUAACAAUUUUUAAGCUUUUCUUUAACAAAUUAAGUUUACCAACAAAUAGGUUCUCUAGAUAUGCAACUAAAUGAGCAACCUAUAUGAUGAUAACAAAAACAAUAGCAAGCAAGAAACUAAUACAAGAAAAGGUAAGAAAUGACUACAAGUGGAACCAAUGAAGACAAGGAUGUGUUUUUGAAGGUCCUUCCCUUUGAGGGGGAAUACGUCUCCAUCGGAGAUGUGUGGAGGCACAAUGCUCCCCAAGAUGCCACCAAGGCCAUCGUGUUCUCCUCAUGCCCUCACACAAUGCAAGGUGUCGCGAUUUCACUAGUGGUGCCCUUGAAGGCGGCGAUCAAAUGCUUACAAACAAGCUUGGGGCAAUCUCCACAAUUGAAUUGGAGGCUCCCAAUGAAACCACGAAGCUUCACCAUGAAAGUGUGCUAUAUCGACUAGAGGGGGGUGAAUAGGAGAUUUUUAGAAUUUCAUCACUGAGGAAAUUCCUUUUGAGGAAAUUCCUCACUGAUGACUAACUUGCAGCGGAAAUAGUAAAGGAUCAGGAGUGCAAAGUAUCACUACAACAGUUUUCAAGGUGAAGAAUAUGAAAAGCAGUUUGCACAGUAUGCAGGCACAGAGAAAACAUGUGAGGAUUAAAUCGCGUGAAGAAUUUGGGGUUGAGGAAUUUCAGAGAAAGUCUUCAGCAAAUUCUUCAAACAGUGACAAUGAAAGUCUUCAACAUACAAUAUGAGGAAUUGAAAGAGUUGAAGAAAUAGAACCCGUUUCACAAUGAAGACAGUGGUUGAUGACCCAAUUCCAACUAUUGUGACAGUUGUACAUCUGGUUUGGAGAGGCUUGGUAUUGAAACCAAAAGACACACAUUCCCGAGACACACAAUCCCUACCAUAUUCUCCUUGAGCUAGGAACACAUGGUCCUCGCCCAACACUCGUGGUAAGUCUUCAGGGCAGACUUCAGACCCUCACAAACUUGGUCACCCGGCGAUCCACAAUUGACUGCUGGAUUGCUCUAGACCAUGAUGCCUAACCGUAUGGAGGAUGCACAAUCCUCAAAGGUAAAAGACUUCAGUCCCACACAGGAACAACUUCUUGAGUGAUGCUCAAUCACUUGGUUUUUGGUUUGUGGUUUGGUGUCUGGGGUAUUUCCUCACUGAUGAUUUACUCUCGAAGACUCUGAGGAAUUUGGGUUCCUCUUAUGACAAGUGUCAGUUUGGAGCAGCCAACCACCUAAUGGUUGUGGGGGCGGCUAUUUAUAGCCUGGGAGCAUCCCGACAUGAUUUGUCAUUAAUGCCCUUAAAUAAUAUGACCGUUGGUGUGGAUAAGAUCGGUGAUGUGAAGCGAAUUGCGAAAACGGCCGGGACCCUCAACUAUGAGAGUCCUCAUGUCUCUCAUAUUCCUCACUUGAGGCUUGUGGUAGGAUUAGGCUUGGGUUGAGCAUCGUGAGGAAAUUCAUUCCAAAGUGUUACUUUGACCCCCUUUAACAGUAUGGUGUUCCUAUGACUCAAGAGUGAAGAAAAUAAAACAGACAUAAUACAUCUUCAUGCUUCAAAGUCUUUAGAUUGAUUUUCUUCAGGACACACCGAAUUCCUCAUCUUCAAUAUCUUCACGAGGAAUAUCAAUUUCAUCGCAAUUUCUUCGCGAUUCAAAUCUUCAGCUUCAGACCAAUUUCUUCAGCCAAAGAUAUACAUUUUUAGGGGUCGAUAUUCAUCGAAUAUUUCAAACUCCUCAGUGACUUAUAGAUCCUGUGUACACUCAUGAACACAUUAGAUACUUAACUUAUAAGUCUUCAAACUACCAAAAUCAUUAAGGGGCACUAGAUGCACUUACAAUCUCCCCCUUUUUGGUGGUUGAUGACAAUUAGGUUAGGUCUUCAACGGGGAUAAAAAUAUGAUGUGUAAAUACUCAUUUGAGGAAUUUGAAAUCAAGAUACAUAGAGACUCCCCCUGAAGAUGUGCAUAUCUUGAGGAUUUUGCUUUUCACAACAAAUGCGCAUUGAUGAUUUAUAUCAUGGAGAUCUCCCCCUGAGUCUUGUAAAUCAUGCAUACAUAUGACAGAUAAUAUGAAGAACUUAAGAAUGCAUGAUGAGAAAUGGUAUCUGACGAAUUCCAGCAUGCGUGCAUUAAUAUUUUGAGGAAUAAGCAUGCGAAGAAAAACGUUCAAAAGCGUCAAAGUACCAUCGGGCUUAAGUUACAACUCAUUACAUAAAACACUUCAGAAGAAUCAAGAGUGUGUAACUUAAUAAAGUUCAUAAGCCCCAAAAUAUAUCCCGCGUGAAGACUAACUCUCAGAUUUCUCCCCCUUUGUCAUCAAGUGACAAAAAGGGACAAAACUGAGGACUAACGCCCCGUGAAGACUUUCGCUUCUUGGCAGAUGAGGAAGACGCGUGAGGAUUCUUGGGUACAGGCUUCCUCCUUGGUCCAGUGGCAGUGUCUUCUUGGUCUUCAUCAGGUUCUGCAGUGUGGAAUGAAGAAAAGGAACUGUCCUCAUGGUCUAGAACUGGAAUUGGCUUGAACUUCUUCUUUGGUGGACAUGACCAGUCAAAGUCCUGUGUGAACUCCAAUUCUUCAAGUUCUGCUGGAGUCUUCAAAUGAGCCAGUGUGGCCCAGGUGUGAUCAAAAACCUCAUGAAGAUAGUGAUGAUUAAUCUUCACUUCAUUCUGAGUCUCAUUGAGGGUUUUCACAAUGGAGCCGAAUUGGCGUUUGACCCAUUUUUGAUUGCGAUCAACCUUCUGAUGAAGACUGAGGAGUAGCUCUCUGUUGUUCAUCACCCGUGGGGCAACUGGAUUUGGCGGCUGUGUUUUAGUAACAUCCCAUGAAGAAUAUGCAUCUGGUUCACGAAGCUGGCCAUCAAGGGGCGGACUACCUUAAUUGAUCACAGACUUGCCUUUUCCUUCAACUCGCUCGAAAGUCUUCUUGUUGACUCUGAUCGGAGGCAUAUAUCCAAUGUGAUAAUUGAAAUCAGCAUGAUAGUUGAUGCCUGACCUGCGUCUCAUGAAUCUCAUGAUCCAUGGAGCAUAAAUCUUCAGGUCGAAGGGUGACAUAGCAUUGUCAGCUAGAGUCCUCAGGAAGAAGUCGUGAAGGUUUAUGGGGAUGCCAUGGAUGAUUUUGAAGAGGGUAUUCUUCAUGAUGCCUACAACAUCUUCUUCAUCAUCAUGGCCCUUCAUUGGAGCAAUGACACUGCACAGAAUCCUGUAGACAGUCCUGGGUUCAUACUUCACAUCUUGGACCAGAAAAGUCAUUCUUGGUGGUUGACCUUUGGCCAAAGGCUUCAUGAGGACUUCCAUCAACUUAUUGGGCAAUUCCCGUUCAUCAUACAUCUUCACAACAUGUUUUGAAGGAAUUGAAAUAGGAGGUACUCGCAACAGCUCAUUUGCACGGGCCUUGAAGUGCGUGUGCUGCGUUAUCCAAUCCAGCACCCAAGUGUUGAUAUAUGUUGGAUCUCCAGAGAUGUGCAGAGUUGCAUAGAAUUGAAGAACGAUGUCGCUGUUCCAAUUGUAAAUAUCAGUGCAAAGUGGGAGCAGUCCUGCUUCAUGAAGGACGUUGAGGACUGGCGCGAAGCAAGGAAUUUCUUCAAGCUCAACAUGAGGAAUAUGCCUGUGCUAAAAUAUUUUGUUUCUUCCACAAAGCACAGAUGCAUAAUAGUUGAGCUGAGUCCUUGUACAAAACUUCAUGUGCCUAAUGCGACGCUUGUCAUAAGGAUUUUCUCCGAUGAAAUACAUGCGUUCUUCAUAGAACGCUUCCUUCUGAAACUUUGGCUACUUGGAGAAGGGCUGAUGCGGCAUGGGUUGAAGAUUUUGCUACUUUCCUUGAGGAGAGAUGAUCAUGGCAGUCUCCAGAUUGACAACCACAAUAGCAGUUUCUGUAUUUGGCGCAGGGGCAUUUUCUUCAGCAUGUUCCUCAGGAUGAGGAAUUUCAUCAGCCGGUGCCUCAGGUUGAGGAUUUUGCUCCGGGUGAGGAUUUUCUUCAGCCUGAGCCUCAGGUUGAGGGUUUUGCUCAGGAUGAGGAAUCUCUUCAUGAUGAGCCUCAGGUUGAGGGUUUUGCUCAGGAUUUGUAUUUUCCUCGGGCUGAGGAUCUUCUCCUUAGUUUUCCUCAGCUUGAGGAAUUUGCUCGGAGGAGGAGCCAAAUUCUUCACCUGUUGCAGCUGAUCCUUGAGCAGGUUCUUCAGGAGGAAUGAAUGUCUGAGGACUGUCAUCAAUUUGAAUUUCCUCAUCGGUGUGUUCCUCAGACUCAGCAGUCUUCAUUUUCUCAUCAGUCAGAUGCUCCUUAUCUUCGCUCUCGAAGGGAAUGAUGGCAUAAGAUGGAGCAAUCUUGAGAGACACAACAUCCAAAGGAGCAUUUUCAUCAAGAGAUUUGAGGCGCUUGGCCUCUGUUGAUUCUGGUGUUGAAGAAGCUUUUCUUUUCUUAGCUUCCUUUUCCGCAGCCCUCGUUUUCUUCACGUCUGAUGCAGACAGAGUCGUUUUCUUCACCUUUGAGGAUUUUGGUGACGGCAUUUUCUCUUCAGGAGGCGGAGCCGUGUCCGUCCUGCCAGUUUCCUUAGCUGAAGCAUUUUCUUCAGCUGGAGCAGAUUCAUCAGUUGGCUUAGAUGCAUCAGCUGGAAUUUCCUUGGCUAUUUACUCAAUAGCUGGUGCAUCAGCGGGCUUUCUUGAGGCAUUUCCUCAGCAGGGGUGGUUUGUUCUUCCUCUACCUCAGGCUGAUGCGGUUUUGCUGGAGGGGCAGCCUUUUUGUUGUAAUCAUCAAUUGCGCUGGUUGCAAACUUGAUGAAAUUGUUCUUGAGACUUUGACGAUCAGAUAGCUUGGUAUACUUGUGUGUCAAAGUCUUCAAUUCUUCCUGGGUUGACACAAGAGCAUCAGGCGUGAGGCUGAGGAGAUUUUGUCUGAGGAAUUUCUCCUUCUUCAGCUUCGCAGCCUUUGCUUGUUUGGCUUGCGUCUCCUUCCACUUGGCCUCGUUCAUAAAUGUGUCCACCAUAUGGAUGAUGCCCCGGGGAAGCUUCAAGUCAUCAAUAGGUGUGUUGGGGUCAUCAUACCAAACAUUGAUGUAGUCCAACAUGACUUUUGGGUCCAUGGCCAGAGGGAUGGUGCUGCCUGAAGCUUGAGCGACACGCUCCUGCUUGUUCCUGAUGGUUGCUUGCAGUGUCUGAUCAUCAUAUUCAUCACUGCCUUCUGAUGCUGAAGGGACUUUGAUGACUUUGCUUGGUCUGGGUCUGGUUCCUCUUCCAACAGUCACCUUAGUCUUCAUUGGUGUUGGUGAAGACUUUGUCUCUAAGCUCGUUGAAGAAGGAACAUAGGAGCUGGAGACAGUAGGCAGUUGCUUCAUAAUCUGCUUGCAUUCAGGCUUUGAGGCUUGUUUGGUUGUUGAGGGUUUUGGUGCGGACGCUGGCGCAGCCUUCUGAAGCAAUUUCUCCUGAGGCUUUGAAGCCUUUGAUUUCUGUGACACAUGCUUCACUUGAGGAAUGGCCAUGCCAGAAGUUUCAGUGGCUGAGGAGGUGGCUGCGGUAGCAGCAACAACAAAUUCUUCGUUGAAUUUCCUCACAGCGGCUUCUGCUUGCUUCCGAAGCUUUGACAAGUGUUUGGUCUUUUCCUGAGGAUAAUCAUCAAUCGUCUUGAGGCUUGAAGGAUGGGCAUCCUGAUGAUCCUCGAGAGGAGGCCUUUUUCCAGGUGGCUUAAGAGUGAAUUUCUUCGCGUACUUUGGAGUGACGAAUCUGUACUCCUUCCACUCCUUAGCCCACCGGCGUUCUAUCUUUUGGAGCCUUAUCUUCCUCUUGGGCAUUGUUUCUUGCUCAUCUGGUGUGCAAUAUUCCAAGUAUAUAUCCUCAGGGAUAUCAAUGGCAGUGUUUUGUUCAAGCUUCUUGCCACCCUUUUGCUUCAUGUCAUCUUCCAUUUUCUUCAGCUGAGGCUUUUGCUGAGGAAAUUGCACUCUUGAGGAUUCUGAUGACAUGUAGAUUUUCUUUAAGAAACGCUGCAAAUGCGUUAAGUUGAUGAGAACCUAGAGAUUCAUGAGCUGGCAUUUUUGUACGUGUGAACAGAGUAUAGUUGCGAGGAAUUUGGAGAGGUCAUAUGCAUUCUCAGAUUUGAAGAAAUUGAAAAUUUUAAAGUUGAGGAAUUUGACCAGUGGGUUGAGGAAUUUGUCUAAGCACUCUGAUCUUGGGUUCCAGAGUUGUACAGAUUCGAAAAUUUGCACAAUUGAGGAAUCUCAUAAAGACUUUUAGUUGCUUAGUGAAAUUCAUCAACAGUUUGAGGAAUAAGCAGUGUUUGAGGAAUAGAGUAUGAUAGACACUGAGGAAAAACAGAUUCCACGAAUCUAAGGUAAAAUAGUAGAUUGAAAGGGACUGUAAAAAUAGGGUUUUAUUUACCCUAUAUAGCGUGCACGACGAACAGAAGAAGAAGUAGCAGUAGAUGCUCUUCGGUGCGAGUCCACUGCGCCCUAACUUGGCAACAGAGGACGGCUACGGCGGCGGCGGACAAAGACGUUUCGGUUCCGGCGUGAUUUUGGCGACGGAGAGGUCGAGGCAGUGAAGAUUUUCCUCGCCGGCGAUGAAACUUCUAGCGGUGGUGCUAGGUCUUUGCUGUAGCGGAGAGGAGGUCGAGAGAGAACGAAGAGUUUUGACCGAAGGGGGUGAGGACAUAUUUAUAGCUCAGGUGAAAACUGUCCGACCGAUUCUUUCGGACCUAACUACCCCUGCCCUUUCGUCUCUGCAGGACACGUGUAGAAACCAUUUAAAGUGGUGGAGAUCGUGCUUAUCUGAUCGUGGGAAGUGGGGUUCAGUUACUGUGUAACAAUAUAAAAAUCAUUUUUGAGGAUUUGAGGAUUUUGUUACAAAAUCAUCAGCUGACAAGGACGCAGUGAAGAUUUUGAACAAAGUUUCAAGUAGAACGCAUAUAAAGAAUUGCAUAGACUGGGUGAGUAUAGCAUAGAGGGGAAGUAAGAUCCGAUCACAUUCACUUAGAUGAAAUAUCAAGUUGAAGAAAUAGCUAUAAGUGAAUGUUGUUGAGGACUUUGAAAUCACAGUCUAUUUAUAUAUAUCUAGGCAAAUGAAAAUCAUCAAGUGUUUUUGAAGAUUUUGAUUAACGUCAGAACUUUGUGACAAAGCGUCCUGUUGAUGAAUUUUAGCUUUGAAGAAAAAUAAGUUUGAAGAAAAACAACUUUGAAGAACAACAACUUUGAAGAAAAACACCUUUGAAGAAAAACAACUUUGAAGAAAUUCAACUUGAGCACUUUCAAAGUUGAGUGGUGGCCUGACCCAUCGUAUAAGAAUGAUGAUUUCAAGCGCCGCGUACAAUUGUCGUAGGACCGUGAGAACCAAUUUCUUCAUUAAUUUCCUCACACUAAGAGUGAUAUUCUUCAUUGGUUGAAGAAAAUCGAUUCUUCGUGUGUUGCACAUCUAAGUCAUCAAUUUUGCAUAAGUGUUAGGAUGUGUGCAUGUUUUUACAAAACAUUUUAAGAUUCUAAAUAUUUAGCUCACACCGCAACUUGCAAAACCUUUUCUCAUCCAAGGGCUUAGUGAAGAUAUCUGCUAGUUGAUCGUCAGUCUUCACAUGGUCGAUGAGGAUAUUUCCCUUGAGGACAUGCUCCCGAAGAAAAUAAUGAUGAAUCUGUAUGUGCUUAGUCUUCGAGUGCUGUACUGGGUUGUAUGCAAUCUUGAUUGCACUCUAAUUGUCGCAGUAGAGAGGCACAUUCUUCAUGUUGAUGCCAUAGUCCUUAAGGGUUUGCUUCAUCCAUAGCAAUUGAGCACAACAUGAACCAGCAGCAACAUACUCAGCUUCGGCAGUGGAGAGAGAAACGCAGUUCUGCUUCUUUGAGGACUAGCAGACUAAAGAUCUUCCGAGGAAAUGACAUGUGCCAGAAGUUGACUUGCAAUCCACACGGUCACCAGCAUAGUGAGAAUCAGAAUAUCCCACAAGAUGAAGAUUUGAGCCCUUGGGGUACCAUAAUCCUAGUGUUGGUGUGUGAGCUAAGUAUCGAAGAAUAUGCUUCAUAGUCUUAUGGUGUGAUUCCUUCGGUUUUGCUUGAAAACGUGCUCACAUGCAAACACUAAGCAUUAUAUCUAGCCUAGAUGCACACAAAUACAGUAAGAGCCAAUCAUACAGCGAUAUACCCGCUGAUCGAAUUCUUUACCAUUUUUGUUAGUGCAGAGGUGGCCGUUGGUAGGCAUGGGAGUCUUGACACCUUUGCAUUCAUGCAUGUCAAAUUUCCUCAGAACAUCCUUGAUGUAUUUCUCCGGUGAUAUGAAGAUUCCAUUGCGUUGUUGACGAAUUUGAAGACCUACGAAGAAUUUCAGCUCCCCCAUCAUAGACAUCUGAUAUUCUUCACUCAUCAUGUAAGCAAAUUCAUCACUGUAACAUUUGUCAGUAUAGCCAAAUAUGAUGUCAUCGACAUAUAUUUGGCACACAAAUAGUUCAUUAUCGUAGGAUUUAGUGAAAAGAGUUGGAUCGAGUGAACCAGGUUUGAAGCCUUUCUUCAUGAGGAAUUCCUUCAAUGUAUCGUACCACGCCCAAGGGGCUUGCUUGAGACCAUAGAGCGCCUUUCUGAGUCUCAAGACUUUGUCUGGAUUCUUUGGAUCCUCAAAACCUGGGGGCUGAGCAACAUAUACUUCUUCCUCAAGCUUACCAUUGAGGAAUGCACUUUUCACAUCCAUUUGAUAUAAGAUAAUGUUAUGAUGAUUAGCAUAAGCAAGUAGUAUUUGAAUAGCUUCAAGUCUAGCAACAGGUGCAAAAGUUUCAUCGAAAUCAAUUCCUUCAACAUGUGUAUAUCCUUGGGCUACAAGUCGUGCCUUAUUCCUCACCACUUGACCAUCCUCAUCUUGCUUGUUUCGGAAAAUCCACUUGGUGCCGAUGAUAUUGUGCUUGCGAGGAUCUGGUUGUUCGACGAGAUCCCAUACGUCAUUCAACUUGAAUUGAAGAAGUUCGUCUUGCAUGGCUUCAAUCCACUCUAGUUCCAUGAAAGCCUCAGCAACUUUUGAAGGUUCUCUGAUAGAUAAAAAAUAAGAAUGCCCACAAAAGUUAACUAAGUGUGAAGCUUUUGAGCGAGUGAGAGGACCUGGCGCGUUGAUGUAAUCAAGGAUUUUGUCAAGUUCUACUUCAUUUGCAAUCCUCGGAUGAGCUGGUUGAGGAAUUCGUCUGGGCUGAGGAAUUGGUUCUGGAGCAUCUUCCUGAGGAGCAUCUUCUUGAUUUUCAUCAGUGCUGGGAAUGAUUUCUUCAGUAAUUUCCUCAGUAGGAAUAAUGUCUUUAGUAGCUUUGAGCUUUAUUUCUUCCUUAGGAGACAACUUAUCUGGAUCAGGAGGCAAUUGCUCUCUUUGCGAGCCAUUAGUUUCAUUGAAUCGCACAUCUACAGUUUCAACAACCUUGUUGUGAUAGGUGUUGAAGACUCUGUAGGCGUGCGAGUCCUUUCCGUAACCAAGCAUAAAACCCUCAUGUGCUUUAGGUGCAAACUUUGAGCUAUGGUGAGGAUCUCUAAUCCAGCAUUUUGCACCGAAAACUUUGAAAUAACUUACAUUAGGUUUCUUUUCAGUGAGGAGUUCCUAUGAGGUUUUCUUGAGGAAUUUGUGAAGAUAUACCCUGUUGAUGGUAUGGCAAGUAGUGUUGAUUGCUUCAGGCCAGAAACGACGAGGAGUCUGAUAUUCUUCAAGCAUGGUUCGUGCCAUCUCAACCAGAGUCCUGUUUUUCCUUUCAACAACGCCAUUCUGUUGAGGAGUAUAAGGAGCAGACAAUUCGUGAGUAAUACCAAGUUCAUCAAGAUAAUUAUCAAUACCAGUGUUUUUGAAUUCUGUUCCAUUAUCACUCCUGAUGUGUUUUAUCUUGAUGCCGAAGUUCGUCAAGGCCCUUGAGGAAAAUCGUUUGAAGACUUCCUGCACUUCAGUUUUUUACAAAAUGAUAUGCGCCCAAGUGUAUGUGAAAUAAUCAUCAACUAUGACAAAGCCACAUAAAGAUGCUGCAUUUGUUAGAGUGGCAUAAUGAGUAGGUCCAAAUAGAUCCAUGUGAAGCAAUUCAAGUGGACGAGUAGUCGUCAUGAUGGUCUUCAAGGGUGCUUGGAUCUAGUCAUUUUCCCAGAUUCACAAGCACCGCAGAGGUGGUCCUUGAGGAAUUUGACCGAUUCGAUGCUGAUGACAUGCUUCUUGUUCGCAAGCGUGUGCAAAUUCCUCAUGCCUACAUGACCAAGUCUUCGAUGCCAUAGCCACCCUUCUGAGGUUUUUUCUAGUAAGCAAGUGGCUGGUUGAGGACCUGUAGAGAAAUCAACAAUGUACAAAUCCUCUCUCCUAACACCUUCGAAGACUUUGGAUCUGUCAGAUUCCAUGAUGACAACACAUUUAUAUCUUCCAAAGAUAACAACCAUAUCAAGAUCACAAAGCAUUGAGACUAACAUGAGGUUAAACCCAAGGGAUUCAACAAGCAUCACUUUGUCCAUGUGCGUGUCCUUGGAAAUAGCCACUUUGCCAAGUCCCAAUACCUUGCUUUUACCUUUGUCAGCAUAAGUGAUUUUAUUCAGGGGUGAUGGAGUUAGUGGCAUAUUCAUCAGCAAGCUUUUGUCACCAGUCAUGUGAUGUGUGCAGCCACUAUCAAGAACCCACUCUAUACUCUUGGGUUUGUCAUCCUACUGAUGAAUUAGUAUAGCUUACCAUCUCAUAUGCUUCAGACUUGAAGAAUAUGAUAUCAAUUUCAUCAGAUAGGAAUUUCAUCAUAAACAGUAAUUAUCAGGACGUGUGAAAUAUUUUCAUUUCAUCAAUAUUAGCUUGUGUCCUAUCAAGCAUUUUCCUCAGGUCUCUAGCAAAUUCUUCAGAUGAUGAUUUUCAUUUGGAGACCUGACCUGGAGAAGUGAUUAGUACAAUUUCUUCACCACCCACAUAUAAAGGGGUGGUAAAGAAUUCAUCAUCAUGCGAGCACCAUAUCAGAAAGGGGGCAUUGAAGCUAAUGCACUUCUCUUAACAGUAAGGGGGUUAAAGUAGUCAAAUUAAUAUGCAGAUAAUUUCUUUGAGGAUUUAUGAACUUAAUGAUUUGAAGAAUAACGCUCAUAUUCAUAUUCCUUGUAAUUUCCCUGCAUGUUAGAAGCAUUAGCACGGGUACGAGCGUAGUUUUGACCAAUUGAGGAUUUUGAUCCUCUCGAAGACUUUGGUCCUCCUGAGGAAUUUGAUCUGGGUUCAAAUUCUUCAUAGGUGGUGUCAUGAGGACAUUCACCUGAAGAUUUGCAAGGCAACUUUUGGGGAUCCAGAUUUUCCUCAGGGGUGGUCCAUUCCUGCAGUUAGUUCCAACAUAUCAAGCAAAUACUUCACGAGAUUGAUUUUUGAACAGUUUAUAGUUCGAGUCAAAUGACUCAUCUGAGGAAUAGGAUAAUUCACAUGCAAAGCCUGUUAGAUUGGAUGGAUCAACAGGAGGCCCUUUAGCAGCAACCCAUGAGGCUUUGGGAUACUGCUCAAGUUUCCAGUAUGAUCCAUCAGCAUUCAAUUUCCUCACAAAGGCAAUUCCUUAUUUCCUCGGGUUUCUGUUCAAGAUCUGCUUUUUGAGCACAUCACAAAGGGUUUUGUGCCCUUUGAGACUUUUGUACAUGCCUGUCACAUACAAUUCCUUUAGCCCUGCAGUUUCAUCAGUGACAUUUGUGGUUUCCUCAAGUGAGGAAUUUGACACUACAGGAGCAUUUGAAGAAUUUGUAGUAAUAGAAGCAUUUGAUGAUUCUGGUGAAGAAUUAGCAGUUUCACGUUCGAUGCAUUUAAGACAUGGAGGAAUGAAUUCAGUCGGAGCAGGACCGAUCUGUUGAGCGAGUAAUGAAUCAUUUUUCAUACGAAGAUCAUCAUGAGAAAUCCUCAGCUUCUCAAGGUCAAGUUUCCUUUGAAGAAAUUCAUAGGAAAGUUUCUCAUGAUCAGCGAGGAGUGUAACAUGACGAUCUUGAAGAUUAUAAAAUCUGGACUGAAGGCUUUUCAUAUCUUCAGUUAGGAUUUGGGUAAGAUUCAUUUCAUCAUUCAACACAUCAUCGCUUUGGUCUAGCAGUUUCUGAAGCUUUUCUAGGGCAGUUUGUUGUUUAGUAGCAAUGAUAGCAAGUUUACUGUAACUGGGUUUUUUUUGUAAUCAUCAGCUUCACAGUCACUUGAAUCAGAGGAGGAAGCAUAAUUGGGUACCUUUGAACCUUUUGCCAUGAAGCAAUAGGUUGGAGCGAAGUCAUCAGCAUAGUCAUCAGUGUGGAUGGUGUUAUCAUUUUCUUCAAGGUUGAAGAUUGACUUGCUGACGAAUGUUCGUUGCAAGUGCAAGACUAGCCUACCCAGAUUCCGAGUCUUCGUCAGAACCCUCCUCUUCAUCACAUUCCUUGGAUUCUGCCUUAGAAUCCAUUUCCUUGCCAAUACGUGCCCGAGCCUUUCUUAAACUAGUCUUCUUGUGCGAUGAGGACUUUGAGGAUGAGGAUUUUGAAGAUUCCUUCUUUUUCUUCGAGUCAUCAGAACUUUCAUCCUUGUAUUUCUUAUUCUUUGAUUCCUUCACCCAACGAGGUAAAUCAGCAAUGUAGUGACCCGAUUUCUUGCAUUUGUGGCAGGUUCUUUUCUUGUAGUCCUUAGAUGAAGAUUCUGAUUUCCUCAUAUCUCUUUUUGAAGAUUUACCAAACUGGCCACGUCUUGUAAACUUCUGGAAUUUCCUCACGAGCAUUGCAAGCUCCUGUACAAAUUCUUCAGGAUCACUGUAAGUGCAUCUAGUGCCCCUUAGUGAUUUUGGUGGUUUAAAGACUUAUAGGUUAAGUAUCUAAUGUGUUCUUAAGUGUACACAGGAUCUAUAAGUCACUGAGGAGUUUGAAAUAGUUGAUGAAUAUCGACCCCUAAAAAUGUAUAUCUUCGGUUGAAGAAAUUGGUCUGAAGCUGGAGAACUGAAUCGCGAAGAAUCUACGAUGAAAUUGAUAUUCCUCAUGAAGAUAUUGAAAUUGAGGAAUUCGGUGUGUCCUGAAGAAAAUCAUUCUGAAGACUUUGAAGCAUGAAGAUUUACUCUUUCUGUUUUGUUUUCUUCACACUUGAGUAAUAGGAACACCGUACUAUUAAAGGGGGUCGAAGUUACACUUUGGAAUGAAUUUCCUCAUGAUGCUCAACACAAGCCUAAUACUACCAAAAGCCUCAAGUGAGGAAUACGAGUGACAUGAGGACUCUCACAGUUGAGGGUUCCGACCGUUUUGAUAGUCACGCCACAUCAUUGGUCUUAUCCACACCAACGGUCAUAUUAUUUAAGGGCAUUAGUGUCAAAUCAUGUCGGGAUGCUCCCAGGCUAUAAAUAGCUACCCCCACAACCAUUAGCUGGUUGGCUACUCCGUUAGAAACUGACACUUGUCAUAAGAGCUACCCAAUUCGUCAGACUCUUCGAGAGUAAUUCAUCAGUGAGGAAAUACCCCAAACACCAAACCACAAACCUAGAACCAAGUGAUUGAGCAUCACUGAAGAAGUUGUUCCUGUGUGGGACUGAAGCCUUUUACCUUUGAGGACUGUGCAUCCUCCAGACGGUUAGGCGUCAUGGUCUAGAGGAAUCCAGCAGUCAAUUGUGGAUCGCCGGGUGACCAAGUUUGUGAGGGUUUGGAAGUGUGCCCCGAAGACUUACCACGAGUGUUGGGCGAGGACUGUGUGUUCUUAGCCCAAGGAUAAUACGGUAGGGACUGUGUGUUCCGGGACUGUGUGUCUUUUGGUUUCAAUACCAAGCCGCUCCAAACCAGAUGUACAACUAUCAUAGCAGUUGGAACUAGGUCAUCAACUACUGUCUUCGUUGUGAAACGGGUUCUAAUUCCUCAACUCUUUCCAUUCCUCAGAUUAUGUGUUGAUGACUUUCACUGUCACUGUUUGAAGAAUUUGCUGAAGACUUUGUGUGAAAUUCCUCAACCCCAAAUUCUUCACGCUAGUUAAUCCUCAUCUGUAUUUCCCAAUCUCUUCAAUCGCUUCAAGAGGCAUGAGAAUGAAAGCUGCAAGAUACCUUUGAUCGCCUCACUGACAUAUCAAAUGAACUGCAAGCACUGGGAGCUCGAGACAUCACUGGUCACGAAGUUGUGAAGAAACAGCUAAGAUCUUUGGAUUCUUCAUGUGAUACUUUAGUCCUGAUGAUUCAAGAAAGACCAGACUACAAGAUGCUUGAUCCAGCGGUAUACUCGAAAGGCUCAAUACUCAUGAAUUCCAGCAAGAAGAAAAGAAAGAUCUAUAUGGAGCAAGAUAUUCUAGACCACGUGCACUGAAGGCUAGAGCAAUUUCCUCAUCUGAAGAAGAAGACUCGGAUGACAGCAUUGGUGACCCUGAAGAAUUUGGACAGGAGCUUGCAAUGCUCGUGAGGAAAUUCCAGAGGUUUACACGACGUGGCCAGUUUGGUAAAUCUUCAAGAAGAGACAUGAGGAAAUCAGAAUCUUCAUCUCAGGACUACAAGAAAAGAACCUACCACAAAUGUAAGAAAUCAGGUCAUUACAUUGCUGAUUGUCCUCGUUGGGGAAAGGAAUCAAAGAAGAAGAAAUACAAGGAUGACAGUUCUGAUGACUCGAAGAACAAGAAGAAAUCUUCAAAAUCCUCAUCUUCAAAGCCCUCAUCGCACAAGAAGACUAGUUUCAGAAAGGCUUGGGCACUUAUUGGGAAGGAAAUGGAUUCCGAGGCAGAAUCAGAGGAAUGUGAUGAAGAGGAGGGUUCUGAUGAAGACUUAGAAUCCGGACAGGCCAGUCUUGCACUUGCAACCACUUUCGUCAGCAAGUCAAUCUUCAACCUUGAAGAAGAUGAUAACACCAUCCACACUGAUGACUAUGCUGCUGACUUCGCUCCAACCUAUUGCUUCAUGGCAAAAGGUUCAAAGUUACCGAAUGAUGCUUCCUCCUCUGAUUCAAGUGACUAUGAACCUGAUGAUUAUAANUGCAGGAAUGGCCCUCCUUUGAGGAAAAUCUGGGUUCCCAAAAGUUGUCUUGAAAAUCUUCAGGUGAAUGUCCUCAUGACACCACCAAUGAAGAAUCUGAACCCCAGAUCAAAAUCCUCAGGAGGACCAAAGUCUUCAAGAGGAUCAAAAUCCUCAACUGGUCAAAACUAUGCUCGUUCCCGUGCUAAUACUUCUAACAUGCAGGGAAACUACAAGGAAUAUGAAUAUGAGCGUUACUCUUCAAAUCAUUAUGUUCAUAAAUCCUCAAACAAGUUCUCUGCAUAUUCAUAUGAGUACUUUAACCCCCCUACUCUUAAGAGAAGUGCAUUAGCUUCAAUGCCACCUUUCUCAUAUGGUGCUCGCAUGAUGAUGAAUGCUUUACCACCCCUUCAGAUGUGGGUGGUGAAGAAAUCGAACUAAUCACUUCUGUAGGUCAGGUCUCCAGAUGAAAAUCAUCAUCCGAAGAAUUUGCUGGAGACCUGAGGAAAUGCUUGAUAGGACACAAGCUAAUAUUGAUGAAAUAGAAAUAUUUCACACGUCCUUAUAAUUCUGUUGUGAUGAAAUACUUAUCUGAUGAAAUUGGUAUCAUAUUCUUCAAAUCUGAAGCAUAUGAGAUGGUAAGCUGUACUAAUUCAUCUGCAAGAUGACAAACCCAAGAAUAUUGAGUGGGUUCUUGAUAGUGGCUGCACACAUGACAUGACUGGUGAUAAAAGCUUGUUGAUGAAUAUGCCACUAACUCCAUCUCCUCUGAAGCAAAUCACAUAUGCUGACAAAGGUAAAAGAAAGGUAUUGGAACUUGGCAAAGUGGCUAUUUCCAAGGAUAGGCAUAUAGACAAAGUGAUGCUUGAUGAAUCCCUUGGUUUUAACCUCAUGUCAGUCUCGAUGCUUUGUGAUCUUUAUAUGAUUGUUAUCUUUGGUAGAUAUAGAUGUGUAGUCAUCAUGGAAUCUGACAGAUCCAAAGUCUUCGAAGGUGUAAGAAGAGGGGAUUUGUACAUUGUUGAUUUCUCUACAGGUCCUCAACCAGCCACUUGCUUAUUAGCAAAAACCUCAAAAGGAUGGUUGUGGCACCGAAGACUAGGUCAUGCAGGCAUGAAGAAUUUACACACGCUCGCGAAGAAGAAGCAUGUCAUCGGCAUCGAAUCAGUCAAAUUCCUCAAGGAUCAUCUCUGCGGUGCAUGUGAAUCUGGGAAAAUGAUCAGAUCCAAGCAUCCCUCGAAGACUAUCAUGACCACUACUCGUUCCUUCGAAUUGCUUCAUAUGGAUCUAUUUGGACCUACUCACUAUGCCACACUAACCAAUGCAGCAUCUUUAUAUGGCUUCGUCAUAGUUGAUGAUUAUUCCAGAUAUACAUGGGUGCAUAUCAUCGUAUAUAAAACUGAAGUGCAGGAAAUCUUCAAACGAUUUUCUUCAAGGGCCUCGACGAACUUUGGCAUCAAGAUCAAACAUAUCAAGAGUGAUAAUGGAACAGAGUUCAAAAACACUGGUCUUGAUGAUUAUCUUGAUGAACUUGGUAUUACUCAUGAAUUGUCUGCUCCUUAUACUCCUCAGCAGAACGGUGUCGUCGAAAGGAACAACAGGACUCUGGUUGAGAUGGCAAGCACUAUGCUUGAAGAAUAUCAGACUCCUCGUCGCUUUUGGCCUGAAGCAAUCAACACUGCAUGCCAUAUCAUCAACAGGGUAUAUCUUCACAAAUUCCUCAAGAAAACCUCAUAUGAACUCCUCACUGAUAAGAAGCCCAAUGUAACUUAUUUCAAAAUCUUCGGUGCAAAAUGUUGGAUUAGAGAUCCGCACCAUAGCUCAAAAUUUGCAACUAAGGCACAUGAGGGUUUUAUGCUUGGUUAUGGAAAGGACUCGCACACCUACAGAGUCUUCAACAACUAUCACAACAAAGUUGUUUAGACUGUAGAUGUGCGGUUCGAUGAAACUAAUGGCUCGCAAAGAGAGCAAUUGCCUUCUGAUCCAGAUAAGCUGUCUCCUGAGGAAGCAAUAAAGCUCAAACCUACUGAAGACAUUGUUACCACUGAGGAAAUUGAUGAAGAAACCAUCCCCAUCACUUAUUAAAAUCAAGAAGGUGCUCCAGAGGAAGUUGCUCCAGAACCACUUCCUCCGCCCACACGAAAUCCUCAACCAGCUCAUCCAAGGAUUGCAAAUGAAGUAGAACUUGACAAAAUCCUCAAUGACAUCAACGCGCCAGGUCCUCUCACUCGCUCAAAAUCUUCACACUUAGUUAACUUUUGUGGGCAUUUCUCCUUUGUAUCUAUCACAGAACCCUCAAAAGUUGCUGAGGCUUUCCUGGAACCAGAGUGGAUCCAAGCUAUGCAAGACGAACUUCUUCAAUUCAAGCUGAAUGACGUAUGGGAGCUCGUCAAACGACCAGAUCCUCGCGAGCACAACAUCAUCGGAACCAAGUGGAUUUUCCGAAACAAGCAAGAUGAGGAUGGUCAAGUGGUGAGGAAUAAGGCACGUCUUGUAGCCCAAGGCUACACCCAGGUUGAAGGAAUAGAUUUCGAUGAAACUUUUGCACCUGUUGCUAGACUUGAAGCUAUUCGAAUACUACUUGCUUAUGCUAAUCAUCAUAACAUCAUCUUAUAUCAAAUGGAUGUGAAAAGUGCAUUCCUCAAUGGUAAGCUUGAGGAAGAAGUAUAUGUUGCUCAGCCCCCAUGUUUUGAGGAUCCAAAGAAUCCAGACAAAGUCUUCAGACUCAAAAAGGCGCUCUACGGUCUCAAGCAAGUCCCUCGGACAUGGUAUGAUACAUUGAAGGAAUUCCUCAUGAAGAAAGGCUUCAAACCUGGUUCACUCGAUCCAACUCUUUUCACUAAAUCCUAUGAUAAUGAGCUAUUUGUGUGCCAGAUAUAUGUCGAUGAUAUUAUAUUUGGCUGUACUGACAAACGAUACAGUGAUGAAUUUGCUUACAUGAUGAGUGAAGAAUAUUAGAUGUCUAUGAUGGGGGAGCUGAAAUUCUUCUUAGGUCUUCAAAUUCGUCAACAAUGCAAUGGAAUCUUCAUAUCACAGGAGAAAUACCUCAAGGAUGUUAUGAGGAAAUUCGAUAUGCACGAAUGCAAAGGUGCCAAGACUCCAAUGCCUACCAACUGCCACCUCGGCACUGACGAAAAUGGUAAAGAAUUCGAUCAACAGGUAUAUUGCUCUAUGAUUGGCUCUUUAUUGUAUCUAUGUGCAUAUAGGCCAGAUAUAAUGCUUAGUGUUUGCAUGUGUGCACGUUUUCAAGCAAAACCGAAGGAAUCACACCAUAGGGCUGUGAAGCAUAUUCUUCGAUACUUAGCUCACACACCAACACUAGGAUUAUGGUAUCCCAAGGGCUCAAAUCUUCAUUUGGUAGGGUAUUCUGAUUCUGACUAUGCUGGUGACCUUGUGGAUCGCAAGUCAAUAUGUGGCACAUCCCAUUUCCUCGGAAGAUCACUAGCUUGCUGGUCCUCAAAGAAGCAGAACUACGUAUCACUCUCCACUGCCGAAGCUGAGUACAUUGCUGCUGGUUCAUGCUGUGCUCAAUUGCUCUGGAUGAAGCAAACCCUCAAGGACUACGACAUCAACAUGAAGAAUGUGCCUCUCUACUGCGACAAUGAGAGUGCAAUCACGAUUGCAUACAACCCAGUACAACACUCGAAGACUAAGCACAUCUAGAUUCGUCAUCAUUUUCUUCGGGACCAUGUCCUCAAGGGCAAUAUCCUCAUCGACCAUGUGAAGACUGAUGAUCAACUGGCAGAUAUCUUCACUAAGCCCUUGGAUGAGAAAAGGUUUUGCAAGUUGCGGUGUGAGCUAAAUAUCUUAGAAUCUUCAAAUGUUUUGUAAAAACAUGCACACAUCCUAUCACUUAUGCAAAAUUGAUGACUUAGAUGUGCAACACAUGAUGAAUUGAUUUUCUUUAACCGAUGAAGAAUAUCACUCUGAAUGUGAAGAAAUCAACGAAGGGAUUGAUUCUCAGGGCCCUACACCAAUUGUACACGGCGUCUGUAAUCAACAUUCUUAUAUGGUGGGUCACGCCACCGCCCAACAUGAAAUUCCUCAAGUUGAUUUUCUUCAAAGUUCCAUUUCCUCAAAAUUUGUUUUUUACACAGCUGUUCUUCAUUGUGACGAUUUAUCACAAAAUCCUCAAGUUAGUCAAAUCUUCAAAAACACUUGAUGACUUUAGUUUAACUAGAUAGAUUGUGAUUUCAUGUCCUCAACAGCAUUCACUUAUAGCUAUUUCUUCAAGUUGAUAUUUCAUCUAAGUGAAUGUGAUUGGACCCUACUUUACCUCUAUGCUAUUCUCAUCCAGUCUAUUCAAUUCUUCAUAUGCGUUCUACUUGAAACUUUGUUCAAAAUCCUCACUGCGUCCUUGUCAGCUGAUGAUUUUGUAACAAAAUCCUCAAAUCUUCAAAAAUGUUUCUUUAAUGCACAGUAACUGAACCCCACUUUCCUCGUUCAGAUAACCACGAUCUCCACGAUCUCCACCGCUUUGCUCGGGAGCUACACGUGUCCCGCGGAGACGUAGACGCAGGGACUAUUUGGUCCGAUUUCUUCACACCAACAGUAACUUCCUGGCUAUAAAUAUGUCCUUAUCCCCCUCGGUAAACACUUCUUCGCUCCAUCGCUCUCCUGCUACAACAAAAGCCUCGAACCCUAGCGCCAUCGCUGGAAGUCUCGUCGCCGGUGAAGAAGAGCUUCACUGCCUCGACUUUUCCGUCGCCGAAACCACGCCGGAGUCAGACCAUCCUCGUCCGCCGCCGCCGUAGAUGUCCUCUGCUGUCGGGUUAGGGCGCAUUGGACAUGCACCAGAAGAGUUUCUCCCUGCUACUCUUCUCUGUUCUUCGUGCGCGCCAUCUAGGGUAAAUAAAAACCCUAUUUUUACAGCAAGUUUGAUCUACUAUUUUACCUCUGAGAUGUGAAAUCUAUUUUUCCUCAAGAAUCCAUAUGCAUCUGAAUCCUCAAACACUGCCUAUCACCACACUAUUGAUGAACUGCACUAAGCAUCUAAGAUUUUCACGAGAUUCCUCAGUUGUGCGAAUUUUCGGAUCUGUACAACUCUGGAACCCAAGAAUAGUAUGCUUAGGCAAAUUCCUCAACCACUGGUCAAAUUCCUCAACUGUCAAUUUUUUUCAUUUUCUUCAAAUCUGAGAACGCAUAUGACCUCUCCACAUUCCUCGCAACUAUACUCUGUUCACAGGUACACACAUGUCAGCUGAUGAAUCUCUCGGUUCUCAUCACAUUAACUCAUUUGCAACGUUUCUUGAAGAAAAUUUUCAAGUCUCAUCAGAAUCCUCAAGAGUUCAAUCUCAUCAGCAAAAUCCUCAGCUGAAGAAAAUGGAGGAUGACAGGAAGCAAAAGGGAGGCAAGAAACUUGAGCAGAAUAUAACCGCAGAUAUCCCCCAGGAUAUAUACUUGGACUACUACACUCCUAAUGAAAAUAAAACAAUGGCCAAGAGAAAGAUUCGGUUUCAGAAGAUAGAACGCUGAUGGGGUAAGUGCAUCUAGUGCCCCUUAGUGAUUUUGGUGGUUUGAAGACUUAUAGGUUGAGUAUCUAAUGUGUUCAUGAGUGUACACAUGAUCUAUAAGUCACUGAGGAGUUUGAGAUAUUUGAUGAAUAUCGACCCCUAAAAAUGUAUAUCUUCGGUUGAAGAAAUUGGUCUGAAGCUGAAGAAUUGAAUCACGAAGAAUCUGCGAUGAAAUUGAUAUUCCUCAUGAAGAUAUUGAAUUUGAGGAAUUCGGUGUGUCCUGAAGAACAUCAUCCUGAAGACUGUGAAGCAUGAAGAUUUACUCUUUCUGUUUUGUUUUCUUCACAUUUGAGUAAUAGGAACACCGUAGUGUUAAAGGGAGUCGAAGUUACACUUUGGAAUGAAUUUCCUCAUGAUGCUCAACCCAAGCCUAAUCCUACCAAACGCCUCAAGUGAGGAAUAUGGGUGACAUGAGGACUCUCACAGUUGAGGGUUCCGACCGUUUCGAUAGCCACGCCACAUCAUUGGUCUUAUCCACACCAACGGUCAUAUUAUUUAAGGGCAUUAGUGUCAAAUCAUGUCGGGAUGCUCCUAGGCUAUAACUAGCCGCCUCCACAACCAUUAGCUGGUUGGAUGCUCUGUUAGAAACUAACAGUUGUCAUAAGAGCAACCCAAUUCCUCAGAGUCUUCGAGAGUAAUUCAUCAGUGAGGAAAUACCCCAAACACCAAACCACAAACCUAGAACCAAGUGAUUUAGCAUCACUGAAGAAAUUGUUCCUGUGUGGGACUGAAGCCUUUUAACUUUGAGGACUGUGCAUCCUCCAGACGGUUAGGCAUCAUGGUCUAGAGCAAUCCAGCAGUCAAUUGUGGAUCGCCGGGUGUCCAAGUUUGUGAGGGGUUGGAAGUCUGCCCUGAAGACUUACCACGAGUGUUGGGCGAGGACUGUGUGUUCUUAGCGGAAGGAGAAUACGGUAGGGACUGUGUGUCCUGGGACUGUGUGUCUUUUGGUUUCAAUACCAAGCCGCUCCAAACCAGAUGUACAACUGUCUCAGCAGUUGGAACUGGGUCAUCAACUACUGUCUUUUCUGUGAAACGGGUUCUAAUUCCUCAACUCUUUACAUUCCUCAGAUUAAAUGUUGAUGACUUUCAGUGUCACUGUUUGAAGAAUUUGAUGAAGACUUUCUCUGAAAUUCCUCAACCCCAAAUUCUUCACGCUAGUUAAUCCACAUCUGUUUUCUGCGUGCCUGCUCACUAUGCAAUCUGUUUUCACAUUCCUCACACUGAAAAACUGCUGUUGUUAAACUUUGCACUCCCGAUCCUUUACUGUUUCUGAUGUAAGUUAGUCAUCGGUGAGGAAUUUCCUCAAAAGGAAUUUCCUUAGUGAUGAAAUUAUAAAAAUCUCCUAUUCACCCCCCUCUAGUCGAUAUAACGCACUUUCAAUUGGUAUCAGAGCAAGGUACUCCCUUGUUCUGUGUGAUUUUGGUUUAACCACCUGGAGUUUUAGUUAUGUCGACUUCAGGCAUGAUUAAGGUCACUGCAGCAUGUCCUACUUUCGAAGGAAAGAACUUUCCCUUCGGGAAGACCAAGAUGCAGAUGCAUCUACAAGCUAUUGACAAUGAUCUCUGGUAUAUUGUGCAACAUGGCGUCCCCAUCGUCUCUGUUAGUGUCUCUGCUGCUGAUGUGAAGAAAUUCAAGCAACUUGAUUCUCAAGCGAAGAAUAUCAUCUGUGGCCAUCUGAGCCCAGGCCAGUUUGGAAGAGUGAGUGCUUUGGGCUCUGCAACACUUAUCUGGGAGAGAGUGUGCAUAGUAAAUGAAGGAGUAUCAACCCAGCGUGACACUCGUGUUGAUGUUCUUCGCAAUCUCUUCAAUCGCUUCAAGAGGCAUGACAAUGAAGCCUGCCAAGAUACCUUUGAUCGCCUCACUGACAUAUCAAAUGAACUGCAAGCACUGGGAGCUGGAGACAUCACUGAUCACGAAGUUGUGAAGAAACUGCUAAGAUCUUUGGAUUCUUCAUUUGAUACUUUAGUCCUGAUGAUUCAAGAAAGACCAGACUACAAGAUGCUUGAUCCAGCUGAUAUACUCGAAAGGCUCAAUACUCAUGAAUUCCAGCAAGAAGAAAAGAAAGAUCUAUAUGGACCAAGCUAUUCUAGACCACGUGCACUGAAGGCUAGAGCAAUUUCCUCAUCUGAAGAAGAAGACUCGGAUGACAGCAUUGGUGACCAUGAAGAAUUUGGACAGGAGCUUGCAAUGCUCGUGAGGAAAUUCCAGAGGUUUACACGACGUGGCCAGUUCGGUAAAUCUUCAAGAAGAGACAUGAGCAAAUCAGAAUCUUCAUCUGAGGACUACAAGAAAAGAACCUGCCACAAAUGCAAGAAAUCAGGUCAUUACAUUGCUGAUUGUCCCCGUUGGGGAAAGGAAUCAAAGAAGAAGAAAUACAAGGAUGACAGUUCUGAUGACUCGAAGAACAAGAAGAAAUCUUCAAAAUCCUCAUCUUCAAAGCCCUCAUCGCACAAGAAGAAUAGUUUCAGAAAGGCUCAAGCACUUAUUGGCAAGGAAAUGGAUUCCGACGCAGAAUCAGAGGAAUGUGAUGAAGCUGAGGGAUCUGAUAAAGACUCAGAAUCCGGACAGUCCAGUCUUGCACUUGCAACCACUUUCUUCAGCAAGUCAAUCUUCAACCUUGAAGAAGAUGAUAACACCAUCCACACUGAUGACUAUGCUGAUGACUUCGCUCCAACCUAUUGCUUCAUGGCAAAAGGUUCAAAGGUACUGAAUGAUGCUUCCUCCUCUGAUUCAAGUGACUGUGAACCUGAUGAUUAUAANNNNNNNNNNNNNNNNNNNNNNNNNNNNNNNNNNNNNNNNNNNNNNNNNNNNNNNNNNNNNNNNNNNNNNNNNNNNNNNNNNNNNNNNNNNNNNNNNNNNNNNNNNNNNNNNNNNNNNNNNNNNNNNNNNNNNNNNNNNNNNNNNNNNNNNNNNNNNNNNNNNNNNNNNNNNNNNNNNNNNNNNNNNNNNNNNNNNNNNNNNNNNNNNNNNNNNNNNNNNNNNNNNNNNNNNNNNNNNNNNNNNNNNNNNNNNNNNNNNNNNNNNNNNNNNNNNNNNNNNNNNNNNNNNNNNNNNNNNNNNNNNNNNNNNNNNNNNNNNNNNNNNNNNNNNNNNNNNNNNNNNNNNNNNNNNNNNNNNNNNNNNNNNNNNNNNNNNNNNNNNNNNNNNNNNNNNNNNNNNNNNNNNNNNNNNNNNNNNNNNNNNNNNNNNNNNNNNNNNNNNNNNNNNNNNNNNNNNNNNNNNNNNNNNNNNNNNNNNNNNNNNNNNNNNNNNNNNNNNNNNNNNNNNNNNNNNNNNNNNNNNNNNNNNNNNNNNNNNNNNNNNNNNNNNNNNNNNNNNNNNNNNNNNNNNNNNNNNNNNNNNNNNNNNNNNNNNNNNNNNNNNNNNNNNNNNNNNNNNNNNNNNNNNNNNNNNNNNNNNNNNNNNNNNNNNNNNNNNNNNNNNNNNNNNNNNNNNNNNNNNNNNNNNNNNNNNNNNNNNNNNNNNNNNNNNNNNNNNNNNNNNNNNNNNNNNNNNNNNNNNNNNNNNNNNNNNNNNNNNNNNNNNNNNNNNNNNNNNNNNNNNNNNNNNNNNNNNNNNNNNNNNNNNNNNNNNNNNNNNNNNNNNNNNNNNNNNNNNNNNNNNNNNNNNNNNNNNNAGAGGAUCAAAAUCCUCAACUGGUCAAAACUAUGCUCGUUCCCGUGCUAAUACUUCUAACAUGCAGGGAAACUACAAGGAAUAUGAAUAUGGGCGUUACUCUUCAAAUCAUUAUUCAUAAAUCCUCAAACCAGUUCUCUGCAUAUUCAUAUGAGUACUUUAACCCCCCUACUGUUAAGAGAAGUGCAUUAGCUUCAAUGCCACCUUUCUCAUAUGGUGCUCGCAGGAUGACGAAUGCUUUACCACCCCUUCAGAUGUGGGUGGUGAAGAAAUCGAACUAAUCACUUCUGCAGGUCAGGUCUCUAGAUGAAAAUCAUCAUGUGAAGAAUUUGUUGGAGACCUGAGGAAAUGCUUGAUAGCACGCAAGCAAAUAUUGAUGAAAUAGAAAUAUUUCACACGUCCUUAUAAUUCUGUUGUGAUGAAAUUCUUAUCUGAUGAAAUUGAUAUCAUAUUCUUCAAAUCUGAAGCAUAUGAGAUGGUAAGCUGUACUAAUUCAUCUGCAGGAUGACAAACCCAAGAAUAUUGAGUGGGUUCUUGAUAGUGGCCGCACACAUCACAUGACUGGUGAUAAAAGCUUGCUGAUGAAUAUGCCACUAACUCCGUCACCUCUGAAGAAAAUCACAUAUGCUGACAAAGGUAAAAGCAAGGUAUUUGAACUUGGCAAAGUGGCUAUUUCCAAGGAUAGGCAUAUGGACAAAGUGAUGCUUGUUGAAUCCCUUGGUUUUAACCUCAUGUCAGUCUCGAUGCUUUGUGAUCUUGAUAUGAUUGUUAUAUUUGGUAGAUAUAGAUGUGUAGUCAUCAUGGAAUCUGACAGAUCCAAAGUCUUCGAAGGUGUAAGAAGAGGGGAUUUGUACAUUGUUGAUUUCUCUACAGGUCCUCAACCAGCCACUUGCUUACUAGCAAAAACCUCAGAAGGAUAGCUGUGGAACCGAAGACUAGGUCAUGCAGGCAUGAGGAAUUUGCACACGCUCGCGAAGAAGAAGCAUGUCAUCGGCAUCGAAUCAGUCAAAUUCCUCAAGGAUCAUCUCUGCAGUGCAUGUGAAUCUGGGAAAAUGACCAGAUCCAAGCAUCCCUCGAAGACUAUCAUGACCACUACUCGUCCCUUCGAAUUGCUUCAUAUGGAUCCUCUCCCNNNNNNNNNNNNNNNNNNNNNNNNNNNNNNNNNNNNNNNNNNNNNNNNNNNNNNNNNNNNNNNNNNNNNNNNNNNNNNNNNNNNNNNNNNNNNNNNNNNNAUCGCAACAGUUUUCGAGGGUAGAGUAUUCAACCCAAAUUUAUUGAUUCGACUCAAGGGGAAGCGAAAGAAUAUUCUCAAGUAUUAGCAGUUGAAUUGUCAAUUCAACCACACCUGAAAGAUUAGUGUCUGCAAGCAAAGUAUCAAUAGCAAAAUGGUAUGAUAGCAACGGUGCAAGAAAAAGGUCUGUUGACGGCAGGCUAUUCCUGACUUGUUGUAUCAAUGGCGCCAGAAAAGUCUUGCAACAGGUAACAACAAAGUAGCAAGUAACAAGUAACAACAGUAGUGACAAUAGUAGUGACAGCAGUAGCAGCAAAGUAACGACAAAGUAACGUAGCAAGGACCAGUAGUAAAAGACUCGUUGGCAUUGGAUCGAUGAUGGAUGAUUAUGUCGGAUGUGAUUCAUCAUGUAACAGCUAUAACACGGAGAGAUAUGUAACUAGCUCCCGUUCGUCAAUCUAAUGUAGGCAUGUAUUCCGUAUGUAGUCAUACGUGCUUAAGGAAAAGAACUUGCAUGACAUCUAUUGUCCAUCCCUCUCGUGGCAGCGUGGUCCUAAUGGAAACUACGGGAUAUUAAGGUUCUCCUUUUAAUAAAGAACCGUACCAACGCAUUAACACUUGGUGAAUACAUGAACUCCUCAUACUAUGGUCAUCUCCGGGAGUGGUUCCGGCUAUUGUCACUCCAGGGUUGCCGGGUCAUAACACAUAGUAGGUGACUACAACUUGCAAGAUAGGAUCUAAAACACACAUAUAUUGGCGACAACAUAAUAGGUUCAGAUCUGAAAUCAUGGCACUCAGGCCCUAGUGCCAAGCAUUAAGCAUGGCAAAGUAGUAGCAACAUCAAUCUCAGAACGUAGUGGAUACUAGGGAUCAAUCCCCGUCAAAACUAACUCGAUUACAUGAUAGAUUGAUACGUCUCAAACGUAUCUAUAAUUUUUGUUGGUUUCACGCUGUUAUCUUGUCAUCUUUGGAUGUUUUAUGUACCUUUUAUAUCUUUUUUGGGACUAACUUAUUAAUUCAGUGCCAAGUGCGAGUUCCUGGUUUUUCUGUGUUUUUGGCUCUUUUUAGAUCUGAUUUUGGAACGGAGUCCAAAUGGAAUAAAAUCCCCGAAAUUAUUUUUUCCCGAACGAAAGAAGAUCAGGGGGCCGGUGGGCCAAGCCACGAGGGCUCCUGGGAGCCCACAAGCCCCCACUCCGCCACCAGGGGUAGGCGGCGGUGGCACGGCUUGUGGCCUCCCUGGUCGCCCCCUAACCUAGAUCUUUGGCCUAUAUAUUCCCUAAAAUACAGCAAAAAAACGGGGGAGCCUCGAAAAUACUUUUCCGCUGCCGCAAGCUUCCGUUUCCGUGAGAUCUCAUCUGGAGACCCUUCCCGGCGCCCUGCCGGAGGGGACUUUGGAGUUGGAGGACUUCUUCAUCAUCAUCAUCGCCCCUCCAAUGACUCGUGAGUAGUUCACUUCAAACCUACCGGUCCAUAGUUAGUAGCUAGAUGGCUUCUUCUCUCUCUUAAAUCUUCAAUACAAAUUUCUCCAUGAUCUUCAUGGAGAUCUAUCCGAUGUAAUCUUCUUUGGCGGUGUGUUUGUCGAGAUCCGAUGAAUUGUGGAUUUGUGACCAGAUUAUCUAUUAUAUAUAUUUGAGUCUUUGCUGAUUUCUUAUAUGCAUGAUUUGAUAUCCUUGUAAGUCUCUCCGAGUCUUGGGUUUUGUUUGGCAAACUAGAUCUAUGAUUCUUGCAAUGGGAGAAGUGCUUGGUUUUGGGUUCUACCAUGUGGUGACCUUUCCCAGUGACAGUAGGGGCAGCAAGGCACACAUUAAGUAGUAGCCAUCACGGGUAAAAAGAUGGGGUUUUCAUCAUUGGUUUGAGAUUAUCCCUCUACAUCAUGUCAUCUUGCUUAAGGCGUCACUCUGUUCUUAUGGACUNNNNNNNNNNNNNNNNNNNNNNNNNNNNNNNNNNNNNNNNNNNNNNNNNNNNNNNNNNNNNNNNNNNNNNNNNNNNNNNNNNNNNNNNNNNNNNNNNNNNACGUGCAACUUUCGCCGGUGCACAAACCCACCAUUAGCCUCCCUCAAAACAGCCACCAUACCUACAUAUUAUGGCUUUUUCAAAGUCAUUCCGAGAUAUAUUGCCAUGCAACUACCACCAUGACAUGUAAGACCACGUCUACAUUUCCAUUACAUGAUCGUAAGAUAGCUAGCAUGAUGUUUCCAUUAAUAUCUAUGUCAUGCUAUAUCAUUGCCACGGUACACUGCCGAAGGCAUUCCAUAUAGAGUCAAUGUUGCUCUAAGUUUUGAGUUGAAAGUGUGAUGAUCAUCAUUAAUGGAGCAUUUUCCCAUUUGAGGAAAUAAAAGAGGCCAAAGAAGCCCACCAAAAAAAAAGAGGCCAAAGAGCCCACCCAAAAAAAUGAGAGAAAAAGAGAGAAGGGACAAUGCUACCACUUUUUCCACACUUGUGCAUAUUAAGCACCAUGAUCUUCAUGAUUGAGAGUAUCUCGUUUUUUCACCACCAUAUAGCUAGUUGGAAAUUUUCAUUAUAUAACUUGGCUUGUAUAUUCCAAUGAUAGGCUUNNNNNNNNNNNNNNNNNNNNNNNNNNNNNNNNNNNNNNNNNNNNNNNNNNNNNNNNNNNNNNNNNNNNNNNNNNNNNNNNNNNNNNNNNNNNNNNNNNNNUCAUCCGGGACUCUAACCAAAACUUCGGUCACCAACACAUAUAACUCAACUAUACCGAAACGUCACCGAACCGUAAGUGUGCAGACCCUGCGGGUUCGAGAACUAUGCAGACAUGACCUUUGACACUCUCUGGUCAAUAACCAACAACAGGACCUGGAUGUCCAUAUUGUUUCCUACAUAUUCUACGAAGAUCUCUAUCGGUUGAACCUCUAUGUCAAGGAUUCAUAUAAUCCCGUAAACUAUUCCCUUUGUCCUUCGGUAUGUUACUUGCCCGAGAUUCGAUCGUCGAUAUCUCUAUACCUGGUUCAAUCUCGUUACCGGCAAGUCUCUUUACUCAUUCCAUAAUACAAGAUCCUGUAAAUAACUCCUUAGUCAGAUUUCAUGCGAGGCUUGUUGUGAUGUUGUAUUACCAAGUGGGCCCCGAGAUACCUCUCCGUCACACGGAGUGACAAAUCCCAGUCUUGAUACAUGCCAACCCAACAGACACCUUUGGAGAUACCUGUAGAUCACCUUUAUAGUCACCCAGUUACGUUGCGAUGUUUGAUAACCCACAAGGUAUUCCUCCGGUGUCCGGGAGUUGCAUGAUCUCAUGGUCAUAGGAAUAGAUACAUUGACAUGCAGAAAACAGUAGCAAUAAACUGACACGAUCAUAUACUAUGUUUAUAGUUUGGGCCUUGUCCAUCACAUCAUUCUCCCAAUGAUGUGAUCCCGUUAUCAAGUGACACCACUUUCCUAUGGCCAGGAAACCUUGACCAUAUUUGAUCAACAAACUAGUCAACUAGAGGCUCACUAGGGACAGUGUGUUGUCUAUGUAUCCACACAUGUAUUUGAGUUUCCAAUCAAUACAAUUCUACCAUGGAUAAUAAACGAUUAUUAUGAGCAAGGAAAUAUAAUAAUAACUAAUUUAUUAUUGCCUCUGGGGCAUAUUUACAACAGUCUCCCACUUGCACUAGAGUAUAUAAUCUUGUUCACAUCACUAUGUGAUUGUAAUGAAUCUAACACCCACACAGUUCUGGGGUUCGAUCAUGUCUUGAUUGUGAGAGAGGUUUUAUUCAAUGGUUCUGAACCUUUCAUAUCCGUGUGUGCUUUACAAGUCUUUAUGUGAUCCUAUAGAUGCUGCUACUACAUGCUAUUUGGAAAUAUUCAAAAUGACUGCUCUACUAUACAAAUCUGAUUUACUACUCAGAGUUAUUGGGAUUAGUGUCAAAGCUUGCAUCGAUGUAACCCUUUACGACGAACUCUUUAAUCACCUCCAUAAUCAAGAAAAAUUCCUUAGUACAUUAGUUACUAAGGAUAACUUUGACCGCUGUUCAGUGAUUCAAUCAUGGACCACUCUUUGUACCCCUUGACAGACUUAUGGCAAGACACACAUCAGGUGCGGUACACAGCAUGGCAUACUUUAGAGUCUACGGCUAAGGCAUAGGGCACGACCUUCAUCCUUUCUCUUUCUUCUGUCAUGAAAGGGCUUUGAGUCUUACUCAAAUUCACACCUUACAACAUAGCCAAGAACUCCUUCUUUGCUGAUCUAUUUUGAACUCCUUCAAAAACCUGUCAAGGCAUGCAUUUCAUUUGAACUUCUAUUUAGCGUUUUGAUCUAUCUCUAUAGAUCUUGAUGCUCAAUGUUCAAGAAGCUCUAUCCAGGUCUUCCUUUGAAAAACUCAUUUCAAACAACCCUUUAUCCUUUCCGGAAAUUCUAUAUUAUUUUCGACCAACAAUAUGUCAACUACAUAUACUUAUCAAAAAUUCUAUAGUGCUCCCACUCACUUCUUUGGAAAUACAAGUUUCUCAUAAACCUUGCAAAAACCAAAAAGCUUUGAUCAUAUCAUCAAAGCGUAUAUUCAAACUCAAAGAUGAUUGCACCAAUCCAUAGAAGGAUCACUGGAGCUUGCAUACUUGUUAGCAUCCUUAGGAUCGACAAAACCUUCUAGUUGUAUCACAUACAACCUUUCCUCAAGGAAACCGUUAAGGAAACAAUGUUUUGACAUCCUAUGUGCAAUAUUUCAUAAAUAAUGCAACAACUGCUAACAUAAUUCCAACAGACCUUUAGCAUCGCUACGAGUGACAAAGUCUCAUCAUAGUCAACUCUUUGAACUUGUCGGAAACAUCUUUGUGAUAAGUCGAGCUUUUCUUAAUGGUGACUUUUCACCAUCAUCGUUUGUCUUCCUUUUAAAGAACCAUAUGUACUUAAUAGUCUUACGACCAUCAAGUAGUUCUUCCAAAGUCUACACUUUGUUUUAUACAUGGAUCCUCUCUCGGAUUUCAUGGCCUCCAGCCAUUUGUCAGAAUCUGGGCCCACCAUCGAUUCUCCAUAGCUCGUAGGUUAAUUGUUGUUCAACAACAUGACUUCCAAGACAUGGUUACCGUACCACUCUAUAGUAGUACGCGACCUUGUCGACCUACGUGGUUUGUAGUAACUUGAUCUGAAGCUUAAUGAUCACCAUCAUCAGUUUCCACUUCAAUUGGCGUAGGCGCCACAGGAACAACUUCCUACGCCCUGCUACACACUAGUUGAAGUGACGGUUCAAUAACCUUAUCAAGUUCCACCACCCUCCCACUCAAUUCUUUUGAGAGAAACUUUUCCUUGAGAAAGGACCUGUUUCUAGAAACAAACACUUUGCUUCCGGAUCUGAGAUAGGAGGUAUACCCAACUAUUUUGGGUUUCCUAUGAAGAUGCAUUUAUCCUCUUUGGGUUCGAGUUUAUCAUGCUGAAACUUUUCCACAUAAGCAUCGCAGCACCAAACUUUUAAGAAAUGACAGCUUAGGUUUCUCCAAACCCUCGUUCAUAUGGUGUCAUCUCAACAGAAAUACGUGGUGCCCUAUUUAAAGUGAAUGCGGUUGUCUCUAAUUCAUAACCCAUAAACGAUAGUGGUAAUCUGAUAAGAGACAUCAUAGUAUGCACCAUAUCAAAUAGGGCCCGGUUAUGACGUUCGGACACACCAUCACACUAUGGUGUUCUAGGUGGCAUGAAUUGCGAAACAAUUUCCACAUUAUCUUAACUCUGCACCAAAACUCACAACUCAGAUAUUCAUCUCUAUGAUCAUAUCGUAGAUAGUUUAUCCUCUUGUCACAACGAUCUUUACUCUGAAAUAGCUUUGAACUUUCCAAUAUUUCAGACUUGUGAUUCAUCAAGUAAAUACUCAUGUAUGUACUCAAAUCGUCAGCGAAGUAAGAACAUAAUGAUAUCCACUGUGUGCCUCAGCACUCAUUGGACUGCACACAUCAAAAAUGUAUUACUUCCAACAAGUUACUUUCUUGUUCCAGGUGGUGUGAUUUGCAUGUCUCAAGUGAUUCAGAAUCAAGUGAUUCCAAGCAAUCCAUCUACAUGGAGUUUCUUCAUGUGUUUAGACAAAUAGGUAUGGUUUGCAUGUCUCAAACUUUCAAAAAUGAGUGAGUACAAAGAUCCAUCAGCAUGGAGCUUCUUCAUGCAUUUUACACCAACAUGACUCAAGCGGCAGUGCCACAAGUAAGUGGUACUAUCAUUACUACUUUGUAUCUUUUGGCAUCAAUAUUAUGAACAUGUGUAUCACUACAAUCGAGAUUCAAUAAACCAUUGAUGGUAUUUAUUCAAGAAAAUAGAAUAACCAUUAUUCUCUUUAAAUGAAUAAUCGUAUUGCAAUAUACACGGUCUCAUCAUGUUCAUGCUCAACGCAAACACCAAAUAACAUUUAUUUCGGUUUAACACUAAUUCCGAUGAUAGAGGGAUUGUGCGAUGUUUGAUCACAUCAACCUUGGAAACACUCCCAACACAUAUCGUCACCUCGCCUUUAGCAAGUCUCUGUUUAUUCCGUAGCUUUUAUUUUGAGUUACUAACACUCAGCAACUGAACCGGUAUCUAAUACCCUCGUGCUACUAGGAGUACUAGUAAAGUACACAUCAAUAUAAUGUAUAUCAAAUAUACUUCUAUCGACUUCGCCAGCCUUCUCAUCUACCAAAUAUCUAGGAUAGCUCCGCCUCAGUGACCGUUCCCUUCAUAACAGAAGCACUUAGUCUCGGGUUUGGGUUCAACCUUGGGUUUCUUCAUUAGAGCAGCAACUGGUUUGCCAUUUCAUGAAGUAUCCCUUCUAGCCCUUGCCCUUCUUGAAACUAGUGGUUUUACCAACCAUCAACAAUUGAUGCUCCUACUUGAUUUCUACUUUUGCAGUGUUAAACAUUGCUAAUCGCUCAAGGAUCAUCAUAGCUAUCCUUAAGUAUUUUAUAGUUCAUCACGAAGCUCUAACAGCUUGGUGACAGUGACUUUGGAGAACCAUCACUAUCUCAUCUGGAAGAUUGACUCCGACUUGAUUCAAGCGACUGUUGCACUUAGACAAUCUGAGCACAUGGUCAACGAUUGAGCUUUUCUCCUUUUACUUUGUAGACAAAGAAUCUUGUCGGAGGUCUCAUACCUCUCAACAAGGGCACGAGCAUGAAAUCCCGAUUUCAUCUCUUAGAACAUCUCAUAUGUUAUGUGAGGUGAAAAACGUUUUCAACGCCUCAAUUCUAAGUUGUUUAAGUAUUACACACUGAACUAUCACGUACUCAUAAAAUAACGUGUAUGUCAGAUGUUCGCAACAUCCACAGACGAUGCUCGAGGUGCUGCACACCGAGCGGUGCAUUAAGGACAUAAGCCUUCUGCGCGACAAUGAGGACAAUCCUCAGUUCACGGACUCAGUCCGCAAAGUUGCUACUAUCAUCUUUCAACUAAAUUUUCUCUAGGAACAUAUAAAAACAGUAGAGCUACAACGCAAGCUACAACAUAAUUUGCAAAGACCUUUUGACUAUGUUCAUGAUAAUUAGUUCAAGUAAACAUAUUACUUAAGAACUCCCACUCAAAUAGACAUCCCUCUAGUCAUUCGAGUGGCGCAUGAUCCAAAUCCACUAACUCAAGUCUGAGCAUCACGUGAGUUGAGAAAAGUUUCAGCGGUGAACAUCUGCACGUUGAUCAUAUCAACUAUAUGAUUCAUGCUCGACAUUUCUCUCUCUUGUGUUCCGAGGCCAUGUCUGUACAUGUUAGGCUCGUCAAGUUUAACCCGAAUGUUCCGCGUGUGCAACUGUUUUGCAACCGUUGUAUGUAAACGUCUAUCACACCUGAUCAUCAUGUGGUGUCUUGAAAUGACGAACUGUCGCAAUGGUGCACAGUCGGGGAGAACACAAUUUUAUCUUGAAAUUUUAGUGAGGGAUCACCUUAUAAUGGUACCAUCGUUCUAAGAAAAAUAAGGUGCACAAAAAGGGUUAACAUCACAUGCAAUUCAUAAGUGACAUGAUAUGGACAUGAUCUUGUGCUUCUUGAUCUCCAUCACCAAAGCACCGGCAUGAUCUUCAUCGUCACCGAAGCCACACCAUGAUCUCCAUCAUCAUGAUCUCCAUCAACAUGCCGCCUUCGAGGUUGUCGUGCUAUCUAUGCUAUUACUACUAAAGCUACAACCUAGCAAUAUAGUAAACGCAUCUGCAAACACAAACAUUAGUUUAAAGACAACCCUAUGGCUCACGUCGGUUGCCGUAGCAUCGACGUGCAAGUCGAUAUUUAACUAUUACAACAUGAUCAUCUCAUACAUCCAAUAUAUCACAUCAUGUCUUUGUCCAUAUCAUAUCACAUGCAUACCCUGCAAAAACAAGUUAGACGUCCUCUAAUUUGUUGUUGCACGUUUUACGUGGUUGCUACAGAUAUCUAGUAUGAUCGCAUCUUACUUACGCAAAACCACAAUGGUGAUGUUCAAAUUGCUAUUUAACCUCUCUCCAAGGACCGCCUCGGCCAAAUCCAAUUCAACUAAAUUUGAAGAAACAGACACCUGCCAGUCAUCUUUAUGCAACAAGUUGCAUGUUAGUCGAUGAAACCGGUCUCUCGUAAGCGUACGAGUAAGGUUGGUCCGGGCCGCUUCAAUCCAACAAUACCGCCGAAUCGAGAAAAGACUAAGGAGGGCAGCAAAUCGAACAUCAACAGCCAAAAAACUUUUGUGUUCUACUCGAGAUUACGUCUACGCACGAACCUAGCUCAUGAUGCGACUGUAGGGGAACGUUGCAUGGGAAACAAAAAAUUUCCUACGCACACGAAGACCUAUAAUGGUGAUGAUCAUCUACGAGAGGGAGAUCGGAUCCACAUACCUAUGUAGAUCGCUAAGCGGAAGCGUUAUUAAACGCGGUUGAUGUAGUGGCAUGUCUUCACGAUACGUCCCAUGAACCGUCCCACGAUCCGUCCCACGAACCGUCCCACGAUCCGUCCCACGAUCCAUCCCACGAACCGUCUCGUGAUCCGUCCCGAUCAAGUGCCGAACGGACGGCACCUCUGCGUCCCCCACACGUACAGCUCAAUGACGAUCUACGCCUUCUUGUUUCAGCAAGAGAGACAGGGAAGUAGAUGAGUUCUCCGGCAGCAUGACAGCGCGCCGGUGAUGGUGAUGAUCUAUUCCUGAAGGGCUCCGCCCGAGUUCCGUAGAAAACCGAUCUAGAGGAAGACCUACGAUCUAGAGGAGAGGGCAGCACGUGGCAAAGUUGUGUCUCAAAAGCCCUAAACCUCUAGUAUAUAUAGGAGGAGGGAGGAGGCAGCCUUGGCGCCACAAGGGAAAGUCCCUUGGGUCAGCCGAAGUGGAGGAGGGAGGAGUCCUCCUCCAAUUCCACUUGUAUUAGGACUCCUUCCUUAUUUUCCCACCUCUUUUGGAUUUUCCACUUUUUCCUCAUGGGCUUUCCUUGGAUGACAGUGUCAGCCAAUUAUGCCUUAUUGCGCAUCCAAUAAACCCAUGUGGACCCCUUGGGGCAUGGUGGUCCCACCCAGUGGGCCCCCGGAACCCAUUCGUCACUCCCGGUACAGUGUCGGCAAUGCCUGAAAACCUUCCGGAAUCCAAAUACCAAAUUCCUAUAUAUCGGUCUUCAUCUCUGGACCAUUCCGGUACUCCUCGCGACGUCCGGGAUCUCAUCCGGGACUCCGAACAAAAGUUAAGUCACCAACACAUAUAACUCAACUAUACCGAAACGUCACCGAACCUUAAGUGUGCACACCCUGCGGGUUUGAGAACUAUGCAGACAUGACAUGAGGCACUCUCUAGUCAAUAACCAACAGUGGGACUUGGAUGUCCAUAUUGGUUCCCACAUAUUCUACGAAGAUCUCUAUCGGUUGAACCUCUAUGUCAAGGAUUCAUAUAAUCCCGUAUACUAUUCCCUUUGUCCUUCGGUAUGUUACUUGCCCGAGAUUCGAUCGUUGGUAUCUCUAUACCUAGUUCAAUCUCGUUACCGGCAAGUCUCUUUACUCAUUCCGUAAUACAAGAUCCCGUAACUAUCUCCUUAGUCACAUAGCUUACAAGGCUUGUUGUGAUGUUGUAUUACCGAGUGGGCCCUGAGAUACCUCUCCGUCACACGGAUUGACAAAUCCCAGUGUUGAUCCAUGCCAACCCAACAAACACCUUUCGAGAUACCUUGACCAUCUUUGACAACACUUGCCUAUGGCCAGGAAACCUUGACCAUCUUUGAUCAACAAACUAGUCAACUAGAGGCUCACUAGGGACAGCGUGUUGUCUAUGUAUCCACACAUGUAUUUGAGUUUCCAAUCAAUACAAUUCUAGCAUGGAUAAUAAACGAUUAUUAUGAACAAGGAAAUAUAAUAAUAACUAAUGUAUUAUUGCCUCUAGGGCAUAUUUCCAACAUCGGCAACUGCUUUUCCGUCCUUCUUGAAGUUCUUCUUACCCUUGCCUUUCUUGAAACUGGUGGUCUUAUUCACCAUCAACCCUUGAUGUUCCUUUUUGAUUUCCACCUCCGCUGAUUUCAGCAUCGAAUAUAACUUAGGAAUAGACUUUUCCAUCCCUUGUAUAGUGUAAUUCAUCACAAAGCUCUUGUAGCUAGGUGGAAGUGACUAGAGGAUUAUGUCAAUAAUUGAGUCAUCCGGAAGAUUAACUCCCAGCUGAGACAAGCGGUUGUGCAACCCAGACAUUUUGAGUAUGUGCACGCUGACAAAACCAUUUUCCUCCAUCUUACAACUGAAGAACUUGUCGGAGACUUCAUAUCUCUCGACCCGGGCAUGAGCUUGGAAGAACAUUCUCAGCUCUUGGAACAUCUCAUAUGGUCCGUGUUGCAUAAAACACUUUUGGAGCCCCGGUUCUAAACUGUAAAGCAUGUCAUACCAAACUAGUGAGUAAUCAUCACUACGCGACUGCCACGGGUUCAUAACGUCUUGAGCUGCUGGGAAAACGGGUGCAUCACCUAGCGGUGCAUCAAUGACAUAUAUUUUAUUGGAAGCUAUGAGGAUGAGCCUCCAGUUAUGGACCCAGUCCGUAUAGUUGCUUACAUCGUCUUUCGGCUUGGUUUUCUCUAGGAACGCAUUGAUGUUGAGGGGAACAUUAGUGUGGGCCAUUGGAUCUACAAUAUAUAUUGUAAAGACAAUUUUAGACUAAGUUCAUCUAAUAAAAUUAUUUAAUGAACUCCCACUCAGAUAGGCAUCCCUCUAGUCAUCUAAGUGAUACAUGAUCCAUAUCGACUAGGUCGUGUCCGAUCAUCACAUGAGACGGACUAGUCAUCAAUGGUAAACAUCUCCAUGUUGAUCGCAUCAACUAUAUGACUCAUGUUCGACCUUUCGGUCUCUUGUGUUCCGAGGCCAUGUUUGUACAUGCUAGGCUCAUCAAGUCAACCUAAGUGUUUUGUGUGUGUAAAUCUGGCUUACACCCGUUGUAUGUGAACGUUAGAAUCUAUCACACCCUAUCAUCAUGUGGUGCUUCGAAACAACGAUCCUUCGCAGUGGUGCACACUUAGGGGGAACAAAUUUCUUGAAAUUUUAGUGAGGGAUCAUCUUAUUUACUACCGCUGUUCUAAGCAAAUAAGAUGUAAAAACAUGAUAAACAUCACAUGCAAAUCAUAAAGUGACAUGAUAUGGCCAAUAUCAUCUUGCGCCUUUGAUCUGCAUCUUCGGGGCGCGGUAUGAUCACCAUUGUCACCGCAUGACACCAUGAUCUUCAUCAUCAUGAUCUCCAUCAUCGUGUCUUCAUGAAGUUGUCUCGCCAACUAUUACUUCCACUACUAUAGCUAAUGGUUAGCAAUAAAGUAAAGUAAUCAUAUGGCAUUUUUGAUUGACACGUAGGUCAUGCAAUAAAUUAAGACAAUUCCUAUGGCUCCUGUCGGUUGUCAUACUCAUCGACAUGCAAGUCGUGAUUCCUAUUACAAGAACAUGAUCAAUCUCAUACAUCACAUAUAUUUCAUCACAUCCUUUUGGCCAUAUCACGUCACAUAGCAUACCCUGCAAAAACAAGUUAGACGUCCUCUAAUUGUUGUUGCAAGUUUUACGUGGCUGAUAUGGGUUUCUAGCAAGAACGUUUCUCACCUACGUUACAACCACAACGGAGAUAUGCUAAUUGCUAUUUACCCUUCAUAAGGACCCUCUUCAUCGAACCCGAUCCAACUAAAGUGGGCGAGACAAAGACCCGCUAACCACCUUAUGCAACAAGUGCAUGUCACACGGUGGAACCAGUCUCAUGUAAGUCUACGUGUAAAGUCGGUCUGGGCCGCUUCAUCCCACAAUGCCGCCGAAUCAAGAUAGGACUAGUAACGGUAAGCAAAUUGACCAAAUCAUCGCCCACAACUUACUUGUGUUCUACUCGUGCAUAGAAACUACACAUAACCGUAGUUCAUGAUGCCACUGUUGGGGAACGUAGCAAUAAUUCAAAAUUUUCCUACGUGUCACCAAGAUCAAUCUAGGAGAUGCUAGCAACGAGAGAGAGGGAGAGCAUCUUCAUACCGUUGAAGAUCGCUAAGAGGAAGCGUUACAAAGAACACGGUUGAUGGAGUCGUACACGCGGCGAUUCAAAUCGCGGAAUAUACGAUCCAAGCACUGAACAAAUGAUGCCUCCGUGUUCAACACACGUACAGCCUGGGGACGUCUCCUCCUUCUUGAUCCAGCAAGGGGGAAGGAGAAGUUGAGGGAGAGCUCCGGCAUCACGAGGCAUGGUGGCGGUGGAGCUCGUGGUUCUCCGGCAUAGCUUCGCCAAGCUCAACCGAGAAGGAGGUGAAGGGGGUAGGGCUGCGCCAGGAGGAGAGGGUUCAGGUGCGCUGCAGCCCUCUCACCCCUCCUAUAUUUAUAGGGGAAAGGGGAGAGGGGGCCGACCAACCUACAUGGCCUAGGAGGGGGCAGUGGCGGCCAAGGGGGAGGCUUGCUUCCCAAGUUGGUCGGAGGCAGCCCCCAUGCCCUAGGUUUCCCAGCCCUAGGUGCCUUGGGCCCCUUGGUGUUGGGGAACGUUGCAUGGGAAACAAAAAAAAUUCAUACGCACACGAAGACCUGGUGAUGCCCAUCUAUGAGUGGAGACUUGGAUCUACGUACCCUUGUAGAUCGCACAGCAGGAAGCGUUAAGAAGCGCAAUUGAUGUAGUGGAACGUCUUCACGUCCCUCGAACCGUCCCAGAACCGUCCCGCGAUCCGUCCCACGAUCCGUUCCGAUCUAGUGCCGAACGGACGGCACCUCCACGUUCAGCACACGUACAGCUCGACGAUGAUCUCGGCCUUCUUGAUUCAGCAAGCAAGACGGAGAAGUAGAUGAGUUCUCCGGCAGAGUGACGGCACUCCGGUGGUGGUGAUGAUCUACUCCUGCAGGGCUCCGCCCGAGCUCCGCAGAAAUUCGAUCUAGACGUGGAACUGUGUGGUUUAGGCUAGAGUUGCACGUGGCAAAGUUUUAUCUCGAAAGCCCUAAAACUCCACUAUAUAUAGGAGGGAAGGGGACGGGCUAGCCUUGAGGGACAAGUCCCUCAAGGGUGCGUUGGUGCUAGGAGGAGGAGGACUCCUCCUCCAAUUCGGUUUGGGAAGGAGGAGUCCUCCCCUUCCUUCCCACCACCCUCUUUCGCUUUUUCUUUUUCUUUUCUUUUGCUAUUUUCUUAUGUGGCGCCAUGAGCUCCUUGGGCUUACUGCACCAGCCCACUAAGUAAUUGUGGCGCCACCCUAGGGCCUUGGGCUCACUCCCGGGUGGGUGGGCCCCUCCCGGUGAACUCCCGGAACCCAUUCGUCACUCCCGGUACACUACCAGAAUUGCCCAAAACUUUCCGGUGACCAAAUGAAAACAUCCUAUAUAUCAAUCUUCGUUUCUGUACCAUUCCGAAAAUCCUCGUGAUGUCCGUGAACUCAUCCAGGACUCCGAACAACAUUCGGUAACCACACAUAUAACUAAACUGUACUAAAACAUCACCGAACCUUAAGUGUGCACACCGUGCGGGUUCGAGAACUAUGUAGACAUGCCCCGAGGCACUCCUCGGUCAAUAUCCAAUAGCGGGACCUAGAUUCCCAUAUUGGAUCCUACAUAUUCUCUGAAGAUCUUAUCGGUUGAACCUCAGUGUCAAGGAUUCAUAUAAUACCGUAUGUCAUUCCCUUUGUCCUUCGGUAUGUUACUUGCCCGAGAUUCGAUCGUCGGUAUCCGCAUACCAAUUUCAAUCUCGUUACCGAAAGUCUCUUAACUCGUUCCGUAAUACAAGAUCCCGUGACUUACACUUAGUCACAUUGCUUGCAAGGCUUGUGUGUGAUGUUGUAUUACCGAGUGGGCCCCGAGAUACCUCUCCAUCAUACGGAGUGCCAAAUCCCAGUCUUGAUCCAUACUAACUCAACGGAAACCUUCGGAGAUACCUGUAGAACACCUUUAUAGUCACCCAGUUACGUUGUGACGUUUGAUGCAUGACGUCAGCUGUGCUUCCCUAGCAAUGGCUCCAGAAAAGUGAUGAUACUGCAAUCUCUAGUGUCAGCUAGACGAAUGCUUAUAACAAGUAACCUUCUCCUCCAGCGGCACCAGAAGAAUGUUGAAAGCACUCCCAGCAAUGAAACCGUAAAAAUGUUGUUGAUGGCCCACGAGCACGUGGGUUCGCAGCAGUUUUCAAGGGUACUGUAUUCGACCCAAAUUUGUAGAAUGCCUAAAGAACUUGCAGUAGCAAUAGUAGUAGCAGAAGAGAAAGACAAGUAACAGAAGUAGUAGCACAAACUCGUAAGCAAUGGGUCGGUGAUUUGUUUGGAUGAUAUUCAUCAUGCAACACCUAUAACACAGAGAGAUAAGUGGCUAGCUCCCAUUCGUCAAUGUGAUGUAGGCAUGCAUUUCGUGUGUCGUCAUACGUGCUUAGGGAAAAGAACUUGCAUGACAUCUAUUGUCCAUCCCUCCCGUGGCAGCGGGGUCCAAAAGGAAACUACAGGAUAUUAAGGUUCUCCUUUUAAUAAAGAACCGGACCAGCGCAUUAGCACUUGGUGAACACAUGAACUCCUCAAACUAUGAUCAUCACCGGGAGUGGUUCCGGUUAUUGUCACUCCAGGGUUGCCGGAUCAUAACACAUAGUAGGUAACUACAAGUUGCAAGAUCGGAUCUAAAACACACAUAUAUUGGUGACAACAUAGUAAUUUCAGAUCUGAAAUCAUGGCACUCGGGCCGUAGUGACAAGCAUUAAGCAUGGCAAAGUAGUAGCAACAUCAAAUCUGAGAACAUAGUGGAUACUAGGGAUCAAUCCCCAUCAAAACUAAGUCGAUUACAUGAUAGAUCUCAUCCUACUCAUCACCGCACAGCGAGCCUACGAAUAGAUUACUCACGAACGACGAAGAGCUUCAUGGAAUUGGAGAGGGAAGAAGGUUGAUGCUGACGAUGGUGGCGAUUUCCCCUCUCCGGAGGCCAAGACAGACUCCAGAUCUGCCCUCCAGAUGAAGAACAGGUGGUGGCGGUGCCUCCGUAUCGAAAACGCGACGAAACCUUAUCUUUUUAUUUUUUAUGGGACGAAAGACAACUUAUAGAGCUGGAGUUGGGGGCGGCAGGUGCCUGUGGCCCCACAAGCCUGCCCACCGCCACCAGGGGGGUGGUGGCGGAGCAGGGGCUUGUGGCCCACUAGCCCACCCCCUCAGAGUGGAACUUGGCGCAGAUAUUUUUUAUAUUUUCCAAAACUGCUCCCCGCAAAUUUUCAUGACGUUUGGAGAACUUUGAUUUCUGCACAAAAAUAACACCAAGGCAAUUCUGCUGAAAACAGCGUCCGUCCAGGUUAGUUCCAUUCAAAUCAUGCAAAUUAUAGUCCAAAACAAGGGCAACAGAUUUUGGAAAAGUAGAUACGUUGGAGACGUAUCAACUCCCCCAAGCUUAAAACCUUGCUUGUCCUCAAGCAACUCAGUUGACAAAUUGAGAGAGAAAGAAAAACUUUGACAAACUCUGUUUGAUCUUGUUGUUGCAACUAUGUCUAACUCAUAACCAGAAUUACAGCAAGAUCACAAGUUAACCACAUAAGCAAAUGCCACAAAGGUCUCACGGUAAACUAAUAUCAAUGGCAUAAUCAGCUAAUGAGCAAAUAAUAAUGAGUUUCAAAUACCAACACUUCAAUCAAAGCAAGCAUGAAGAAAUAUGAAUAGGUGGUAUCCAGUCAUAGUCAUACUCAAUAUCAAUGAAAAGCAAAGCAUAAAAAUGACAGAGGUGCUCUCUAAUUGGUGCUUAUAUAAGAGGAGGAUGACUUGAUAGGAAAAUAAAUAGACAGGCCCUUCGCAGAGGGAAGCAUUGAUUUGCAGAGGUGCCAGAGCUCAAGCUUUGAAAACAGAGAUAAUAAUUUUGGGUGGCAAGCUUUCAUUGUCAACGCAAUGACCAAGAGUUCUCAAUAUCUUCCAUGAUACUCAUGCUAUAGGCGGUUCCCAAACAGAAAAGUAAAGUUUUAACUCCCCCACCACCAAUCAAUCACACUCCAUGGCUAGCCGAAUCCCCGGGUACCGUCCAUACUAACAUCAAUCCGGAGGGAGUCUUGUUUUACAGUUAUGUUUUUGAUUUAAGCAUGGAACUGGGCAUCCCAAAUACCGGCCCCUUUCUCGUGAAGGACUGCGAAUAAACACAUGUCGAGGAUAACACUCCUAGCAUGGAAGAUACCAAUAGCGCUCUGUCACCACAUGAGCGGUUCGGGCAUGCAAAACAGAUUAUUUCUUGAAGGUUUAGAGAAUGGCACAUGCAAAUUUACUUGGAAUGGCAGGUAGUUACCGCAAAUAGGUAGGUACGGUGGACUCUCAUGGAAAAACUUUUGGGUUUAUGGAAGUGGAUGCACAAGCAGUAUUCCCGCUUAGUACAAGUGAAGGCUAGCAAAAGACUGGGAAGCGACCAACUAGAGAACGACAACAGUCAUCAAGAUGCAAUGAGUUUGACUAACAUUGAAUGCAAGCAUGAACAUGAUAUAAAUCACCAUGAACACGAACAUCAUAGAGGCUAUGUUGAUUUUGUUUCAACUACAUGCAUGAACAUGCGCCAAGUCAAGCCACUUGAAACAUUCAAAGGAGAAUACCAUCCUAUCAUACUACAUCAUAGUCAUCUCAAAAUCUAUGUUGGAAAUCAAGGCAAACCAUUAUAAGCUCUCAGCUAAAUAAGCAUGGCAUCAGAAACUAUGAUCUCUAAGUUGUCAUUGCAAACAUGGUUCUCUCACAACAAAGGCUAAUCUGGGUCGACAAGCUAGUCAUAUUUACAAAAACAAAAUAGAUCGAGUUCUUACCAGCUUUUCAGUCUCAGUCACUUCAUCAUAUAUCAUCAUUGUUUCCUUUCACUUGCACGAUCGAACGAUGAAAACAAUAAUAAGCGCAUCGGACUAAGCUGAUUCUGCAGGCAAACACAAAGGAGAAGACAAAAUAAUAUGGCUCUUUGAAAGCUAAACAGGUAAGCAUGUAAGAACCACUAAGCAUUGUAACCAAUAUCUUCUACCUUGACACAAAGAAAAAGAAAACUAUUUACAUGGGAAAGGUCCCAACAAGAAAAAGAAGAAAGAAAAAUCUUUUUGGGUUUUCUCAAAAGGACACAAAACAAGGAAACAAGAAAAAAAAAA
RNAcentral lists this long non-coding RNA (94257 nucleotides) under Hordeum vulgare. RNAcentral describes it as "long non-coding RNA (HVUL_LNC008871)". The record is from RNAcentral. Lineage: Eukaryota; Viridiplantae; Streptophyta; Magnoliopsida; Poales; Poaceae.